UACGUAAUUAAAGCUCGUGUACUGUACGUGUUGUGCUCUGCAAGUAAACUAGACCUGACAAGUUUGUAAUUAGACUGCCAUCAUCUGUUCUGUACAGGGGAGCGGCUUGUUGGAGUUCUCCGGGCUGAGGAGCUCCUCGUCGCUGCCGCUGCGGCGGAAUGCCACCUCGGAGGACUUCAUGUCCGCGGUCUCCUUCAGGACAUACGCGGUACGUGCCUGCUCGAAAUGUGACACUCAUAGCUUAGUUGCAGUGUAGGUGUAUAUAUGAAGCGGCGCCCUACGUGCGUGCGUGCAGGUCGGCACGAGCGGCAGCGGGUCGCGGCGGGCGCCGACGGAGGCGAAGCUGAAGGUGGCGAUCAACGGGUUCGGGCGCAUCGGGCGCAACUUCCUCCGCUGCUGGCACGGGCGCGGCGACAGCUCGCCGCUGGACGUGAUCGCCAUCAACGACACCGGAGGCGUGAAGCAGGCGUCCCACCUGCUCAAGUACGACUCCACGCUGGGCAUCUUCGACGCGGACGUCAAGCCCGUGGGCGACAACGCCAUCUCCGUGGACGGGAAGGUGAUCAAGGUGGUUUCUGACCGGAACCCGUCCAACCUGCCGUGGGGCGAGAUGGGCAUCGACCUCGUCAUCGAGGGCACUGGGGUGUUCGUGGACCGCGACGGCGCCGGCAAGCAUCUCGAGGCCGGCGCCAAGAAGGUGCUCAUCACGGCGCCCGGCAAGGGCGACAUCCCCACCUACGUCGUGGGCGUCAAUGCCGAGCUCUACUCCCACUCCGACACCAUCAUCAGCAACGCCUCCUGCACCACCAACUGCCUCGCCCCCUUCGUCAAGGUCCUCGACCAGAAGUUCGGUAAGUACUUACUCGUAGUAAUAAUAUCUGAAUUCUGAAGUCUGAACUGAACGAAGUUCUUGACGAUUGAUCAAUCAAUGGCGCGCGCGCAGGCAUCAUCAAGGGGACGAUGACGACCACCCACUCGUACACGGGUGACCAGAGGCUGCUGGACGCGAGCCACCGGGACCUGCGCCGGGCCCGUGCGGCCGCGCUCAACAUCGUGCCGACAUCGACCGGCGCGGCCAAGGCCGUGGCGCUGGUGCUGCCGAACCUCAAGGGGAAGCUCAACGGGAUCGCGCUCCGGGUGCCCACCCCGAACGUGUCCGUGGUGGACCUGGUGGUGCAGGUCUCCAAGAAGACCCUGGCCGAGGAAGUGAACGCCGCGUUCCGCGACGCCGCCGCCAACGAGCUCAAGGGCAUCCUCGACGUCUGCGACGAGCCGCUCGUGUCCGUCGACUUCAGGUGCUCCGACGUCUCCUCCACCAUCGACGCCUCGCUCAGCAUGGUCAUGGGCGACGACAUGGUCAAGGUCAUCGCCUGGUACGACAACGAGUGGGGGUACUCGCAGAGGGUCGUCGACCUCGCAGACAUCGUUGCCAACCAAUGGAAGUGAUAUCGAUGAAACGGCAUUGCCCUGUGACUAGCUCCUCUGGAAAUUUUCCCCGGCCGCAUCCUCCUCCGCCGCCUCGGACGAUCGAUUCUUUGUAAUGAGAAUUCGAAGUAUCGAACUCGAUCCCAACAGUUUUUUCUUUUCUUUUCUUUUUUCCUUCUUUCUUUCUCUGAUUUUUCAGUGUCCAGACACGGAUUAUAAUAGACUCCCCACAAAGGGAGUCUCAACGGUGUGCAUCUGUAAUAUAUACUAUCGUUUGCCAGGGUUCUGAUGUAGAAUUCAACUCGCUGAUUCGAACCCUUUUCGAUCAUUUUUUAUCUUUAUUGCAAGCUCAACCUUCUGCGCAUGAUCAGCUAAGAAAGAGCAGUUUGAACCGUGGCCGAAUAUAUAGAAUGAACCGGAAGCGAGACUGACUUCUUCCAAUGCGAAAUUUAACGGAUCAGGCCGUCAGCAGAUUUAUCCUCACAAAAUGACCCACAAGAUUAGAGUUCUCCAUGCAGCACCGAGCCCACUUGGACGAUGUAAUGAACCACUUCCAUAGGUGCCCCAGCUUUUGGUGGAUCGUAUUUUGGCUGGGCUUCAUAGUUCACAUGUUUGUCAUCCUGUAUACCUGCUACCAGUCGCAGUGGGCGAGUGGUCAAGAAUGAAUAUACAGUACUCACAGCUUUGUGAGCAAAAAUCAGUCGCCUACUUUGAAAAAAAAACCCAGUCGCCUGAAAAACAAAAGAAAUCAGUCGCCUGCUAGUUUCAUGCAAAUCAGACACAUAAAGAAAGAAAAGAUUAGCAUAACACACAGUUCUGGUUGGCACAAAACCAGAUGUUUGCUCCUUGGAUAAAUUCACACUCUGACAACUCCAGUGACCAAUUCAGACAAAAAGAGCCCAACAAAACUUUCAUCCUAUCCACAACAACCAAUAGUCGACAAAUACAAAUUAUAUGACAAAUUACAGGUUUGCAGAACCAUGUGCAAUUUAGUAAAAGGAUCAGCAUGCGCAAAAUUCUGUGUUGAUUAAAACCUGCAGAAAUGCACCAUCCUAUCUGAGUGAUAAAUCCAUGGAGUGAACUAAAAAAUCCCUUUGAUCUACAGAAUUUACAAUUUCAACCCCUGGACAAAAUGGGCGUCGUAUCUUAUGAAUCCCUCAUCGAGGUGCACUCCUGCAUCCCACGCAUCGCAGCCAGCCGAUUGCCAUCCUACGCAUGUGUUCAGUUUUACAAAUUUUUACAAUUAAGCGCCCGCUUCCAUCCCUCUAAUUUGCAAAACCAGCCCUGAAUAUUUUUGGCAGGAAUCGAUCAAUCAAUCGUCUUCUCCUGCAAAAAGGCCGCUGGCUCUCUCCACGGCGACGUCGCCGUCACCCCGUGCGCUCCCCCGACCUGCAGAAACGCCCGAACCGCGCACUUGAAAGGAGAAGGAAUUUCGGCCACCUGACACAUACGUUGAGAGGUCUCAUAAAACUGUGGUAAGAUCGAUCUGCUUUGUGCUGCACUGCUCUGUUUUCUCCCGUUCCAAAGCAGAUCAUAUUGCCUAAGGUUUUCAACAUCAUUAUUGGGUAAAACAACAAAAACUACUCUUCAUGUAUACUGUAAUAUAUGUGCUUCUUGUUUCAAAGGUUUAUAAUUACCUGUUGUGCAGCAAUAGAAUCUAACAUGCAAAUACUCAUGAACGAGGAGGGAUUUACUACACCCAUAAACAAAGCAAGAGUUCCUUUAGUUGUAAGUCAAUUCUUUUUACUGAACAUGUCCGUUUUCAGUUCAGUUAUUUAUACAUGAAGGUGCUUAUUGAUUCAUUCUUUACAAUGCAGUGUUCAUCUUUUAUACCUGGAUGUGAACAGAAAUUGAAGCCUAAAGUAGGAAUGACAUUUGAAGGACUAAAGGCUGUGGAGGAGUUCUACAAGUCUUAUGCACAUCACUCUGGUUUUGGAGUUCGUAUUGGACAACAAAGGAAGUUGGACAAUGAGAUAGUUCGUAGUAAACGUUAUAUGCGUAACAGGGAAGGAUUCAAGUCUGAAAAGGGUAAUGAGAUUAUUGAUCCAUCAGUGAAAAGACAUAAGAACACGGCCACAAGAUGUGGUUGUGAUGCACAUAUUUUUGUGAAGUUGUGUGUAACUGACGCCUACAAGAUAGAAUCCUGGGUUGAACACCACAAUCAUAGUCUCAUGUCACCUGAUAAGCAUCAUUUGAUCAGAUCAAAUCGUCAAGUUAGUGAGAGGGCAAAGAAUACACUGUACACAUGCAACAAAGCAAGCAUAGGCACCUGCCAAGCAUACAGGCUCCUCCAAGUCAGCGAGGGUGGAUUUUCAAAUGUUGGAUGCACGAAAAGGGACUUGCAGAACUACUAUCGUGACCUCAGGUAUAAAAUCAGAAAUGCAGAUGCCCAAAUGUUUGUGUCUCAGCUAGCUAGAAAGCAUGAAGCUAAUCCAUCAUUUUUCUAUGAUUUUGUGGUGAGUGAAGAAGGGAAGUUGAUGUAUGUGUUCUGGGUAGAUGCCACAACUAGGAAGAACUACAAGCACUUCGGUUAUGUGGCAUCCUUUGAUUCUACAUAUACUACUAACCAGUAUGACAUGAUCUUUGCACCAUUUACCGGAGUGAAUCAUCACUUACAGAGUGUGUUUUUUGGUGCUGCGUUCUUACUAAAUGAGAAGGCUGAGUCAUAUGUUUGGUUGUUUAAGACCUUCUUGAGGGCAAUUGGAGGUGUAGCACCGAAACUUAUCAUAACCGAUGAAGCUGGUAGCAUCAAGAAUGCUAGUGCUGAAGUUUUUCCAACCACCGCACACAGGUUGUGCAUGUGGCAUAUGAUGGAAAAACUUCCUGAGAAGAUUGGACCGUCGAUUAGAGAAGAAUCUGAAUUUUGGAAGAGAAUGAACGCAUGUGUAUGGGGUUCAGGAACCCCAACCGAGUUUGAGUCACAGUGGAAUUCAGUAAUUUCAGACUUUGGGUUGGAGGACAAUAAGUGGUUAAGUAAAAGGUUUAGCCUUCGAGAGUCAUGGAUACCAGCCUACUUUAUGGCCAUAUCACUAGCGGGCAUUCUUCGAACAACUUCAAGGUCGGAAAGUGCGAAUUCAUUUUUUAACCGUUUCAUUCAUCGCAGGCUCACUUUAGUUGAAUUCUGGCUUAGGUUUGACACGGCUUUAGAAUGCCAACGUCAGGAGGAGUUGAUUGCAGACAAUUCAAGCAUACAUAGGAUCCCCCAAUUAGUUACACCAUGGGCAAUGGAGAAACAUGGUAGUGAAGUAUUCAAAUAUGAGGUGUUUGAGAAAUUUCAGAAACAAAUUAUUGCUUCAAGAGAUCAUUGUUGUGUUCAAGGCAUUGCACAAGAUGAGGGAAUAAAAAUAGUGACCUUCAAAACUGGUGCCAGUAAAGUAAGGGAGGUCCGUUGUGAUACGACAACCACGAUAGCUAAUUGUUCGUGCAAGUUAUUUGAGUCACAUGGAAUCCCAUGCCGCCAUAUUAUCCAAGUGAUGAGGAUUGAAAAUCAAAAUGAGCUUCCAACCUUCUAUAUUAUGGAAAGAUGGCAGAAAAGGUGUAAAAGGUACAAAAAGAAAAUCAUAACCAUCAUUACUCUUAUUUUAUUGCAAACCAUAUGGCUGAGAUCUAAUUUUUUUUUCUAUAGGGAGUGUUUACGAUGAACAAGGGAACCUGCUAGAAGAGAAGCCCACUGACUCCUUGGAUGCCGCUGCGAGGAAGAAGAUUUCAACAAUACGCAACAAGUUAGAAGAUCUAAUUUUAAGAGCCAAGCAAUCAGAUGAAGGCAUGGAGUUUUUAAAGUCGAGUGUGUUCAGCAUUAAGGAGCCCCUGGGCAAAAUGGUUCUUACAGCAGUCAAGCACACUAGGCAAGAGGAAUAUGAGGCAUUUAUUGGGUGCAACAUACCAACUCAGGUCGACAUACACCCACCAAAUGAUGUUCAUUCGGUAGGGAGAUGUAAACGAACAAAGAGAGGAAAGGAGAUGAAUGGAGAAGAACGGAAAAGGAAGAACAAAGAAGCCAAUGCCAAGGUCGCACACUUGUGCAAGACGUGCAAGCAAAUAGCAUUCACGAUAGUCGCAACUGUCCAAGCAAAAAAGGCCAUGGAGAAGAAACCAUGAAUGCGCAAGACAUUCAUCUUAAUGGAUCAUCAUGAUAGCUGCAAGCCUGCUAUUUGUGUCAAUAACACCAUUAUAUUAGUUUACUGAAUGUCUGCAUUUAUAUAAUGGAUGAGAAUUUGUGUUUUUCCCAAUUGAUUAGCUUAUUUGUAUUACACUGAUAUCAGGUUUUAGCAAGUUUACAUAAAGUGCAAAGAUCAGGUUUUAGUAAGCUCACAUAAUCUUGUCAGACUUAUCUUAUUUGUAUCACACUGAUUCAGUACUUUCCAUGGACAACAAUACUCCAGGUUAUUUUAUACAUUGAUUCUUUGGGCUGCUAACUGCUGCUACCAUGCAUCAUGUGCAAACUUUACAACAAACACAUCAGACCAGGAACACCUCAAUUGCUGAUAAGAACAAGCCAAUAAGAAUAUGUUUCCAUCUGAAAUUUCCAUUCACAACAACUUGCAGUCACUUGUUUCUGAAAAUCAAUAUUAAGCAAGAAGAGAGGAGUACAGGGGAGUUACAAAGUGCAGGGAGAGCCUGCAAAUGCUACAGAAGCAGCAUACCAGCCGGAGCUAAAGAGCUACAAGGACCAAAGCUACAAAAUGCUACAGAUGUAGCAUAUUAUCUUCAGUCAAAAACUGAAAACAACCUCAGUUACACCCAACUGAGCAAGAUUACAAAAAAACUUCAGAGAGCUGAAACACAGCCGGCAGUUACACUCUAGGAGUGAAGAUCUCCAGGAGCUUACAAGCUCACAAACCACAUUUGGGAGGAGGUCAAUCUGCUAGUACUAGAUACAUUAAACAAGAACAAGAAAAUUCAGUGAGGUGGUCAUCGUUGCUCUGCAAGGAACCUCAGGCUGUACUUCCUGCCCACGCGAGUCUGCAGUAGGCCGGCAUCGUCAGGUGGAGGGGUCUGGUUGUGCAAGUGAAGCGGCAGGGAAGUUGUGGCUGGCGGCGGCCUUGGCGUCAAGCCCUAGCAAAGUUGCGGACGGGCGGAGGGCCGGCCAGAGACCUGGACAGGGCGGCAGUGAGCGCAGGAGCAAGGUCGUCGGCAGAUCGCUCUGGGGCGAUGACGGAUCUGCUCCGGGUCGACGGCAAUGGCGAGCACGGGGGCAACGGCGACGGCGAGCGCAGUGGAGAGAGCCAUGGGGCUUUUUGCAGGGGAAGACGGGAUUGGUUCCUCCGAAAGUAUGGAGGGCUGGUUUGCAAAGAGGGACGGAAGCGGGCGUUUAAUUGCAAAAAAUUCUAAUAGUGAACACACGCGCACGAUGAAAAUCGGCCUGCUGUGAUGCGUGGGAUGCAGGAGUGCACCUCGAUGAGGGAUUCACAGGAUACGACGCCGACAAAAUGGGGCAAAGUCAGACAAAGAGAUCCCAGACAAGCUUCCCAUUUUCUGGACAGUAACAGAAAAUGCGGACCAGAUUGAGUAUCAGAUUGCGCAUUCAGAAUAGACAAGGUACAAAAAUCUGGGGAUGCAAUUAUAGGUUUGCAGUUCCAGAUUUUGUAAUUUGAAACCAAUGAAAAAUUCAGACAAAAAACAAACCAGCAAAGCUUGCAUGCUCCUGAUAACAACAAAGAAUUGACGAAAAAAUGGGACGCCAAAUUACAGGGUUGCAAUUCGAGUCAAAGGAAAAUGCAAUUGCAUUUCGUAUGACACCCGAUUGCGCAUAGUGAGCUAAGUGCAAAAAAUCAUAUGAAUUCCAGAAAUCGACACAUACGAUUUGAGAAUUACUCUUGUGCAAUUCUAAUGUCUCACAAAUGCACUUGCAACUCAUAUGAAACCUGAUUGCGCAAAGUAAGCUACAUGCCAUUGAGAUACAUUAAAAAGAGGGACGGAUUUUGGGUUCAUUACGCCAAUGAUCCACUGUCAUUUCAUAAAAAUAUUCGAUUGCACAUAGUAAGGUACACACAAUUAAAGAAAGAAAACAGAAAUGCCCAGAAAUCUAUAUCAUUAAACUCAGGAAGGUGCACUUUGUAUCUAAACACAUAAAUCUUGAUUACCAAAUAAGGGCCAAAAAAUAAAUGGAUACACAAAGGCAGAGAUAGCAUAACACAAAAAGGCAAAAUGAAGUGUACCUGUUCAUUGCUGACUCAAGUGGUCCUGUAGCUUCCCUUGUCAAAAGAAUUAGAAAGCAUAACUGCAGCCAUCUAACCGUCAUACAGAUAUAGGGCCCCUGCAUGCCAGAUAAAAACAACACUACACUAGCCAAGUAAAAAUUCCAUAGAAUGAACUCAAAAUGCCAUCAUCUUCAGAAUUUGCAAUUCGAACCUAGGAAAAAUCCAGACAAAAGAUACCAGAAAAGCUUCCAUUGUCUCGACAACAACAAGAGUCAACAAGAAAAAAAAUUGGGCACCAAAUUACAGGUUUGCAAUUCCGGUCAAAGGCAAAUGCAAUUGCGUUUCGUUUGAGAUCCGAUUGCGCAUGGUGAACUAAGGGCAAUUGAGAAAAACAGACAGAUUGGGGCAAGCAUUCAUAAACCGUAGACAAAAAAUAAAUGCAUAUGCAUCUCAUAAAAACACCGACUUGCACAUCGUGUGCUACAUGCAAUACCCAGAUACACUUUUGAACCUUUGAAUUAAGGACCGGCUGAACUAUGGAAUUGGAACUGUAAUUGAAGCUUGCUAACUACCAAGCUAAAAAGUCGUCUGUACAAGCCAACACAAAGUAAUAUCAGGAGAAAAAAAAAGGAGAUAGGAGCAGGAACGGUUGAUGAUGGGCAUGAAUGCUAACCUCAAUGAAUCCCCUCCUUGCACUUGUCUUUGACGUUUUAUGUUGAAACCUUGGUCCAGCCCAGCCACCCUCCAACAAAAAAAAUCGCAAAUACACUGGAAAACUUAUUACUUAUGUUUUCCUACUGUUAACAAUAAGAUAUGGCGAGAACAUAACGAACAGAAGAGCACGAACCUGCUGACACAUAGACACCAUUUCCUAGUGAUCCCCUGCUAAAAAAAAGGGUCCUAAAAACACCGAAAACAAUGAGCAAAUUCAGCUUAACAUGAUUGAAUUAAAAUACACUACAACUGAUCGCAAAAAAUCAGCAAUCAACAGAACCUGAGCUGAUAUAACACACAAUUAUAAGUGAACUGGACACCCAUAUAGCACACACAUAUAACAAUCAAUUGCACAUAAGAGUCGCAUUUUGCAUAUACAGUUAUCUACCACAUGACUAGUGACAUUUAUACAAAGAAACCAAAUUUAAAUUGAAGUGCAUAUCGCUAUCAUACAAAUUGGAACAUAUAUUAGUCAAAUUUACACCUAUACAGAUAUAAGCUACUGGUAAGCUAGCCCAAUGCCUAAUCAGAUUAAUACAAAAUGUAUGAGCCUGAAUAUACACUAUACAUAGAAGAGGUUAGAGCUACACAACAUUACAUAACAGUACUGCAAACAAAGGGGGAGGGGGGGGGGGGGGCAGGUGAACCAUGAAUCAAACACAUGAUAAGCAACCGAAAAUCCAAUACAAGCUCCCACACAACUCUAAAAUUCAGGCUAAAGAGCAUAAGCUUAUAACAAAGCACAACCAGAUCCAAGCUACAGCCUAAUCCACCGAACAACUACACUCUUUCCCAGCCACUAGGGUGCAUAGCCAAAAAUAAUGGUUUCUUAACCUCCUAGAUACAAAUGACAUAAAGACUACUGCUUGCAUCAUGCUCUUGCUUUGGAGAGCUUGGCACCACAAGAAUGAUUUUAUUUUUGACAAGGGUGACUCGUCGAUGAAUUCCUUGGGCAUGUUUCUCUGGUCCUUCCUCCAAACUUCCCUCUCUACAUAUCACCCCCUGUCACGACCACAAAGGCACACAAUUAUAAGUGAACUGGACACCCCUUUUUGAGCACACACCACCAAAUCAACCCAUAAACGUCCAACCUCAACAAUCACCAAUUCGUCUCCGGAGGAAAGAGUUCCAACAGCAAGCACAUGUUAACAAAUCAAACGCCCCAACACAAUGGGAUGGCUGCACACAGACAGAUUGCUGCAUUUUCGAAAAGCAAUUGAAAAAAUAAAUUUAAGGAAUGGCAUGGUACAACAUGUAGACAUAUCAUUUUACAAAAGUGACCAAAAAGGGGUAGGAUUGCCACAAUGCUAGACGAAAUUUUAUUUCAAAAAGAAGCACUCCCUUUUUACACAGCAUAAAGCUAGGGUUGCAAUUAAUUUAGCAAAGUAUCAAAACUGAAUAGAUUCCAUAACUACAAAACAAAGAGAACAUGUAUACAAAUUAAUAUAUGCAAUUGCGGUUUGAAAUAGAUCCUGUUGCAACAAGAGAAGAAGUGCAAUUUUAUUUGAAAGUGGGUGCAAUUUAAAUAGACAUAGGUUUAAUACAAAAGGGACCUAUAGCAAAGGUGAUUUAUAACCUACAAAUUGACACUCAUAAUUACCAAUUACACAACCAACUGACACUUAUACCAGACAAACCCAUAGAAUCAGAAAAAUGGCCAUGAAAGGAAAAUUUACUAUAUUAGUUCCAAAUUACAAAAGGUAAUUACAUUCAGUGGGCAAAACCACAACACAUAAUCAACCCAUAAUACAUGAAAUGGCAAAAUUACUUUCAGCAGCUAAAACACAUCAGUCUGAAUCUGAAUCCCUACUACAGUUAGCCCACGUUGCGAAAGGAUUCAGCCUGCUCUGAAUCACUACAUCACAAACAGCACCACAGACCACAAAAUCAACCCCUGAAUCAAACACCCGACCAGCAAAAAUCAAACACGAAACUGGAGAAUGAAACCCGAAAAUUUCGGCCGGAGAAACUCACCACGCAAAGCGACCAACCUCGUCGCCGACGAGCACUGAUGCAAAAUGACCCGCGAGUCAGCGACAACGCAGGUGAUGCGGGCACGCACGGGUGGUUGCCUCCGUACUCCCGGGCGGCGUGCUGGAGCAACACCGCGAACGUCGGCUGACCCUGGAGCUCGACGCGUACGGCGAAGCUCCACGUGCCCUCCCUCCGCCGACGAACACCGGCUCGUGCCCCUCCGGCACCCGCGCGCCGCCUCGCAGCCUCUUCGCGCCGGAGAAGGAUGACGACGUCGAGUCCACGUAGGCGGUCUUGACCGGAGCAGCUGGGCAGCAGCGGCGCAGGCGUUGGCCGCGGCCACGCGGGAGGUCUGCCCCUGAGCAGGUGCUCCGUGCUGCUCUCCGCUCCCCCCAUCCCUCACCCAGUCACCCCCCCAUCUCCUCCCCGCUCUCCAGAACACAACCGCGAGGAGCCGUGGACGCCCAGCGAAAGACAUAGGCGUUAAACACAAAAAAGAAAGAAAAAAGCUCACCAAACUUCCACUGAUCUCGUGUACAGAUCGCCUGUUUUUUUCAACAAACGCAGGCGCCUCGUGUACAGCAAAACGGCAAAAAUAAUGGGUUCAACUCUAUUUAUUAUAAUGUAAUCUAUUGGGUUUGAGAAAUUCUAUUGGGUUCAUUUUUUUACUGUACCCUGGUACUCUAUAUAGAGAGGUGGAAGUACCAACUAAAUCUGACCAUUGGUUUAGCAGGGUAUUUUAGACCUUUUUCUUUUCUAAUGCAAUUCAAUUUAUUUUUUCUGCCGUGCGGUGCAAAAAGAAACGAAACUGCUUCGUCCUCAAGCCGCCUCUGCCUUUUCCUAAACAGGCGCAUCCCAUGGCGUCAUGGUGGGGCUGGCGGCUUCCUGCUCCGAUCCUCUCCCAUCGUCCUACUCUCUGAUCCUGUCCGAUCCGAUCAGUUGCUUCCUGUCGAUGCAUCUCCCACAGCGCUGCUACCAGUCUGACCGAAGACGGCGCCUCGUUUCUCCUUCUCGCUAGCAUGCCCCGUGAUGUAGAUGGAGUCCACCGCCACCGCCGAUGGCCUCCAUGGCCGAAGCGCAGAAUCUCGACAGCGGGGAAUCCGCCCGCUCAUCCCGUCUCCUCCGCAAUCCUUGGUAGUGGUUGAUGCCGCUGUUGUUUGUCUUCCGUGGACGAAGAUGCAGAGCCACGCCGGCGGCCAUGCGUCGGGUAAUUUGUGCGCUGUGAAGAGGAGUGGGGUUAGUUCACGAAUGAAAAUACAAGGAAGAAAUUCACUCGCGGGAAAAGAAUAACAUAACGUGCCGAUUACAAUUUUGCCAUCUAGAUCCUGGUACUCCAUGACUUUUCGAGUCAAUGCUCCAUUGAAUUGGUGUUGGAGUGCCAGAUCGUAUUAACCGUUAGAUCGAGAUAAUUGGACGGUCUAUAGUAGCUCAGGGGUAUCGUAAAAGAGCUCUCACCUGAACCCAUCACUUCUAUACCAACUGCGCCACGGAGUACUCCCUGCGUUCCUAAAUAGAAGAUGUUGUUCGUAUUAAGUCAAAAUUCUUAAAUUUUGACCAAGUCUAAAACAAAUCUACAAUAUUGAUAACUCUAAUUUUUUUAAUCCGUCAUGAUACAUUUAUUUGAUAUUGUAGAUGUUACUAUAUUUUUCUGUAGAUUUGGUGAAACUCUAUUUUUUGACUUAUGAUAAAACUACAACAUUUCUAUUACAAUAUAUUAAAUUGGAAUCGGUGGUGAUGGGUGGACGCCGUUGGUCGGUGUUGGUCGGUCAAUUUCGUUAAAAUUACAAUCAAUAUGCCACUGCCCCUUAUUUUUUUUCCCUCCCGCCUUAUUCACGAUUUCAAUAGCAGAAAUUCUACGGUUUAGAUUUACCGAAAGUUAUCGUACGGUCCAAAUUUGUCACAAUAUAAUACGAACAGUUCUAAAAUAAAUCAAUCUCCUUAACAUGAAUUCCAAAAAUUUUCGUAUCCAUCUCAGUAUGGAAAUCAAUCCGAACCCAAGCAAAAAAUCUCGAUAUCAAUCUCAGUAUGGAAAUCAAUCCAAUCAAAAAAUCAAUAUCCAGACUUCACCUCCACCGGCUCGUGUUUGAUACACUUUCCGUUGUUCCGUAGCAUCGCAUGGGUUCUUUUGCUAGUUUUACAUUAAUUUAGUAACAAUGUUAGCUUGUACUCAUUGUGGGAUAAAAUAUUGCUGGACUAUAAAAUGCACAGAAGAUGGCGACCUUCCCACUCUUAAAACACCAAACGAAUUCCAAAACAACGUCUACAGCCUCGAAAUUUUACCUCUUCCUCGUAGUCAGUGAUCGCGGACGUUGAGAGUAGAGCAGAGUACGUAGGUCUGGUACGUGGUGAUCACAGCGGCAGAGGGGAGUCCGGGGGGACCUAGGAUAUUAAUUAAGAGGGAGCAAAAAAUUUAAGCAUUUGAAAAUAUUACACAUAAAUUAGAGGAAUGUGGUAAAUGUUUAGUGUUAGAAUUAAAAUAGAGACGAGAACAAAAAUAACUAACCAUCUUAAUUCGUUUCCAUAUUUCAACCUCUAAACUCUUGUUAUCAAUUAAUUAUAAGCAUAUUCACCGCUAUAGGAAGCAGAUUUCUAUAAAGAUUGGUUUUUAUGUUUUAUUUUUUUUAGAGACAUCUGGCUUUAUUAUUUAGUAAAAGUGGCACUCCAUUCGAUGCAUAAUAAGUGUCUGAAAUUUAGUACAAAUCUAUACCAAUUGUAUAUUAAGUUCAAUUCAUUUUAGGGGUGAAGAUUUGUUGGUUUUGACCCCAGAAUUUUUUUUGAGAGGGGUUUUAGCCCCUGAUUAAUCACAUGAAGACACACACCACGAUCACCGGAUCAGGCCAAAAGUCAAAACUCAAUCGAACAAAAUGGAGUCUCAACUUUGCCUCGGGCCCUCAAGAGACCCCAAAAAGGCCAUAAAACCCAUAGCUCAGCCCAGCCCAGCCCAGCGCCAAAGAAGCCCAUAAAUCCUGGAAGAAAGUUCAUCCAUCUGCAAAAAUCACAUCUGCAGAUCUGCUCGUUUUCUUGCCGCUGCUCAAUCUCAUACUCCUCAACGCCUAUCCUCUCCGGCGCCCGACGCUCGACGGUCCCCGCUGAAUGUCCUUCUCCUGUGAAGUCUGAUCCCCUCCCCGGGGGCUUACCACCGGCCACCGGCGCCUGCUUGCUGUUCCCCGACCCGCUAGCUACCGCUAUAGGUAAUUCCAUUGCCUUAAAUCAAUGUAAGGGAAACCAUGGAUUGUUCACUGAUACUGCUCCAAGCAUGUCUCGAUUGAUGUUGAUGCUCUUGCUACUUGGCUUUUGCACAUGUAGUGAAAUUUUUAGGAGAUUUUAUCAACUACUUCCUCAGUUAUAUAUUAAUUGGCACGGAUACUUGUACGAGAUCCGUGUCAAUUAAUAUGGAACGGAGGGGUAGUCACGAAUAAUCCCUCGAUAGGUAUUUCCACAUGUGUGAUAUGUUCAUGGCAUCAUGCGUUGAGAAAGUUGACACUUUACAGUACUCUCUCUGAUCCAUAAAAAAGGUCGCCCAUUUUGUAAUAAGAUACUCCCUCCGACCGGUAUUACUUGUCUCAAAUUUGCCUAAACGUGGAUCUAUCUAUGUGUAGAAAGUGUCUAGAUACAUGUAAACUUUGACAAGUAAUUCCGGCCGGAGGGAGUUGUACAAAUUGUACUAAGUGGAGGACACUUUUAUGGGUCGGAGGGAGUAGCGUUUGUGUGUAUGCGUGUGCUGUUCAGAUGGCCGAGAGUGACAACAUACCACGUCUUAACCAAAUAACCAGCCCCCAUUGUGUACUUGUGUGUGUGUCAUGGAUGCAGCAUGCUUGCUAUUAGGCUAUAUACUGAAUCUAUUUACCGGAAAAUCAAAACCGAUCAUGCUCUUGCUGUUAUGUGCUAUGGCAUUAAAAAAGUGUCGCCCAUUUCUCCGUGAAUGAAUCUUUUAAAUAGGAUUUGCUUCUUGUGUCAUGUGGCAAGAUAUUUAUUUAUUUUAAUGAAGUCGGGAGGGGAGACCCCUACCUGAAUUUAGAUAAAAUGGAGCCAGAGGCUCAAAGUUACAAAGAGCCUGAAACCCGCAAAAGAGAAAAUGAUUACAAGGCAGGACAGAGCAAACACAAGGAAGAAAAGGAGAAAGAAAAAAAGUUGGUGUUUAUCAGGCCAAUCUUCAAUCCAAUGGCUGAGCGCCUGUUUUUCCUUGUUCUUGAAACGGCAAGACCAGAGCUUCAGCGUUUCACAGCAUUGUCUUGCGACCACGACUGGAGGAAUAUUGUGAUGGUCAAACAUAAGAUAUUUACUCAUCAAAUAUAAAAACGAAAUUCAAAUGCUAUCGUCUCAUUUUUGAGUUCUCAACUUUGGUUAGUUUGGUAUCUACUGAAACCAUACCGAAAUGGUUUGGUAUAAUACCAAAACCGAACCAUAUUUACUUUCAUACCGUAUUUACUGAAGUUUUGAUUCCGUAUUUACCGAACUGAAUUAACCGAAUGCACAGUCAUAACACUACCAUGGCCAUGGCCGCUGCUGUCUCUAUCUCCCUCUUCCCUACUCUGGCUGGGCAUCCUCUCGCCAGAAGAACACGUAAAUCUCCAUACUCCCAAUGUGUCGUUUGAGUCAAGCCUCUCUUGGAUGAUGGAUCAUACCUUGGUUUCUGAUCUCUAGCUUCUUUCGCUGGGUUGUACAAGAAGAAGAGAAUGAUUUCGGUGAAGCGGGUCUGCUGCUCUACUGAUGAUGAAGGUUAGUUCAGUGAUGACAGGCUGAGAAAUCCAAAUGCACUUCUUUUUUAUUUAUUUUUCAUAGAAUUAAUAUUUCGUUCAUGCUUUGUUUCCUAAGUAUGUGAGUGCUUAACAUAAAUCCACAAGGUAUUUUAGCUUUAUAUGUUUCGAGUUUUUUCCCAGUUAAUUUUGUGCAAGAGAACUCUUUCAGUGACUCUUAGGAAUAAAUGUGUGCCAGAAGCUCAUGAACUCACAGUGUAAAAACUCGCUAGACAUACGCCAGCUAUGGAACACUAUCUGCACCUGUGAAACAUGAAUUCAGGACAUUGUGCAUUGAACUUUAUUUUGUCUGAAGACGAAGUUGUGCUCUCCCUGCAGUGAACUACAGAAGUAAAAGGACUGACCCCCCCUUCGUGACAAUUUGUGCAUGUUAUGAUUCUGAGAUGAGAAAGUCGAUGAUCUGGGAGUAAACGUAGCACUGUCCAUGCUAAAAUUCUACAAAAGUAAGUCCGAAUUUGCAGUUUGUUGCCUCUUGAUUCCUGAUUGUCUUUUGGACAUCCAUCUUACUACUACUAUGCAGUCAAAAACUAUGCUUUUCAGAGGGAUUAGAUCUGUAUGGUCUGCUCACUGGGUCAAGCUUUAUGUCGACAGGAGAGGUAUCACCCUUACUACCUUCAAGCUGCCGUUAUGUGCCAACAUGCAUCGACUACUCUAUGCAGGCGUAUGAAAGGUAUGGUCUUGCGAAGGGUGCAAUCUUGACAGCGCGGUGUAUGUGCCGUUGUAAUCCUCUUAGUAUGUUUUCUUUCUGUUUGCUUAAUAUUUUCAGCUAUGGAAAACUGACCAUAUCAUAUUUAUGGAACUGAGCACUUUUUUAUCUGAUACACAUGUAGGUGGACAGGGAUAUGAUCCUCCAAGGUGGUUUGGUGGGGAAGAGUUACCUGAGGAAUAAUGACUGGUAAUUACUAGCUAAGCACAUACGCCCAAUGGUGAUGUUACAUACAGUUCAAUAUGGAAUAUAGACAGACUUCAGUUGCAUUGUGUUUUAAGUAAAUGACUAUACAACAACUAAAACAAGAGAAAAACAACGCUGUUAGAUUUCUGCCGUACCAGCAUGCUCAAUGUGCCUGGGUUGAUGGUUACUUCCCUUCCAAUGCGCACUACUUCAUAUUAAAAAAAAUAUUCAAGCACAUGGAAUAGAAACAGGUGGAGAGAACAUCAAAAUAACCUGUGCACCUUGACUCUGCAGGAACACUAGACAUCUGGUGCUGCAAGCCUGCAACAACAUGGACCUUAAGUCGACCGAUUGUAUCAUCAAGAAUUAUUGCUAACUUACGAUGCUAUAGAUUGUGUUGUUCCUCAUAUAUUUACUCAUGCCUAAUUGAGAAAAUUGAAGAAAGAUAUCUAGACACCUUGUCAGAUUGAGUGACGCAGGGAUUACACAUAAUCUUAUCAUCUCUGAUAAAAAGAGAGUAGCAAUUCUAGACAGUUUUACGGAUAUAUGUCAGCAACUAUAGUAAACAGGUGCAACUUGAAAAACUGAACGUGGUUUCUGGUACUCGGUUACAGAUACAAAAAAGAAAGAAAAGGAGAAGAACAAACACACAUCUGAUGCUGGAAACACACACCAAACUGAGGAAAAGCACAUACCAAAACUGAGGAAAUAUCUAGAUGACAUAGAAACACCAGAUCAAAUCAAUAUAUCCAUUGGUACUUCAAUCUAUCAAUCCAUCUAUGUCAAUUCAGAACCACUAGUACAAUCUCACAAAAGCAGAGCAAAUGUGCCCAAGCAUCCAGUUGAAUCUAUGCCACGUUAGAACUGCUAGCAUCAUCAGCUACCCAUGCUGAGAGGGCGUAGAGGACCCGGCCUUUCCACCCUUGCAGAAGCCACCGAUGGUCCUCAUUGAUCAUGAAAUGCUUGUGGUACUGGUUCUUCACUUUGUCCUUGAGCAUCAGAACAAUAUCAGGGUCCAAUGGCAACUGCCUCAACCCUGCCCGGUGGUUCCGAGUCUGCCACUCCCUGUAGUUCUGAGGGCGCUCCACCCUGUCUGCCCCUUCGCAGGCGACCAUGUUCAUGACAGAACGUGCGAAAAAGUCCCGCUCCAUCUUCAGUCUCUUGUCGUUGUUCCGUGGAAUCGUGGUCUCCAACACAUCAAAAAAUGAUGCGAAGUUGUACAACGCAUGGCGGAACCGUGUCAUGAAGAACGCCGCACUGUAUGACCCAUUGGUGAUGGCAUGGACAAACACAGACGGCUUCAUCUUCCUGAUAGUGUUGAGCACCAUGUCCCUUGGGCUUACCCUGUCCAUGGUGAGGCUCUCGUCCAUCAAGGUCUUGAACUGGAACAGGCUGUUCACGACAAGCACCUCAUCAGGGUCAAUGUGGAUGUCCUCUGCCCGAACAGCCUCUGGCUGGGCUGUGAUGGCGUUGAACUUGAAUGACAUGCCGAACUUGCUUGCAUAGUUGCUGAGACGGUGCCCUGCCUCCUCGAUUUGCUCAGAUGGGCGGAACCCAGGCUGAGGCUUGCUGAUGCUGGUCAUCCUCACCUCUGGUGGCCCUCCCUCCCUGUCCGCCAGCCACUGGAUCAACUCCGGCCACUGCACUCCGAUGUUGAUGCCGUAGUGCACAAUGUGCAGUUUCUUCCUGCCUGCAACAGCUUUGUAGAUGGUCUUGUUGGAAAAGAGAAAUGCGACCUUAAAGAAGCAGAAGGUGGCGCUGUACAGAUGGUAAGCCUGAACAAGCUUCAUAGUGGAGGUGCGUGUCCCAAUGAGCGAACGGUAGAACUGACUCCCCGUGCCGGCCAGCCGUGCCUCCAGCCCCUGGGCGAAGUAAUGUGCCAGCCGCUGCCUAGAAUCCCCCGUUGGUGAGGAGUACCGCUUGAUCUUCUCCAGUACCUCGCUCGCGCUGCGAUGGUCGUUACUGGCCACUGCUUCCGCACAGCGGAUCAGCAGUGUUUCUAGGUCAGUGACCACCGUCUGUGUUGCACCGCGCCUCCCACGUAUGCGUCUGCUCUUCUGUGCCACCUUGUUCUCCUUGUCUGGAGUGAUUAGUAGCUCCUGCAUCUCACCGGGGUGCCUGUCAUAGCCAUUGAGGAUGAGACAGUCCAAGCUCUUCUUGAGCUCGUCCUCCUCCUCCGAGUCAGCAUGCACUAGCACCGCUAUUUGCUUGCUGCUCCUGCCCAUGCCUGCCUCCGUCACACCAUCCACGUCAAACUUGUUCUUACACCCCCUACUAUCCACCAUCACGAAGUCUCUGGGCAGGAACAUUUCGGUGUUCUCCAUGCCUUUGAAGAAUUCCGUGCUUGGCAUCUUGUUCAUGCUGGUGAUGCUAGCGCUCUCCAUGGGAAACUCGUCAUUCCUGGGCUCCACUGUGCCUGUACCAUUCGAGAAGAAGGCUGGAUCCUGUACCUUACUGGGCAGCAAGGCAGAGGCAAGCACAUCUGGUAGUGCCGAGGACUCGUCACCAUCGAAUGAGGUGGUGUCAGCAGCAGAGAGGAUCUGGGCGAAGGGUUGCUCAACCUGCAGGAGCUUCGGGUGAUCAGUGUACUGGUAGGUGAACUUGUCAACAAUAUCAUCCUCCAUGAGCAUGCGCGAGAUGUAUUCCAAGGACAGAUCAUCCUGUGGCUGCUUUGAGUCACCAUGGUCGAGGAAGACGGACGGAUGCACUGGCGCAGACUCGAUAACACCUAACAACUCCUCUUGGGUGGCAGCCAUGGUGGGUAGAUGCUACUUGGUGAUGGUGCAGUGGAAAUAUGUUGGAAUUGGAGUGGAGAUAUCAUUAUCAUCGAACCUCGUUGGUUUCUAGCCAUUGGAACCAGCUUUAAUACAAAUAUACAAUCCAGAUGGUUCGUUACUUGAUUUAACCGUCCCUGUGCUUAUGGACAAAAAAAAAGCAGCCAUCUUUUCUGUCCCUGUCUAAUCAAAAGCAGGAAUUCUCUGGUAGAAAAUAAUUUUAUGUGUUGAAGUUUUGUGCUGUUAUGGUACAGAGAACAAGUCAAAUUCUGAACGAUUUGUAUACUCAACUUUUUUGUCCUGAAAAUUUACAAUCGGUACCUGUAGUAGUUAGCAUCUAGAUGUAUGUAACUUGGAACGAUGUUCAGUCUUAUGUCUCUUUCCUGCCCCACGCUUGGACCAAACUAGUAGCAAAUUACACCUGCAAGUGAACAAUACAUUUGUUAGGUUAAACAAAUUGCAAAUUCAAACUCCAGCCCUCUUAGCAGAUUGAUUAUAUAUUAGUGUUUUUUCAGUCGUAUCAUUCUAAACGAGGAAACUUAAGAAAAAGGUGUUUUUUCAGUCGUGUACUCAUGUAUCAAUUUUAACUUACUCAUAUCAUUCUAAAUGAGGAAACUUAAGAAAAAAGUACGGCCAUCUUAUCACAUCAACUCUGGAAAAUAGGUGCAGCUCCACAAGCAGAUCAUGGAUUCUGUUACUCGACUACAAAAGUAAAUGGAGCGAUGAAACAUCUGAUGUUGCUGCAACUGACCUUUAUGGCUUGUUUAACUCAUCAAACACAAACCUAAUGUCUGUAAAAGUAAUUUACAAGCGACCGCAGAAGAUAUAUUAGCAAGAAGCAUAUAAUUCAUGUGUAUAUAUCUUGUAUUGAUUUACUUUUUGAAGGGAAACUUGAUUUGUGCACGGAACAAAUUAGUAAUAACUUAUCCUUAUGCAGGACAAAGAAGCUAAUAAUCUGUGGCAGUGUCGUCUAGCACCCACACCAAGAAAACUUAGAGGAUGCGCACCUUCCGCAACAACCCCUGAUCCACAUCCACAACAUAGUCCUUAUGGUACAGGCUCUUGUCCUUGUCCCUUGCCACCUCAACAUAAUCAGCUUGAGUGGCUGUUGUCUUAGGACUGCCCGUUGGUUUCUCAGUAGUACUAUGUUUUAACUCAAUAACUCUAUACAACAACUAAAAGACGAGAACAACAAUGGUGUUAGUUAGAUCUCUGCAAUUCCAAUCAGGCGAUCCAAAACCAUUAUAAUCAAUGUGCUUGUGAAUGUGAUGGCCUUUGUGUAUGUCUGUUGCGGUGCAUAUAUAUGAGUGUGCUUUUACAAUUUACAUCUUUCAGAUUUUCUCUCCCCUCAAUUGUUUUGCUCCAUUCUUCUGCCGACUAGUGUCAAGACCCAAUUGGAUUUUGCUGUUUUCUAAAUAUUUAUUUGCAUUUGGAUUUGGUCAGAAAAUUUUAUUAGAUGAAAAAAGAUUGGCAUAUUCCUGAAGACAGUCCAAAAUUCUUUCUAUGGACCCAGAUGAAAGAUGAACAUUGCCAUAUUCCUGAACAUGAAGGCAGUCGUUUUUUUUUCAGAACUACCAGUUGGUGGAAAAAUUCAAUGUACAAUAUACAAAAAUUAUAGUUAUGGAGUACAAGCAUGAUUCUGCUCUUGCACUGUAAGUCUAUAUUAAGUUAGACUCUUUCUUAGCCUCAGGGGUUUGUGCAGUGCAGUUCAUACUGUCUUCAAAUAUUUGCUUGGUCGGGUCAGCUCAUCUGAUCACCUGGCUACCAUAUCCUCGUAUAUGGUGUUCGUCUGCUGUUGUUUUCUGUUGCAACUUGGCAUGAUCUGGAUGUUUUCACACCUAUUCCAAAACCCCUAGUAUCGAUCCCUGUCAUUGCUGGAACCUUUUUUUGUUUCUCGUUAGUAGUUUUCAGCAUUGUUGGCACUAACAGGUAACAGCUGGUUUGCCAUGUCGAUCUACUAUUCUCUUCCUCUUUGUUUUUUUAUUCUCAGAUGGCGGAAUGUCUCACAGAAUAUCAUUUCAUCAUGCAACUAGGGGAAGUGACUGUUGUUUGUUUCCAGAGUUUGCAAUGUUGAUCUUUUUUAUUACAUUGCUCUCUUUUUUCAGAUAUCGGAAUGCCUCACAAAGUUUAACCUCAUCAUGCAAUUCACAAGGGAGGUACUUAGCAGCACUAGUGCUGGUGAAUGGUGAUAGUUUCAAGGGAAAGUGUCUACUGACUAUACUGUGAACUCAUACAAUGAAAAGAUGAUUGAUUGUCUGGGAUUUCUAAGGGAAAGAUGGUUGUGAUAGACGGUAAGUAAACUACGCUACAAAUUAUGAACCACUAAACCGCUUCUGUAGAAGAACAAUUCUGCUGACUUAAAGUUGGGAACAUCUGUUGGUUUAGCUCAGGGAUUGUACAGUUUAGUUUUUAGUUUUAUGAUAUCUGUGAACAACGAUCUAAAUGACGACCGCAAAAAGUAUUUGAUAUGCGAGAUUUUAUUCUUCAUAUGUACACGGACACCUUGGUGCAGGUUGCACAAUAGAUUUUCAUCAGGUAUAUAAGAGUUUUGACCAAUCAGGUUGCGCAGUAGAUUUUUUCAUUAGGUAAUAAAAGAGUUUUGACCAUACUUAAAAAAAGACCAAAUGUGCCCAAGCAUCCAUUGGUAGUUGAAUCUAUGUCACUUCAGAAGUCAGAACUGCUAGCAACAUCAGCUACCCAUGUGGCCAUGUCAAGAGGGUGUAGAGCAUUCAGGCCUUCCCAUCCCUCCACAAGCCGUUGGUGAUCCUCAUCGAUCAGGAAAUGCUUGUGGUGUUGCCUCUUCACUUUGUCCUUCAAUAUAACAAUGUCAGUCAAGUGGUCAUAGACCUGACAGACCAAGGCCAUGGUGCGGAUCCAAGUGAUAAUGCUGCUUGGGCAGGUAAGAGGAAUGAGUGGACUCCGGCAAUGUGGGUAAACAGAGGAAGCGCAUAAUGUCUGAUUGAGAAAUUUGAAGAAAGAUAUCCAGACACCUAAUCAAACUGUUUUCAUGGGCUGUACUGGACCGAAAAUCAAAGAACUUAAUCAUGUUCAAUUCAAGGCGCACGAAACUUCUUUUGUCAAAAGAAGAUCCUGAAAGCAUUCGCCACCUGUUGUUUCAAUGUUGUGCUGCUAGAAGAUUUGGCUGCUUAAAUCUGAUAUCCUGAUCCGCUCAGUUGGCACUAACUUUGAAUCAGUUGCAUUUGGAUUCAGGAUUCAGAGUCGAGACAAGGUGGCAUUUCGAUGCAGUAACUAGCAAGGACCAUUUGAGUAACUUCUCAAACCUAACAUGAUAUUAAUUUUUAUUUCAACUAGGGUUCUUUGGAUGACACUACAUAAGCUAAAUUAUAGCACUUUUAAUAAAAAAGAAUUUGUUGAUCUAAAAGAAAAUUCAGACACUAAUUUUUGCUUAAGGAAAAUACAUUCCCCAGACACUCCCUUGCAGAACUUUUCAUUGGACUCAGUCUAGCUAUGAGAUUUAUCAUCUCUGCUUCAAACUUUCAAGCACUGCCAUUGAAAAGGUUCCAAUCAUGGACAUCAAAGUUCAUAACCGCAAGUCUGAAAACCUCUGACAUUGGUAAGCAUCCUGCUUCUUCUGCAGGUACUGCUGAUCCAGCUGCAACCGCCUGGGUGCUCUCACUCAAGGGGCUGGAAUAAAAAUGACAAAAGAAUAAAUCACUCGAGGAGCAGAACCUGUAGAACUGGACAAUUAUGCAGCAGAAACAUAUUAUCAGAUCCCCUACAACAUAAAAAUCAAGGCAUCAAUAAUUGUAGGUUUGUGUCGUGAACUUGGAUAUGGAAGUCCAUACUACUUUUGCUUACUUUCACUCAGAUCUAAUACUACUAUCUUCAUAUUAUAUGUGAUGCAUCAUCAUACUGUUUUACCUGCAUUUGAACUGAAAAAUCUAGUUUUGAUAUUCUGUCUUGCUGUACUACUACAAUUGCAUUUGAAGAGGCUCGGCCUAGGCAGUAAAACUGAAGGAACUACCGGAGCACAACAUGCUGCUUUUCAUCUGGAUUUCAACUGAAUAUUCGAUUUUGUGUUCUAGAAAAAAGCCUGAAAAGUCUUUUUUUUUCACAUUUUGGUUACACCAGUAACCACACCAGUAUGAUAGGCCAACUGCAUUCAACGUCCUAGCCUAGACAAAGAACUGAAAGAAAGAUCUGAGCCUGACAGGGUAGCCAUACUGUUUAGAUACAAAGUCAAGGGAUAAUUGUUAUUAUGUAAAAUCAUUAUUGACCCUCACUCAAAACAUGUCACUAAAAAUUAAAUUUAUGCAAGGAAAUAUUGUGUUAAAUAAGUUGUACUUCUCCUAACACAUCAUUAGAUAGUAAUCAAAUCAUACAAAGAGCAGCAAAUGGCACUAAGCAGUACUGGCUGAGAUGCACAAUCUGAAUAACAUUUUGUACCAUAUAAAGUAAAAAACAUAAUAGAAACGUUUUGUCAAAAAAUUCCCAUUAACCAGAAGAAGUAUGUGAUAGUGAUAUGCUGAGCUUACUUUAUCAAAAGUGGCUCAUAUGCGGUGAUAACUACAUCUGUAGCUGCAUUCUUCAGACGUAAGUUUGCCAAGUAAACCUGCAAAGGUAAUGCAAGACUCCUCAGUUUAAAAGGCCAAAUUAACUGAUUAACCAUACUAACCAAGGAAUUGUGUAUCUGGUAAAAAAACCAAGGAAUUGUGUACUAACUCGAACAAUGUUCUGUGCUUCUCUGCCUUGUCUCCCUUUUGAAACUGCCUACAGAAAUGACGAAUACCAGGCAUGAGAUUUAAAAGUGCAUUUUAUUCACUUUUUUUUGACCGAAAAACUGUAGGAGAGAUUCCGACAGUAUAUAUAUAAUUAUAGAAAAAAGUUCAUAAUUACAACACGCGGCGAUUUUAUUCACUCAUCGCCCAUUCAGAGCUAAGCGCCCACCAUAUAAAUGGAUACCAACGAACUGAAGUAGGAGUAUCAAAUUAAUGAGGCUGAGCUGUGGAAGCCGACUGGUGCCAUGGAGCUUGGAAGCUGCCAUCUCAUGCCAGGUCAUCAGAGAAGAAGCAACAUUUUAUCCUUUUUGUUUUCCUUUUGUUUUUUCGAUCAGACCUAGUUUGUUUCUUUGUGGUUGCAGCCAUGUUGCUAGUUUGAUUGCACUAACCAAUAACCAUUGGUGGCUUUGGUUCUGCAAUGAUGUAAUCUUUGUGCAAUUUCUGUGUGUUCCCUAGAACACAACAAGAAGUGCAAUUAGGUGUGUACUCUAGAAACAAAGAAGUGUCGAAGUUAAUUUAAUCAUGAUGCACAUUCCGACAAUGUUUCAUAAAUCCUAAUAUUUACUUGAUCAUCAGUUCUCUCACAAUGAGAGUACUAUGUCUCCCACUAAGUCAUCCCAUUACCUUUUUAUUGAAGAAAUAAGCAUAUGCAAGUUAACUUGUACCAAAGGGCAAAGGGACAGGAACCAUGUAAGAAUGUUAAACCUUCCCGCAAUACGAACAACACAACCAACGACAAAUGAUGUUCAGACAACGAAAAUCCCUUGUUGUUUGUUUUCAAGGAUGGAUGGCAAUGUCCACUGAAAAGUACUCCAUCUCUGUAAUGUGCAGUACUAGUCUAAAGUAUGGUUUGGGCCGACUUAAUGAUGCUAUCAUAUCCAGGGAAGCCCAGGUGAAAAACUGAAAACUAAUUGACUGGACAUCGACUGAAGACAAGGAGGAGGGUAAUCUGGAUAUGCACAUGACAAUUAGCUCACCAGCUUGCCAAUUGCAGUUCCAGCCACUGCAGAUGCUUCUCCGUCCCGCAGACCAGCUAGCUGAACCGUCCCAGAGUGCUCGAUCACCUAGCAGACAAGCAAGAAAUCAACAUACCCCUCCCCUUAAUGCAUCUUGCUCGUUGGCGUAUCUAGUUCCAUGAGGAAGUUAACAACAAUGAAAUGCACGUGAAAUAGAAAGGGAGUACAUUUGUUGUUGCCGGGGCCAAAUGCCAAAGCACAUACUAGUAAGAAUUGGUGCUAAAACGAGAUUUAUAUGGCCAAGUGGCCAACGGCACACUGAAGCCAAGAUGCUGAUAAUAUUACCAUGUCAUCCCCCGCAUCUUGCUCGUUGGCAACGUCACGCAGGAACCAGAGCGCGCUGCCGCCGUCCUCCACCUCGCCCUUGAGGUCGAGCAGCUCGAAGAUGAGGCUCUCGUCACGGGCAGGAUCAACGAAAACUUCCUGGGUAGUAAGCAGCAGAGUCACUCACAUCGAUCACUAUCAGAACGAUUCUAACAAGACCGGAAGUGAGGAAUUGGACGAACCUGAUGGUCGGGGACCUCGCGAAUGUUGCUCACAUCCUGACCAUAAACCAAACCAAAACGGCGUAAGCACGAGCGAGUGGAGGACAGGAGGAGGAGCACGGCUGCAAGGGAUGCGUGUAGUAGGAGGAGACAGGGCGGGCGUGUACCUGGAACCGGAAGGGGAAGGAGCUGGAGAUGGCGCCGCCGAACAGGGGCCGCCUGGUGCUGCUCUCGACGGCCAUCGUCACUCGGAUUCUUGCGACUAAAGCGUAGAAGGGGCUGGGGGUUUCGGGUGGGCGAGACGAGAGGGCCGGGCGAGUUCCCGAUCCGAGCGACAGUUUUUAUAGGCGGCCGAGAGGAGGGGAAGCGAGCUCGCCGCGCGUCGAUUUCACGCACGCCACCGCGGCAACCUUUCGUGCGUCAAUGCUACGCCGAGUUUGGCCGUUCUCCUUCCUUCCUGCACGCAGUAACAUCGUGGGCCAGGACCAUGUCGUUGGGUCCAUCCAAAGUGGCUGGCACCAUACGGCAUGUGCGCAAGUGCAACGGCAUGUGCGCAAGUGCAACGUCCCCUUGUUAUUUUUAGGCCUCCGGAGUCCGGAGUCCGGAGCCUAUCUAAUAUACGUUGUCUUAGAGCAUUUCCAACCGUCCCCCCUAAAGGCCUCCCUAAACGGGUUUGGGAGGCGUCUAAAAUCUGACCCAGCCGGUCUCAUCAAUUUGUUUUUUUAUCCGGCACGGUUCAGAAAGUUAGCCGGCACCCUCAGGCCGAACCCAACCCACGGGGGGCGAGCGGGGGUGCCGGCUAUGGCGCAAAAUCACGCGGGUAAGCACUGUCAGCGGCACAACCCCAAGAACAAACCCUAUUUGCGCCAAAUCGCCGACUUCCACCCCGAAUCGACAACUUCCGCCCCAAAUCACCGACGGAACCACCCCUCUCACCGACGAUUUCCACCCCAGAACUGCCGCCGCAUAGAUCUUCCUUUGCUGGCACAGUUCCAGUUCCGCUGUUCGCCGCCGGCCAGUUCCAGCACCGCGUCGGUGCCCACCCAGCGGCCACCUCUUCGCUUCUUGCUGUCAAGGUGUUCGGUGAUUUGCCAAGGCCAUGGAUUCGGACGACGAAGAAAUGCUCGCCACGCUUUUUGACGAGGAAGUCGCCACUGCCGAUGAUGCUACCUCCGGCGGCGAACAGGAGCAUCAACUCAUCGUCUUGUCGCUUCUUGCCCUCAUCGCCGAAGAUGCAGAGCGGCCGGGAAGGAGAGGAUCGAGGAAGGGCCGCCGCAAGAGCAAGGCCAGGCAAAGGAUGGAAGGCUACUGCAUAUUGUACGCCGACUACUUCGCCGAUGAUCCAUUGCACAACGAUGUGAUCUUUCGGCGCCGAUUCGGAAUGUCUCGGAAGCUUUUUUUGAAGAUCGUCGAGUACCUCUGAGAGUACAACGAUUACUUCAAAUUGAAGAGGGACGCCGUCGGCACACUCGGUUUCACAUCAAUUCAGAAAUGCACGGUAUCCCUUCGUUUGCUUGCUUAUGGAAUUCCUACCGAUACACAUGAUGAUUACCUCCGCAUGGCCAAGUCCAUGGCCAUCAAUUGCAUGUACAGGUUCUAUAGGGCAAUUGUGGUGGUGUUUGGAGAGCAGUACUUGAGGACACCCACUGCAGAAGACACAGCUCGGAUCAUGGCACAUAAUGCAGAAAGAGGAUUCCCAGGUAUGCUUGGCAGCAUCGACUGUAUGCAUUGGUCAUGAAAGAACUGUCCAUUUGCACACCAGGCAUGUAUAAAAGCCACAAAGGAUUAUGCAGUGUGGUGCUUGAGGCGGUGGCCGAUCAGGAUCUGUGGAUUUGGCAUGCCUUCUUCGGUAUGGCAGGAUCGCAUAAUGACAUCAAUGUGCUGCAAUGCUUGAAUGUGUUUGCCAAGCUUGUUGAAGGCACUGCUCCUCCGGUGAAUUAUGAGAUGGCCAUGUGUACAACAUGGGAUACUACCUGGCAGAUGGCAUCUGUCCAAGAUGGUCGACCUUUGUGAAGACAAUCUCAAACGCACCCACAGGAGGAGCAAGAUCUUGGUUUGCGAUGCAACAGGAAGCAUGCAGGAAGGAUGUCGAGCGAGCAUCUGGCGUGUUGCAGGCUCAAUUUGCCAACGUCCGGUACCCUGCUCUCACUUGGUCGAAAGAUCAGAUGUGGGAGGUCAUGACUGCCUGUGUGAUCAUGCACAACAUGAUCAUCGAGAGCGAGCGGGAAUGUCCGGUGUUUGACACUGAACUGUAUGAAUGGAUGGAUCCUCUAGCCAAUGUCAAUCACCAGGUGCCGGCCGCCUUUGCUACUUUCCUCGCCCGGCGGCAAGAAAUUCGAUACGUCGGUACUCAUCAGCAGCUUCAAGAUGAUCUGGUCGAGCAUUUGUGGAGGCUCUGAGGAAACGUCUAGUUUUUCUUAUUUAUUUGCUUGAAUUUGAUUAAAUUUGUUUGAAAUGUGAUUCAAAACUUAUCAAAUAACGUGCUUGUUUCAAUUUGCAAUAUUUGUAAAAUUGGUUUGGGAAGGCGUUUGGGGGCGCCGGCUGGGAACCGGUUAGACCUUAAAAACAAAUUCUAGCCGGUGCCCCCCAUACGACCUAAAAAAGUGGUAGGCCGGAUGCGAAAUGGGGGGGAUGGCUGGAGUUGCUCUUAGGCCAUCCCCAACGGGGCGGCCCAUUUUGUCCGUUUGGGCAAAACGGACACCAAAAUUCGCUUUUUGGGCCGGACAUGACCCAUUUCUAACCCAGGCGGAUGGUCAUUUUUGCACUGGGCUCGUCCGCACCUGCCACCUUUUUCCUCCCCUGGCCCGCAUGUCCAUGAGUAAUAAAGCGGACCAAAUGGGUGGCCUCGCUGGGGCAGUGGCAGACCCAAAAGUGAAUUGGACAAUCCGUUUGGCCCAAACAGACACAAAAUGGGUCCGUCUUGCGCGGUCCGGUCGGGCCUAAACGUACAAAACGUGCCUCCCAGCGGGACGACCCAUUUGAUCGGAGGUCCGGAUUUUGAUUCGGUUGGACACAUAUCCGUCCCAAAUUUUGGCCGGGUUUGCGUUAACCCAGACCAUGCGCGGAGAGCCGUCGCGUCCGCCCUAGUGUCAUAGGGACCCGCCCGUUAGCCACCCAACACAAAGUCGUCUCAUCCCCAUUUCCAUCUCCACAUCCCGACUCCUGCCCCCAUCCACGCCUCCGCCUCCGCAUGUCUCGCCAGUCUCCCUCGCCGGCACAACCGAGUUCUCCCGACGGCCUUCUACUCGCCGCCGCCGCCGUGCCCGAGUUGAGCAUCGUAGCGCCCGCCAUGGCCGACAACGAUGGCGAGUUCUUCUUCAACUACUUCCUCGACACCUCGUCCGAUGAGGACUCUGACGGCGAGGCCGAAUUGCUGGUGAGUGCAGCUCUCUUCUUCCAUCGGCAGAACCAGAUCGAGCGUCCAAUUCGUAGGGGUUCGAUUAGGGGGCACAGGGCUGCGCUAGACCGUAACAAAGAGGCCGACCAUGUUCUUCUUUUCAAUGAUUACUUUCAUCGCACCGACUCUGUGUUUCUUGCCCAUCUAUUCCGUCGUCGUUUUCGCAUGAGGAGGCCGUUGUUUAGGCGUCUCAUGCAAGGGGUGGCCGGAUCUGAUGAUUACUUCAUAUGCAAGCCGGACGCUACCGGCAAGGUUGGCUUCUCCGCGUAUCAGAAAUGCACGGCCGCGAUCCGGAUGCUGUCCUAUGGAGUUCCCAGCGACAAUAUUGAUGAGUAUUUGCGCAUGAGCGAGACCACAUGCUUUGAGUCAAUGUAUAGAUUCUGCACCACUGUGGUUCAAGUGUUUGGUUCUCAAUACCUGAGGGCACUGACGACUGCGGACACAGCACACUUUUUGUCGAUCAAUGAGUCCAGGGGGUUUCCUGGGAUACUAGGAAGCAUCGAUUGUAUGCAUUGAGAGUGGCAGGGUGCAUACAAAGGCCAUACCGGAGGAUGCACCGUGAUUCUUGAGAUCGUUGCAUCUCAUGAUCUUUGGAUUUGGCAAUCUUUCUUCGGCAUGGCGGGCUCUCACAAUGGCAUCAACGUGCUUCAACGUUCCCCGGUCUUCUCUAGGCUUGCGGAAGGCCAAGCUCCGGUGGUGAACUAUGAGAUCAAUGGCCACCAGUACAACAAGGGGUAUUACCUAGCCGACGGCAUUUACCCUGAUUGGUCGACAAUUGUGAAGACUAUCCACAGGCCGCAAGGAGAGAAAAUAUGCAGAUUUGCUAAAGAACAGAGAGUGCUAGGAAGGAUGUUGAGCGGGCAUUGGAGUGCUACAAGCUCUUUGAGCGAUUGUUCUGUCAUCCUGCAAGUCAGCCUGGGCAUUCGGUUUAACCGAGCCGAUUGGUUCGGUUCUUCGGGUUUUCAGAAAUUUCGGUUCUUCAAAAAUCUUGACCGAUCGGUUCCUGAGAAAAUUAGGACCGAAAUAUUUUAGGAGCGAAACUUCGGUUCGGUUCUCGGUUAUAACCGAACAAAACCGAAUGAACCACGGGCAACACGUGAGAAACCAAAUUGUGAAGAAAAAGUUGCCAUACUGACAGCUGGUCCUCUCGUAAACGAAAGGAUAGACGGAGAGGAGAGUCAGGUCGAUGGCGAUCCAUGGAGGCGGUGGCCGGUCAGGCCGGAGCGACGCAUUAUGGCGAGCUGGCGUGAUGAUUGGAAGGCUGGCGCCCUGGCGGCCAGGGUUGUAGCUGGGAAUUCGGGAGAGACAGCGCUACAGCCUACAGGCAGAUCGAUCAGGAUAAAACCAGUCGUUUUUUCUUAUGCGCUUGGUCUAGUGGGCUGCGAGCCUGGGACGAGCUGUCCUUGUGUAGACAUGCGGUUGGGCCAGGACUUGGCCGGCUGAAGCCCAGGGCGAUGCGUGCAACGGAGUACGUGAACAGGCAGGAGGCUAUUCUGAUUCUCAAAAAAAAAAAAAGGCAGGAGGCUAUUCUCUUGACUGUUGUUACGAAUAAUUGUUCUUCGGGUUUUCUCGGCUAACCGAGGGCAGGAACCAAACUACCCGUAAAAACAUGUUUCAGACCGAAAAUUUAAACGAUUUCGGUUUUCGAUUUUUCGGUCAACGGUUUCGAUUUCUCGGUUUUUAUGCCCACCCUGACCUGCAAGAACAUGGGAUGUGGAGGUCAUGACGAGGUGAUGACUGCUUUUGUGAUCAUGCACAACAUGAUUGUCGAGAACGAGCGAGAUGAUUCCUGAUCAAGAGUGGGAUUUCCUCGGUGAUUUGGUUGAACCCCAACUUGGACCGGCAUCUUUCCAACAGUUCUUCUAUACUCAUCAUGAAAUUCGGGAUCGGACAACUCACAACCAACUCCAAAAUGGUUAAGCAUUUGCGGCAGCAUGUUGGAAAUCAGUAGUGGAUUUCCUAUUUAUUUUAAUGUUUGAACUAUAUUUGUUUAUUUGCAUUAUUUGUAUUGGAUGAUUUCUAAUAAUUCCGAACAUUUGGUUUGUAUUGUUUGGAUGAUUUGCAAUAAUUCCGAACGGUUGUUGUUUUAAUUUUUGGUGUAUUAAAUUUUUAUCAAAUGGUCACAAAUGGGUGGCGCGGUCCAAUCCAAACAGAUGAAGGCCGGACUGGGGCCUUUUUCUGUCCGUCCCGCCACCCAAACCGGACAUAAAAAGCGGUUCGUUUGGGUCGCCCCGCUGGAGUUGCCCUAAGAGCAUCUCCAGCCGGCGGCCCUAAAGGCCCCGCAAACCAAAUUUGGGGGCGCUGACGCCCAAAAGUACCCAGACGAACCCCUCAUUCUCAAAAUUUAGCCGGCUCGGCCCAAUGAAUUAGCCGGCGCCCCAGGCCAAACCCAACCCACGGGGAGGCGAGCGGGGGCGCCGGUGAAGCGUUUUAUGGCUGCGGCCUGCACUGUCAGACGCCAUUUAUCGCCCUCACCGGCUUCGCCUCAGCUUCCCAGGCGAGUUAUGGCAGUCGCCAAGUCAAACCGUCGUCUUGUCUCGUCGGCUUCCACGCGGCACGCCCCCACACAUUCCCAACCAGAAGGAGGCGGAGCAGCGCCACCGCCUCUGCUACACCGCCUCCAAGGCCAAAUUCCAACCGUGGCUCGACGAGGAGAACUGGCAACGCCAUGGGGGACGGGACGGCUGGAGAUGCUCUAAAAUUCAUGUUCACUCAAACCUCUGUAUAUUCUCAAAAAAAAAAACUCAAACCUCUGUGUUAGAGGAAAAAGUUUUUGCAUACCACCAUACAAUAUCCCUUGUCACAAAAAAAAAACCAUACAAUGUCCCAUUUAUCCCUUUUAUGUUCACUCAAAACCUCUGUUUUCUUCUCAAUGCAAUCGACAGCAUUAAGAAUACAGCCAGGAGUUCCAAACAAGUGAAUCUAGCUAAGUAGAUCCCAAAAAUACUGCAGAAGGGGACGAGCCUUUGUUUCAGCCCUUCGGAGGCUCGGUCUCCGCUCUAUGUAGACAGCCAAACAGGAGUUGUCGAAGCAGAUUGAAAACACGACAUGGAAGAGGAAUUACUCAAUCCUCCUCUUCAUCCUGUUCCUCUUCAUCAUCAUCAUCAUCGGACCCCUGGAAAAGUUGAAAGAGAAUGAUGAAUACAGAUACACAGGGACGGAGCCAGAAAAUCGGCAUGAGGGAGGCGAGAAAAAUCAAAGCUGCAAAACCGAACUGCAUAAUAGAUACUCCUAUCAAUAAUAAAUGUUUCGGAUUUUGUACUAAAUCUUAGACACUUAUUAUGGAUCGAAGGAAAUAUGUAGUCUUGAUAUCCAAUAUAUAUAGAUAGCAUAGCAAAUAGAGUCAAUUCUAAAUAAUAAAAAUAUAACUGCAAUUGAAGAACCCAAUCAAUUUUCUAAUCUGAACACAGUUUGGCAGUUUGUUUGUUCUAAUCGAUUUUCUAAUCUGAGCACAAUCGAUCGAAUGGAUCAAUAGCCAAUCGGGCUUUUGCUGGGCCGUUAGGCACAAAUAUGCAGUCCCAGAUGGGUAGGGCCUACAGAGGGGCUUAGGGGGCGGAGUUACAGGCCCAACUACUUUUUUCAUUUCAUCCAAUGGCCGAUCGUUUUUGCGCCCCCCCCCCCCCCCACCCCCCGCUUCCUCGAGAAAAAAAAGAUAUCACCAGCUCAACCUCAGUUCCCUCAAAGAAUCUAGAGAGCAUAAAAGCCUUAAAGUGUUGCUAAAAAAAAAUCCUCAAAGCAAGAGCAGUAUAGACGCAGCACUCUUUAGCAGUUUUAGCUUGGGAUUGCAGCAGCUGUAAUGAUGCUCCAUGUUGUGGUUAACCAAUGCUCAUAGAAACAGAAAAUAUGUAUCGAGAAGCCACAAAUGUCAUUAACUUUUUAAGUCAGGUAUAACAAAAAAUGAUGAUAAAAACAGAAAAUAUGUAUCGAGAAGCCACAAAUAUCAUCAGGAUAACUAAGGGAGCUAUGCAUAAUUGCAUCAGUAUGGAUAUUAAACACCAUUGCAGGACUAUAAACAUGUUGUGCAAUAUGUAUAUGGAAUUGCAGGUAAAGAUAAUAUGAUACCUCUUCGUCUUCCUCCUCAUCUAGUACAAAUUCUUCUUCAGCCUCCUGCAAUAAGAGGUUUGAGAGGAAAUGAUACAAAGAUCCAAAAUAGGAAAUAAUAAGUCCAAAUAAAUAAGCCACUUAGGCACUUAUAUAACAAUAGAAGCACUAACAUCGUUGAAAUAUUUCAAAGGAUUAGGCCACAACUCUUCUUUGAUGAUAUCUGUCACCUGCGUAAUUGAAAUUCUCAGCUAAUAUACUCAACGGGGAAGAAUUAAAAUUACUAAAUUUUGCUGUUCUGUCAACCACGCGGAUUCACAGAGACAAAACCUCGGAUCGAAUGAAAUAAGUUUAGCAGGAGCAACAGCAUAGGACAGACGAGCAAUCCACAAUACCUCAUCCACUCCGUCAACAGAACUUUUGUUCUUUGCAUCAUUGAACCAAGUGAAGAAACUGCAAAAGAAGAGACAAGAAAAAAAACAAGUCAUCUUCACAAAUUUCUAAAUUGCAACUCAAGUGGAAUAAGCACAUAUUACCAUGCUGGGAAAAACAAUAACUGCCGACAGAGCAGAAAAAAAAAAGAAAAGAACAUGAAAGAAAAGGGAAAAAGAGACCACAAUACUUUAUUGCACUCGCACUCCUGCAGUGAAGCACAUGUAUUUUGGCUACUCGGCAGUCUCAAUGCUUAUCAGCAACAAAUCACAGCAAUGUUGCCCAUCAUAUCUCAUGGCAGAGCUGGGCUGGCUACUUUUGGUUUAUAAAUUGUUAAUGUUUACCUAGUAUUGGCACUGAAACUGAGCCACAAACUCUAACAAUCUACUCCGUACAAAACAAAUGCUAAAUAUCAAGAAAAGAGUCCAUGUUUAUGCUUAUCAUGGGCAAAUUGGUACAGACCUAGCUUAUGAUAUAACACAAAAUGAUGCUAAAGCAGUCCGUAGGUAUGAAUGAAAACCAAAACAGAAUUAUUAAUGAAAUGAUAAAAUCACAAUGAAGUUACAAAAACCAAUACAGUUUCUUUGUACAUAUAUGUUGAUUGAGUUAUUCAUUAGUUUUUAAAAAACUUUGUAAUCAUGAUGCCUGUACUGCGGUGUACUGGUCUUGAAUGUCAGAGUUGAUGCAACCUAGAUCUACAAAUGAUCUAGCAAACCAAACAAGAUUACAUACGCACCAACAAGGGUCUAUGCUUUUAAUGAUAACUGUAGCAGUACAUAUAUAUGCCUCAUAAGAAACACAAACAUAUAUAUUCAUUAAGAACAUGCUGAUAUGAAAAAAAAGGAGAGCACAAUAACGUGUAUCUUUAAACAAGUUGAUGAAAACUAAACCACCUUUUAAAGUUCUUUAAAAUUUUACUGUGAAACUUAAAACCAAUUGUCGUCCAAAUAAGGAAUUUUGUGUGUAUGUGUGUGCAUUGCGAAAAACUGUUUGUGCCCAUGCCAAGGUAUUACUCACAAAAAUGAUGUAUUGAGUAGAAAGAUGCAACUGAAUGAAGAUGCACAAUAUGGUUAUGAUUUAUAUCAAGUAUGAGAACUAAGCUUUACCUGUAAAUGAAAACAAGCACAACAAACUAGUAUGAUUCAUUACUUGAUUAUAUAACUAAUAGCCAAACUAAGUUACUACUUCAAGUAGGAAAAAAAAAGAAUUGUGAAAAAACAUAGAAACUAGCAAACCUCUCAUCAAUCAAUAGUCGUUUGCUCCCAUCUUUCGUGUAAGCCUUUCCAUUGACAAUAUCCUUGAUGUAUCAUUAGAAAAUUUAUUAGAUCUGAUUUUUUCCUACCAGAAAAAUUGUAACUGAAGUGCUAAUAGUGAUCGAUGAGGCACAGUACCAUUCCUGUCUUCCAAUUGAUGGAGCUAGACUUUACAGUUAUUUUUCCAUGCUCACUGAACGUACAUGAUUUUGUAAGCUUUGUAUCUUCAAAAUAUGGAUUAGGAGAGAAUGUCUGCCGGUUCAAGUUAAUAACAUGUGAGCAAAGGGAAAGAAAUAAGGAAAUCAAAGCCUGCAGACGCAAAAGAAGCUUACAAGAGUAAUGGAGUAGCCCGAUUUCCCAUCUUUAAACUCAUCCACAUCGAUGGACUCCAAGUGCUUGAAUAUCUACAAGGGAAAAAAAUAAAGCUUGAUGAAAUCGUACAAGUAAUAUAUUCCAACUCGGCAGUUGUUCCACAGAAAUGCUUAGCAUAGCAAUGUUGUAUUUUUAUAACCAAAUCCUACUUUUGAUACACUAGCAUAAUACCUGUGGAUUGCUAAGGAUAAGAAAAAUCUAUAAGCAUGCUUAAGAGUUAAGGCGAUCUUUAUGCCGUUCAUGCCGCCACCAAUUGAUAUUUAUAGGACUGAAGAAAUACUAAAAGUUAAAAAGAAUGCGCCAAUGGUAUACUUUUCCUACAAAACAAGGUACCUUUUGAUCAUCUUCAGUUAGAAGUUCACCAAGCUUAGGAUGGCUAAGAAACUGCAUGGUGAAUCCAUAAAAUCAGAAAGGAUGAGAUUAUAUCAAUCAGCAAUUUCAGCAAACAAACAGAUGAAUAUAAAGCAUCAUAGAACAAAUUACAAACCGCGGUCAGCCAAAAGUCUGGAAUUUUCCUGAUGAGUUCAUUCCGUCGGGCAUAGACUGGUCUGAGAAUUUCAUUGUAUUUCUGAUCCACCUCCAGAACUUUAUCACUUGCUUCCUCGUUAACCUACAAUAAAUGGUUGCUAUGAGCCUGGCUAUUAGCUGACUGCCUAGUAGUAUAAUUGUGUUCCAGCACUUCGGUUGAAUUUAGCUUGCACUUACAAAUAUGUUCUUGUCAAUGUAGACAUUCAUAUACUGGUUUUGUUUCAAAAUGACAAACUAUUAAACCGAAAGACCACUUAGCUAGGAGGUAAAGUGCCUUACCCUAUGCAUCCUAGGUGUUAAGUGUUUCAUCAUUAUCUGACACACGGAAUACAUAAUUGUGAUCUUUUCGCGAAGUUCAAUAACAGAACUAUGACACAAAAUUUAACAUGAUGGAGCAAUUAUUAAGCUAAAAAAGCCUGACAUAAGAUGAUCUGUAACAUUGUGGAUUGGAAGAACCAUCAAAUAUGUGUAUAGAAGGCAAGGCGCAUAACAAGGCGUUAGCAUUUUCUCACUCUGAAGGAAAUUAGCUUGUAUUGGUCUGAGAGGGCAUUGGGGGAGGGGCAUUUAGCAGGCAUUUCUGCGAUUACUUUUCCAACAACACUUCAAUUGAUUGUUCAAUUCAUCAUGUGCUGCAAUAAUGGGUUUCCUAUAGCGCUGUCACCAUAUUUUCAGGCUACCAGACCACCAAGUUGGUUCUAAAAUAAACAAUUGCAAUUGCCAAUUGCCACACUCCCUGUUCCCUAGGAAUCUCAGAUUGCCCACAAGCAUUUAACUGCAAUCAAGAUUUUUUGUAAAUGUUUACAAUCUAGUGGGCAUAAGCUCAGGAGUGACUAGUGAGUGAUUUGAAAUUAAGAACAGACACAGGGCACAAUUCUGCAGUAGCACAAGCGAACACUCAAAUCCAACGUUCAGCCACAAGUACCCAAAUUAGACUCCUCCCGAUGGCACAUCCAAAUCGGUAAGUCACAGAGAAACCAGCUCACACAUCACGAAAUCGGGACUCGGGGAUUAUUCUGCUACUCCUAAAUUCCAAGCAGCCUCUGUGCAAAAUAUCCCGAAAACGGAAAAACGACACCGAAUCUAAUGCCGGAGCAACCAAAGCGUACCACAACAGCUGUCCGCUGGCGAGAAUCUCUUGAGAAGCGAAGCGACUCACCCUCUCGAUCUCGUCCUGGAUAUCAUGGAGCUUCUCGACGGAGAGAAAGAGGUCCUUGUCGAUGUCAUCGCCCUCCUCCUCCUCGUCGAUCCUCGGUCUCUUCCCCUUCUGCUCCGGCGUCGCCAUCUCGAUAAGCCCUUGGCGAGCUCUAGGGUUUUAGCAAGCUUUUCCGGGGAGGCUGGCUGGGCUGCCUCUGUGGUCUGUGGGUGAGGGAGAUUCGCGCCGUGGUCUUUGACUUCUACAUUGUGUCAUUGUAGUUCGGCCUUAUCUUAUGGGCCGAGUGUUUGCGGUUGGGCCUCAUUGUCGACCCAGGAGGCCACACAUGACGACUGGCCUUUUUUUUUUAGGGAAAACACAUGACGACUGGCCUUCUACUCCUCCCGAACACUAAUGUGUUCCUUUAUCUCUCUAAAAAACACUAAUGUAUUCCUUUAAAUCCUCUCAAAAAAAACUAUGUAUUCCUUUAAUUGCCCUAAAACACCUUAUGUAUUCCUUUUAUUUCGUCGGUUAAUAAACUUUUUCAGAGACUUGGUCAAAACAAAGUUUUUCAGAGCUAAUCAUUUAGUACUCCCUCCGGUCAUAAUUACUUGUCGAAAUAUUACAUGUAUCUAGACAUUUUUUACACAUAGAUACAUCCAUAUUUGGGCAAAUUUGAGACAAGUAAUAUCGAUCGGAGGGAGUAGUAAAAUUUGGAGAGUAUUCUCAAAAUCCUCCCAAACAGUUAUGUACUUCGUAUUUCCUUUAAUUUCAUUGGUUAAUAAAGUUUGGACGAGUAUUCUCAACAAAAAGAAAAGGACAAUGGAUGGAGUCAUGGAGCAACCCUAACAGCGGAGCAGCUAAUGUAUCUAUAACAAUAUAUUAAAUUGGAGUUAGUGGUGAUGGUACGGACUUUGCAGUACGUCCUCACCCCUCCCCUUCUCGCGAGUCGCAAUCCGAUCCGAUCUCCAUUGAGCUAGCCCGCACGAGGGCUUCUUCCCCUUCGCAACCCGCAACAACCAACAAGGCUCCCCCUCCUGCAUAUCCCCUCAUGGCUCAUCUCCUCACCCAAAUCAUGCUCCUCUGCAUCCGCCCAUCUUCCUCCCCAUGCCACUGCCGCACAUGCACCUCCUCCACCCGAGCCGCGCCAGCGACCCUGCGGCCGUCGCCCAGGAGUUCCUCCACCCGCGCCGCGCCGCGCCGGCACCGUGCCAGCGACCCUGCAACCGUCGUCGGAAACUCCUGGGCGGACGUCUGUACGUCCUCACCGUGUGUGCCACUGUGCCCGCGCCGAAAGGAAACACGGCUUGAUUACGUGAUCGAUGGGAUAUCGGAAUUGAACGAUUGAACAAUGGAAUUAGUCUCCAAUUUCACCGCGACUUUCCUUAGCCUCCCCCCUCUCUUCUCUCUCCACCGUCACACUCUCAAUAUGAUGCGUCUCCCCAUCUCCAACUCAAACCGGCGCCCACCAUGGAGGGCAGAUGCAACGUGAAGGAGCUGUCCGUUGCCCAUCUCCUCCGGCCGCCCCCAUGUCCCCUACAGCCGCUGCCCAUCCCCAUCCCGUCCAUCCAUCUCCAUCCCCUUCCCAAUCGCCGCUCCACUCGUCCCUUGCCAAAGUCACCGCCCUUCUCCUUCCUUUUCUCCGGCCGCCGCCUAUCUCCUUACCAUCCGCACAUCCUCCUUCUCCUCCACCUGGAGUCGCCUACCGUCUCAUCCCUCUCUCCUCUCCCCCCAGGAGCCGCCUCCCGUCUCGUCCCUCUGUACGACGAGCCGCCUCCCAUCGUAAUCGAAGGCUAUUUUUUUGCUUCUCUUUCUGUACACAGCAUGACACCAGCAAUGGCUUGGCUUUUUUUUUUUACUUUUUGUAAAAAUUGGCCAUGAGGAUGGAAUGGCUUUUGAUAUUGAACAUAAUCAUCAAGAUACAUGCACACGUUGUGAAAAUUUCAUUUGAUACAUGUACAACAAAGUAAAAGCUUCAUAAUCAUAUAAAUAUACCGUUUCAAUUUUUUUCCAUCCAAACUGGAAUUGGAACUGGUGUCACGCUUGGAUUCUACAAGCCAAUUCAAUGUGCAUCCAUAUAAGAAAAACAUAAUUUAGGCCCAAUUAUGUUUUCCAGGAAUAUUGGUAUUAAUCUCAAUUCAACAUCUACAUCCAAACGAAGCUUAAGAGAUUGGUCAAUACUUGACCCAUAUAAGACGCGAGUACAAUGCACCCGAGGUCCCUAUUUUUUCGCGAAUGUGUCAAAUAGGUCCCUAAUCUUUGAAAAUGCACGUUUAGAUUCUCAUUGUUUGUUAAGUGGUUCAUCCCAGGUCCCUCGCCUAUAUGCACAGUUCUAGCUGCAUGACGUGGCUGCCACCUAGGCUUUGGGCCCACACGUCAGGCGACGACGUGGCGUUAAGGGCAUCUGCAACGGUAUAGUCAGUACUGAGUCUUCACGUCAUCUGGACUCAACGGUAAAAUAACACAUGUAAUGACUUGUGUUUUUAAACUGACUCUAUAUGAUUUGUUAGCAUUAAAUGCGAUGCUGUGCAAUGGUUAAAAGGUCGACUCUUAACUAACUCUUAGCAAACUCUAGCUAUUUUUGUCUUUAAGAGUUUAGCUUUUCACGAAGAGUCAGUUAUCAGUUAAGAGUCGGCUAUGCCCUAAGCGCUACGCGGGGUAGCCAGCAUACGCCUGCCUAGUUUAGCUGCUUUGUCUGCUGUCUAUCCAUACUUAAUCUAGCUUUCCGAUCAAGAAAACUGUUCAGCUACUCACAUUCUGUAGCCUGAAUGAAUCAGAAUGCUCAAAAGCACCCUAAUACGCGAACACGGCUCAUUUACAAAACAGAUACAUCUGAAUCCACUGUGUUUAGAACAGUGCAAGUGUCACGUAUAUCAGAAACCAACUGCAACGGUUCCAACGAUUUCAGAUAACCAUGGUGAACAUAAGUUACAGUCUGUCUACUAGCAUCUGAAAUUCGAGCAUAGCACCUGAACGCUUCAAUCUACAGUCACGUCAGGCGAGAACAUUGGCAAGGUGAUAUAUAACAUAUCUCUGCUAUAUUGUCUAAACAUUGCAUAAUCAGGUUUGAGGAUCACACGAAAUAGUCCAAGACGCCUACAGAAUAGUCAAUGAAAACCUUGUAGGAUGUCACUGUAAAACUAAUUUGAUUUUCAUUCAUCAACAACCCUUAAUCAGCAUGCAAUCUAGCAUUGCACAACAGCAUUAGUCAGCAGAAGACUCACGUCGUGCCACUAAAAUGACGUCAGUUGAUGCAAAUGUCAUGGCACACCUUUUGGCUGGCUCAAGUGUCGCUUUGUGCUAAACUCAAAGAACUUAGCCAGCCUAUGCAGACAACUGGAAGAAUCGCUGCGGUAUGCCAUAUGUGAGCCUCAGGUUUGGGUUUGAAGAGCUGUUGCGAGAUGGCUCAACAGUUUCCAUGUAGCAUUUAAUUGGAGUAAAUCAACCCCACAUAACUACCUCAUGCCACAAAGUCCAAGGAAGAAUUCUUCUGGCUGGAUCGAUCCUGUCUUUUCCUUCAAAAGUAAACAAUACAUCAUAAGUACACCUUGACAGUGAUUUUUUUUUUUGAAAAGUACCUUGACAGUGAAAUUCAUUUAUUAAACUUAUGAGACAUACCAAAACCUACUACUGUAUCAGAAAGUAGAUUUUGGGAAUUAUUCAGAACUUUUUAAGGAAAAUGAUCAGGAUGUGUAAGUGACCUAAUCUUCAGAAGCACUCAUCAAACAUCAAAAUCCAUGAUGCAGUAACAUGUCGCAAUACAUAAAAAUGAGCACCAAGAUACAUAAUAUCGCAUAAAUCACGUGACAAAAUAUUCUGAAAUUUAGUUUAACUAACGGAAAAAAGAACAUGGGCAUGACACUUGUACAGAUACGACUGAGUUCUAGAUGGAAAACAAUGGAGUAUGUAUCAUCAGUUGACUCAAAAGCUAUUGCCAAUGCUUAGCUAUGGGAGACGAGUGGUGAGUAAAAUCAAUUUGUUCAUAGAACUUGCAUGGCAUUGCCAGAAGUAAUAAAUGUCAACCAAAAUAGAAGAUUAAUACUUCAAUGGCGCCUUCCUAUGGAUUUUAAUCAAAGUUCUAAGUGUAUUUAGUGCGAGCAACUUGAAGUUCAUCUACGGGUGCAAAGUAAUAGUAUGAGAUUUUCGGUUCGAACUCAAAUGCUGCAGAUGUUUCAGGUCUGGCGUGCCAACUGACUUCACAUAUUACGCAGUUGUCAAUACCAAUGAAGUCCAGAAAACCCAUUAGAUUAAAGCUUAGUGAAAAUCGACAACUUGUUUGUUCUGUUGAUUCUGUAAUGACAGUGAUCAACUGUAGCACCACGCAGUCCAAAGAAGCUAAACAGCCCAGCCAAAAGAGUGGAAUCAUAGCAACCCAUUUACACUAUUGUCCUUGCUUCGAAAAGGUUAACCCGAAAGUAUCACGUAUUGGGCCAACAAGUUUAAAUGCAUAUUUAAGUGCGUACCUCUAGUUAACCUAGCAAUGUAGUAAUACAGGACAGGGUGUUACAUUUACAUAUUUCUUUUCGUGGCUUAUGGUGGAUGAUUUUACAAGUCCAAUAAAACAAAUCUCUAUCAAGAGUCAAGAGGACACAUGUUACCAAAAUAAACUCAGAUUACUGCUAACACAUGUAAUUCUGCCAAACUGAUGUACUGGAAGACAGAAUUAAUUUUAUUACUCCCUCUGAUCCAUAAAAAGUGUCGCAAAUUUUGUGCUAAGUGGACGACACUUUUUAUGGAUCGGAGGGAGUAUUUCCUUCCCAAGAUGCACCAAUCAACUUCAAAAGCAAGGAUCCUAAGAGGUUCAAGAAAUAUAUCCUCCAAGCAAAUCACAACACAAAAUAUAAUAAUAUCCAGCAAAAUAGGGUACCAGGAUGUAGCGAUACGCCAAGGAACAAGAAAAUUGGCUAACAAGGAACCCCGCAUGUGCAAAACUUCAGAUAAUAGUUGGUAAUUUACUUUCAUAUAGCAGAAAUUGAGAACUACAACUAAUUCUUUAAGCGAUAUAAAUUGAAGUUUUAAAGCUAAUUUCUCAAAAUCAUUUUGAUAAGAUUGUUUUUGCCAAUCAGAAGUUGGAGUUCUUGAUUACUUGAAUAUGACGAUUGGGAGUUGGCAUUGCAGUUACUUGAACAAUAAAGAAAGGAAUGACUACAGUUGAGAAACCCACUUGCCAGCUGUCAUACGGUAUUAAAGCACAGCGAUAUCUAUAGGUUUCUUCUGAGAGAAAAUGAAGCCAUAUAAAGUCCAUAGUAUAAUUUGACCGAAAUAAGCGGCGUGGGGUUCUUAAUUAUUUGGCCUCUACUUUAUGGGAAGAGUCGGUUUGAUACAAGAAAAACAAAUAUGAAAUGUUCAUCUACUAUAUGAGAAAGAAGAAAAGAUUAUCUCCAUUCAAUUAGCAUAUGAGUGAAAACAUGUCGGUUGGAUUUAUUACCUUGCAAAUGUUUUAGAAAGUGACCUCGGCCUUUCAUAACCAUCUUUGGAAACAUUAUUUGCAUCGUCAUCUGACGCAUGUCCAACAUUGCUAUCAUUCUCCUCCUUCUCUUCUGGUCUCUGCUUCCUUUGCUGUCUUGAUUCAGGCUUCCAGCACACCUUGGCAAGUGACUUGCCAAGUAGAUCAGCAAUAUUUACUGCCAUUUCCUCAGCUUUCUGCACAUGAGGGAAGUGAUCUUCCUCGAAAUGGUGUGAAAGCCACAAAUACAUCGACAGGACCUGGUGCUUCGUCUCGAGGUCCAGCAGUUCAGUGUCAUUCUUUGCAGAACCUUUUGGCAUUCCCAUCGCAAUGGUAGCACGACGGCUCUGGCUAUAAUGAGUAGCAAAUCUGAGAAGAUGGUACAUGGCUUUUGGGUCCCUUGUAUUGACUGGCGCAAAACAAAAGUUGUAGCGAUCCUUGAGGGAGAGCCCUUGGACCCUCUCAAGCAUAUUAGCAACCUUCUUGAUACUAUCCUGCUGGCACAUGAAGUAUGUGUUGUCGAUGCGGCAAUUUUCACGGAACUUAUUCAACAAAUCGGUGAAAGUAAGAUCAGGAAACUGGCUGGCAAACAUUUCCACUUGCUCAAAACAAGGGAAGAGGCCAACUUUUUGUGCCUCCUCAAAUGGUUUUUGCAGGCACUGAAUUAGAUAAUCCAAAUCAUCCGACAAGAAAGUGGUCGUGAGCCCAUCUGGAUAAACACUGCCCCUCCGGCCAGCACGACCAGCUAUCUGUUUUACCUGUGAAGCAGCAACUGGCACCAUCUUGUCCCCAUUGUACUUGGUCAAGCUAUAGAACACAACCCUUCUAAUGUUAAGGUUGAGACCCAUACCAACCGCAUCACUCGCUACGAGCACAUCAUAUUCAUUAUCCUGUUCGUUGAACAGCUUUGCUUGCUGUCGCCGUGUCUCUGGUGGCAAAGCUCCAUAUAUAACACAACACUUGUGCUUCGUGAACUUCUCUAUUGCCAGCUUCACCUCGAAUAUCUCCCUGCGUGAGAAGGCAACAAUGCAAUCACCAGAACGAACAUUCUUGAGGUCUCCAAGUAGUGUCUUUGCCUCGACGACAAGUGGCUUGAAUCGCUCAUACUGAUGCACCUCCAAAUCAUCUCCAGUGUCUGCACAAACCUUACGAACAAUCUUGAGCACGCUAGGGUCACCACACAGAUGUAUCUCAUCAGCCUUGAGCCCAAGAACAGCACGUGUCCAUGCAUAGCCCCUGACAGAGUCAGCCAUCAUCUGUAUCUCAUCGACCACGGCGACUUCAUAGAGCUCCUCGGUGGACAGCAUUUCGAUAGUACAAGCGACGUGGUUGGAGAAAGGCACCUCCUUUAUCUCCUGGCCAGUGCGGAGGGUGCAGUAGACACCAAGUGCAUUGACCUUGUCGAAGACCUCCAUGGCGAGGAGCCGGAGCGGGCUGCAGUAGACACCGGACUUGGCAGUGCUGAAGCGAGCGAGGGCGUUGUGUGUCUUGCCGCUGUUGGUGGGCCCGCAGUGGUACACCACCCGCCGGCGCAUGGCCCGGGCAAAAGGGUACCAGGUUUGCGGCGCCGUGAGGUCAGCCGCGGACAUGACGGACUUGUGCUUCCUCAGCUCGUCAGCGAGGUGGGUGACGCAGUAUUCAGCGAAGGACGGGAGGAGGAGCGCGUGCGCGUCCUCGGCCGGGAGAGAGAGAAGUCGCUCGGCGGAUUCUCGGGAGAGGCGCGGGGGUAUGAAGUGGAUGAAGCGUUUGGCGUACGCGGGGAACGCGGAGGCGGGGAUGUAGAGCGCGAGGGCCUGGUCAGCGAUGGCAGGGUCCUUGGAGAAGCGGCGGAUGAGGGACACCACGUCGUCCCAGGUGGCCUUGGGGAGGCGCGACGAGCUCGUCGCAGGCUCGGAGGUGGAGAGCUCGUGCCAUAGCUGCUUCGAAUCGAGGGGGGGCGGCUUCCGGUCCGGGUCGUCGGUUGCGUCGGAGGAGAGGAAACGGUUGUAGGGUGGGCGCCAUGGGGAUGGGGUUUGGGGACCGGUGCGGUGGAGGUGAGAUAAGAGGGGGAGGAGAAUGCGACGGUGCGGGGAGGAGGUGGAGCGGCGGAUAAGCGCGACGGCGAUGGUGGCGGCCAUGGAUCGAUUGAGGUUACGAGACGGAGGCUGCCGGCGGCAUGGGGUGUGGGAGGAAGAAAGGAAGAGAGGAGGCGGCGCGCAAGAGGCGGGCCCGGCGGGGAUGGUGGGCCGAAAUGGGCUGGGAGCUGACGGCUGGGAAGCUAAUGCACGUGGGCUUGUAACCUACCGUCGGGGCGUGGACCGAGGGCCUGUUUGGUUGCUACAUGGACUCCAUAUGCCUGAUUUGGAGCCUCCUUGAGAGCUUGUUAAUUGCAUGCCUCAAAAGCUCCCUGGAUCAGGCCACCGAAAUCGAGCGUCUGAGUCUGGCUUCCUUUCAAGCGAGCGUGCCUGAGCCCCUAGCAUCAGACGACGUCGUGAUCCGCACAGCUGGAGACCAAAAGAACCAAGCGAUUUCUCCGCGGUGACAACAACGAUUUCAUGCUCUUACUUCCGCUUCCAAGUUCUGUCCUCGUUGCCGUCGCUGCAAACGAGAAAGAAAUGAUGCCGUGCAGCCGCUGCCUCUGACAAUGACAGUAACUGCAGCCUACAACCCCUUUCGCUUCUUGUAUAGAUGCAUCGAUCGCUUUCUUCUUGGAUGCCAUGACCACUGCAGCUGAAUUGCUAGUGGAGCGGUGCCCCAUGAUCAAUUGGAGUUUUACACUUGUAGGAUCCGUCCGCAUGAUUGAUUUGUGUGCUUAGUUCCGCAUGUUGGGGCUGCAAUUGAAGAGUUGUGCUUGUUAAUUUUACAAAGAGAACGGGAUCAGAUGGGUGAUUCCAAGAAUUUUUAUUAGGUGAAUCGUGGACUUGAAAUCGAUCUGGGAAAGGAAAAGGGGUUGAGCAAAUCGUAUUUCUUCUCUUUAUGUUUUCUCAAUGUUGAAUGUUUAAUACUCACUUUACGCUUUUUCCUCAGGCAUAGGGUCCCAACCAAACAACUAAUUUUGCUCCUGCCUGACCAGGCUUAGAUUAUCUAACUCUCAGGCUACUUCUAGGCACCAUAUUUUGUCAGGCAUGUUGGCCAGGGCAGCAACAAAACAGGCUCUGAGUUGUCAACAAAAAUUUACUCUAAAAAAAAAAGGUGUCAAUCCCCUAAAAAAAGGUGUCAACAAAAAAACUAGCGCAUGUCAUGUGCCGGCAAAGUUUGAUAGACUCUCAUGUGAGCCACUGCAAUGCCAGCAAAGUUGGGUUCGUAAGGUGAGCAUGGUAAUCACAUGUGUGACAUAACAGUCUUCAAGACAAUGUCUCAUAUCUGAUGGUCACUAGCCAACAAUUUAGUCGCGUCUACAAGUUUUUUUAAAGGCAUGUACAGUAGUUCUACGUAAGCUGUCUGGAAGAGAUGCCACUUAGGAUAUUUAGUGAGUUGGAUGAUCGGGAAGGAGGAGAGAUAAAGAGGUCGUUCUUAGGGCAUGUACAGUAGUCCUACGUAAGCUAUUUGGAAGAGAUGCCACUUAGGAUAUUUAGUGAGUUGGAUGAUCGGGAAGGAGGAGAGAUAAAGAGGUCGUCCUUAAUUCAGCAGACAGACGAUCCCUUGAAAUUCGCUGCUUAACGAUGGCUUUUCACCCAUUGUACAAAUGGUGUCCGGUAACGCAAGAGAUCACUCUUUCAGCACAUCGUGAUGUAUGCAGACAACUGAAAACAACAGGCCAUUAUAGCACACGUCGGUAAUGCUACCUAUAAAUGAUGUGGCUGUGUAGUUCAGGCAAGUGAUGUCUAGACUAGUGUACAUGCUCUUAAUUCAGCAGACAGACGACUCCCUUAAAAUUCGCUGCUUAACGAUGGCUUUUCACCUAUUGUACAGAUGUUGUCUGAUAACGCAAGAGAACACUCUUUCAGCACAUCGUGAUGUAUGCAGACAAGUGAAAACAACGGGGCAUUGUAGCACACAAUGAUGUGGCAGUGUACAUGCUCUAGGCCGUAAGGAGAGUUCGUCUACAAGAUAUAAAAUGUACACAUUGUUUUGUCGAACAAAAUGCGUCCACGGUUUCUCCGAGACGAGAAGAAGUACUGAUUUUAAGUUUUCCUGGUUUUAAUAGCAGUAGAGAUAGAGUAUUUUUUUUUUCAAGAAGCAUGUUUUGGACAGAACUUUUCCAGUCUAGUGGACUUGGAUGCGAAACAUCGACCUCUCAGCAACCGCAAAUUCCCCUCGUAUCAUCUCGGUCGGACCUCGUACGCCACACACACUCGGGGGCUCGAACCGCUGAAUGCCUGCUUCUCGGAUGCACUGCCUCGCCUGCAGCAUGCCCGCCACGGCGGCCGCUGCACGUGCUCCGGCCAGGCGCUUCGGCCGCCGGAGGGUAGUUAUCGACUGCGCUGCCUCCGUAGACCGCGACGGCGAAGGACCGCCUCCGAGGUUUGCCUCCCCUCUCGCCGCAUUUCUGCAGAUUUAAGAACCACGCAGUUCGCAAGAGCAUAACCGAGCAGUUGCUGAUUGGAUAAUCCCUUUUAUAUCUCGUUUCAUUACUCGUAGUUAUCUUUUCCACACUAUCGUACAUACGAGCACCUCACUAGCUCGCGUUCCCCAUACGUAAGCAGUAAGCUGGUUUUUUAUUAAACAACACAGGUGCUGAACUGCUGAUGUAUAAUGCAUUUGUAACUUACUCUAUGCUUAUGCGUGUGAAUUUUCUUCCAGAUUAAGGGAAACGUGUGAACUUGGUGAAAUCUCAGGCAAAACUGUAUUAUUGACCGUGUCAAAGAGGAAGAUUAUUGCAUUUUCAGCCUUAUGCUUUUGCUUACAUUCUUCAAGGUACUUCUCAGGUUCGGACUAAGAAUUUAGGUGUUAAUAGAAAUCAAGCCGAUAUCUUCCACGGGCCAGAUUAUCUUAUACCCCUGUAAUAAGGCUACUUUAUUAUGGUCAUGAUAUGUGAGCUUUUGUAAGUUUAUUUAUGCUCUUAUUGCAGCACUUGCGUUGGGUGAUCCAUCUGUCAAAAUUGAGGAUGUAACUCCUAAGAUCUUUCCAUCUGGCCCAUUAUUUCCAACUGAGGUCGGUAGUCAGUACUCAAUACUCUGUAGAACACCUUGUGCUAUCUACUUCUUGAAACAUAUUUACAUUUCUCUGAGUUUUGCUGCAUGUAUGACAGAAACGAAUUGCAGAGCUUUUUGAAACAAAUACUUACUCAGUUGUCAACAUUUUUGAUGCGACGCUGCGCCCCCAGCUCAAUGUAACUGGCGUUGUUGAGGUAAAACUAUACACAUGCUUACAUGUUAUAAGUUUAGAUCAAGAGAUUUUGUUAACUUUGUUAGAACUAACAAAGGGUGUUUGAGAAUGCUCCCUAGGAGCACUAGAAUGAUAUGCUAAGCAGGGUACACUUUUCCCUAUCUAAUAGUUUGAUCGAGCUAAAGGCAGACAAAUAAUUGCUCAUUUUUGCUCUUUGGUUCCUCUUACUAUUAUAGAAACGACACUGAUAAUUUGAAUAAAGUUUGAGAAGCUCUUUUUUGAAUAAACAUAUUAACAUGCAUUGUAGAUCCCUGAAGGAAAUGGUUCUGGAGUAGUUUGGGAUGAGUCUGGACAUAUUGUUACAAAUUAUCAUGGUAUGUCAAUCACAUGAUAUGUCUACCUUGUAUGAACAGCAUAACCUACUUCUCGCAUGUUUACUUUACCCUUUUUUAGAACCUCGACAUGGCUAUUUUACUGUGGUUGAUUCUUUCCCCUUGUUGCACAGAAUCAAUUGAAUUUCUGUUUCGGUAUAUUUUAUGUAUUUGUAAUGUUGUUAUGAUGACAGUGGUUGGCAAUGCUCUUUCUAAAAAUCCAAAUCUUGGUGAAGUUGUUGCACGUGUCAACAUCCUUGCUGCCGAAGGGUAAAUUCUUAUGUAACUCAACAUUGUUAGAAUAUUUUAUGAAUUAACUAGCUUUGAUGGCUUGUUAUUAUUCCUUGUAUAUGCAUGUCAUUAACAGUUAAUACUCUCCCGUAUCUACUUGAAAGGAUACAGAAAAAUUUCGAAGGAAAAUUGGUUGGUGCAGACCGGUCUAAAGAUCUUGCUGUUCUUCAGGUAAAAUUGUCUGGCAACUUGUUGUUCUGAAUCAACGGUCAGGAUUUAAUUGAAAAAUGCUUCUGGUUUUACGUAGUAUUACGUUGAUGAUGUGAGCACUGCUCAAAUUAACUAUCUAGGUCCCUUUAGAUAUUAUUACUCACAUGACAUAAAGCUAUAAGAAAAAGGAAGUGGGGAAAACUUUAAAAUGGGUGGGAUCAAGGGAUUGGGUGUGUGUUGGGGGUUGUGUGUGUGUGUGGGGGGGGGGGGGAUUUAGUAGUUUCUAUUUACCAUCGCCCUUUUCCAACUGAUUUAGUUUUUGUUGUCCCUUCAAUUCUUUGUUGUUGCUCUCAUGCUACAUAGAUGGCGUGCAACCAGUUUUAUCUUGUUACUUUUGUUACUUCAGGACAGGAGGUGAUUUUGGGUAUAGGAUUGAGAAUUGAUUUAUGAGACCAAAGAUGAUGGACUCAUAUGAGAGCUAAAAAAUACAUACCCUUCUGUAUGCCAUUUAUUCUGAGAAUCCUGCCAAAGUUCUUAGAGCAGGAAAAGAAUUAUUUUAACCUGCUAACAUUAUGACCACCCUGUUCGGCCCAGUCUGGUUCAUGGACAUGCAUUGCAAGGGCUAGAUUAUUUAGUUAACUAGCAAGGUGCCCGUGCGCUGCUACGGAACACCUUACAUUGCGACAGAACAAUAACAUUCAGUGUUGUUUGAUUUUUGUCACUACUAUUUAUCCUGCUUUAAUAGUUCGGUUGAUGGGGAAUUGAGGAUUGGAGAAUGGAGGCGGCAGCUGCGGGUUGAUCGGGAGAGGAGGCCGGCAGAAGGAAGAAGAUACUGGAGGAGAUUGGAGUUUUAGGCGAUAGAAGAACAUGAGGUCACUGUGAUUCGGACGGACCCCAUUUGUUAGUUGCCAAUGCCCAGGAAGGAGAUGCAUGGGAGGUGAAUUGACGACCACCAAGUGGAAACUUUAUAAGUAGGAAAGAUUAUACCAAACAGGCACUCAAAAUACAAGUUUCCGGGAAUGUUUGCUGCCAGAGCUUAAAGUCCUUUUGUGAUAUUCAUUCGAUUUUAGUAAAUCGUAGUUAUGUUGGUUAAUUUGUUGUUAUAUUUCGCAUAGGAAAAAUAUCUUGCUGAACAGUUUCUCUUUUAGUAUCUCAUACAUUGAUAUGUAAUAGGUGGACGCCCCUUCAGAUCUCUUGAAGCCAAUUAUUGUUGGACAGUCCUCGGCUCUAAAAGUUGGUCAGCAAUGCUUAGCGAUUGGAAACCCUUUUGGUUUUGACCAUACGCUGACUGUUGGUGUUAUCAGUGGUUUAAAUCGAGAUAUUUUUAGUCAAGCCGGAGUGACUAUUGGAGGUGGAAUUCAAACAGAUGCAGCCAUUAACCCCGGGAACAGGUUUGUAGAUAUGGUAUAAAAAAUGAAUUGUUAUUUUUUCACUCGAUACCAAAGUCAUAUAGAUUUACGAACAGUUCAUAUCAAGUUUUCCAUUUCAGAUAUUUUUAAUUUGUUGUAGAAAGUGCUGCUGGCAGUGCUGCUUUCAGUAUUGAUCAUGAUCUUUAAAUUUUAACUAGUGUACAUUUUUGUUUUUCUUUUUAUUUCUUGCCUUUAUUGUCUGUUUCUUGUUGUUGGCCUUUGGCUUUUGUACUUUCGCCUUCUUGGUGCUUCUUCAAAUUAAAAUGACACACUUUGGUGCGGGUUCGAGAUAAAAGUUAUCUGUUACCUACUGACUGUCCUAGACAUUUCUGUCAUAAAUUGACAAUCAUAAUGUGUAUGGUUUUUACUGAAUGUCAUAUCGCAAAUUGCAAAAUAGAGAAAACAGUGGAUCAGGUUUUGUGUUAAUACACAGAUGAAACUAGUAUAAGUGUACAAGUUGUUGCUCUUUUCAGUUAUUAGCAUUUGAACUCAUAAGAAAUGACAGGCUUGGAACUGAAUUGCAGAUAUGACAGUUGGCAUAGUGAUCAUAUCAGUAGUUACCAUGAUAAUCUGGAGCCAUAACGCAUAACCUUCAAGUCGUUGGAUUAACUAACAAACAUUUACUAAGUCUGUGAUAUCCAUACAGUCUCUACCCAUUCAAGAUAUAAUAAGCUUGAUCGACCGUUGUUGUCCUCUUCAUGAAAUUAUUUACUAUCAAUUCCCUUUGCCAUGACCUCUGGCACAGUGGACUCAGUGUCUUUACUCUUGAAAUGGAUGAUUUAUUAAACGUGGUGGAUAAUAUGUUAUGUGUCCCUAUCUGUAGCGCUUUUAGGUUAAUAUAUUAAAUGUGAGUCAGUCUGAUUUCCUCAUGCAGCAUUUUACUAACCAUGUAGUCUGAUGAACAUUGAUGCAGUGGUGGUCCUUUGCUAGAUUCGAAAGGGCAUAUGAUUGGUAUUAAUACAGCAAUUUUUACACAGACAGGUUAGGUCACUUCCAUUCUGACAUGUAUUGUUCAAAAGUGCAGUGAGAAAACAUGAUUCAGUAUCUCAAUCAAUAAACUUUUUUUUCAUGCAAAGAUGUUAACACAUCUAUCUGCUUUCUCAGCCACUAUGGUUGUUACCAUUGAAACAAGCAUGUGCAACUGUGCACCAUUAAUAAAAGCACAAUCCCUGUUAACUAUCUUGAUCUUAACUAGCCGAUAGGGAACCUUAGUUGCUGUAUUUUUGUGUCCUUUUGUAAAUUACUCUGUUUGUUGUACUGACUGUUAUUGAAGAUGGCAUGGUUUGAAUAACUUUCUUUUUGUGGUGGUGAGGUGGUCACUGGUUAUUAUCAUAAUAAAAAAAAUGAUUCAGAUAUCAUUCAACCUGUCACUGCUUGCAUCCUAGACGCCAAGUGUUUUUGCUAGCAACUAUUCUCUUAGUCAUGAAUUGAUCUAUCAAUUAUUGAUUUCUUCUCAAAGCUGUAUAUCAGCCAAUAAGUUGACUUCAUUGUUUUGACUUGGCAUCACACACAUCAGAUUUCACUGCAUCAAAUUGUACGAUUUUCUAUCAGCUGAUGUAGUUUCUAGGUUAGUCUGAGAGGGCACUAUUUCUUUAUGUGGCAGGAACGUCCGCCGGUGUUGGUUUUGCUAUCCAAUCAUCAACUAUACUUAAAAUAAUUCCUCAGUUAAUUCAGUCUGGAAAGGUAUGUUGCUUGGACAUCUUUUAGCCACAUCGUCAACGUAAUAUCAUUUUUUUCCUAACCAUGCCCUUAGAAUCAUCUGUGGUACUUAUGGUGAUGACAUAUGUGUAGAGAAGUAUAAUUUCAUGCAUAAAACAUCUUCUUGCUGAUGAGAAUUAUUUAUCAUUAACCUUUUGCCCUUUUGUGAUGCUUGUCUGUACUUGUUUAUGUUCCAGUUGUCCAGGCCUGGCUGUAAAUAACUGCACUGAGACAGUCUCAAAGUAAAUUUUAUAGAAAGGCAUUUGCACUAGGAGGAAAAGGUUUAGCCUGUUGGGUUCUGCAAAUAGUAGAAUAACAUAUGUCAGAGAUAACUGUACUUAUAUUGGCAUGUGUUUUGCUUACCAGCUAAGCGUCCCACUCUUGAGGGAAAAAAUUGCACUAUAUAAUCUCUUGAAGAUUUUCCUCAUAAAAAUCUACAGCAUGAACAAGCAAGUUAGGUCACUGUCAUGUUUGUUUGUUCAAUGCUGACAUAUGUGCUUGGUUUCUAGUUUUUUUUUCUAGUCCAAGUUAUGCUUUACCUUUCUCUUUUUCAGGUUCGUCGUGCUGGAUUGAAUGUGGAAUUCGCACCAGAUCCGAUUGCAUACCAACUUAAUGUUCGCGACGGUGCUCUUGUACUGAAGGUAAAUUGAAUUGGGUGUACUCAUCUGUUCUGUUGGCCAGACAGGAUACUAUCAAUGUUUUGCCAGCGCAAGUUACAGUAUUCCCUGAUGGCCUUAUCACAUAACUUCUAUUGUUCUAUAGGUUCCAGCGGGCAGUGCGGUGGCCAAAGCUGGUCUAGUUCCUACCAGCAGGGGUUUUGCUGGUAAAAUUGUUCUUGGUGAUGUCAUCGUCGCGGUGGAUAGCAAACCUGUGAGUGCUUUGUUGAUUAAGUUUUAUUUGUUUGAUUCUGUAUAUAUGAUUCAGACAGGCUGACCUUGCCUCUCAUUUCUCACACCAUCGCUUCUGGGGCAGAUCAAAGGCAAGUCUGACCUCCUGAGGGUUCUAGAUGAUUACCGUGUUGGAGACACGGUGACCUUGACAAUCAGAAGAGCUUCCAAAACUAUUCCGCUAACCUUGUCGUUGGAAGAGGCAAGCAUUUGAUUUGAUGUGUCAUUUGAUUUGAUUUGUCCCUAAAGAUCCCAUUCCAAAUCUACAAUCUGCUCGAACCUCCUCCUGGAUUUUUUUUAUCAAUUGGAAUUUCUCCAAACCAUUUGCGUUGGUAAGAAGAUCGUGCCAUGUGGUAUGUUGCGAGCAUGCAUACAUGCACGCCACCAUCUCGUUGCUUAUUCAGGUGCUCCACAAUGCAGCCAGGUUACUGCCAUCAUGUGGUAAUUAUGGGAGAAUGAACAGGGUUACUACUUCAUACUGAAAUGGUGCUUUGGGGCGUUCUUUAAGUUAAACCAAGGAAUAUUCGAAAGAGAAAGCGAAAGAAGAAGGGAAUUGAAUGGAAUGUCGCUACGAGCGGCAAGGCGUCUUUGGAUCUUUGAACGAGGAGAUGCUUGGCUUUGGGUGUUGGUCCUGUUGGACUGACCCCACUCCGGUGCAGGGCAGCAAAACGGUGGCAGCGCGACGAGAACAAGCCAGCGGACGAUAAAAGAAGGGAACAUAAAGCAACGGCCAACGGGAGUUCUACUAGCACAGCAACCUAAAGCACGGCAUGUGGACGCGUGCUCCUUGCUUGAGAUGGAAGCUUCCAAAGCGAAAGCAGCAGCAUCGCUUGGAUUGGAUGAUCUGUGAUCCAAAGAAAAAUCUAAGGCGAAAAACGAGAAAGAAACUAACAAUCUUGUUCUCCAACCUCGAGGCUCGUCCCAAACAUCUUUGAUUUCCACAUGACAGUAACUUGGAACACAAGUCCAUGCAAUGCUUAAGCUACUAAAAGGUGCAACCAGAAGUCACAAAAAUCCUGGGAAAAAUAUUAUGAUGUGAAAUAUUAUACAUCUGUCAUGGCACAAAUAUUCAAAUCUAAUUGCAGUCUGCAACUUUGAUAACACAAAAAAGAAGACAUGCCAAGCCUAAGAACUGUACUGAAAUCAAAUAUUGGCUGGUACUAUUCAUGGUAAGAUUGUCUCAUUUUUAUUCCUAUAUGUUGAUCAAAUUUGUUCUGAAAUUGUGACAUGGUAGUAAUGCGUAUUAUUAUACGGAGUAUUAAUGUUGGUAUUUUUUUUUUCAACUAUUUGAGCGAUGAAUUAAGUAUAUAGUGCACCCAAACCCAAUAUGACCCUCUUUUUUCUCUGCGUGGUCACGCUGAACGCUGAUUUUAAGUACUUCAUCUGUCCAAUAAAAGAUGUCUCAAUUUUGAUUAAAUUUGAAUGCAUCUAUACAUGAAGUCAUGGCUAGAUACAUCCAAAUUUUGACAAACUUAAGACAUUUUUUGUUGGACGGAGGCAGUACGUACAGUUCCUUUUACCGGUCUAUAUACGGGUUUGCACGCAAACUGCAAACAAAUGCACACUCGAAUCAAGAAGCCCGCUCAAGUGUAAAGCGGUCUGUUGGUCCUGUAGGGCGUAUGCGAAUGCUAGCUCAUCGAUCGUAUCUGCUUGAGCUUUAUGCCUUUGGACCAAAGAUCUCAUCCGUCGCUGUUAACAGAUGUGAUCCUACGCGCUGGCUCCUAUAUCUGAAGAACAAGACUCGCUGGGCCAGGCAGUAAAACAAAAACUGGUCCAAGCUUCCGCUUCUCCCCAUAAAACUUGCGUGCCGGGAAGCCAGCUAACUAGAGCUCGGUUUCACACAACUCCGUCACAGCCUCACAGGGGAGAAGCCGAGAGGAGAGGAUGAGAAUCCCUAGCCUUGCACUGGUGAUUCUUGUUCUCACGGCCAUUUUGGCCUCCGGCUCGGGCUCGGGGGUUCUAGCAGCCAGAAAUCCAGCCAUUUUCGCCCCAGCAGGCAGCCGGGGUGCCUUAUUACAAGCUGUCGAGCGGCCGCGGAAACUUGCAGAGGCCGGGAGCAAUGGAGCCUCCUCUACCUUGGGCGCAUCCGGAAAGCCCGCGGCGGCUGCCUCUUCUCCUCCUCCGACGGUGUUCGACGCCGACAGGAUGAGCAAGCGCCGAGUCCGGCGAGGGUUUGACCCGAUACACAACAAGUGCUGAUCGGGCCCACUGGUCAGACUUGAAGGACACUCUUUGCGUCCUUUUUUCUUAGCACUUUUAUCGCGGUUUGGGUUGUGUUCUUCUGCUUCUAGCUACCUUCUGUAGUUCGAGCGAUUUUGUUACAGAAAUAGGAGUACUUGUACAGGGAUGCCAAUGAAAUAACGGCAAGGUUUGCCUUCGGGCACAAGUUCAGGCAUAUGUAUGUAGUCUGACUCGAGUGAUGUCCUCCGAGACAUGUAAGCCAGUUUCAGAGUUGUUCUUUUCUACUGUGGUUUUCUGAAUUAUGAUAUGCCAAAAAUUAUUUUAUAAUUUGUUAUGUAAAAUUAAACAAGAAAGGAUGCGGAAUUCGGUUAGCCAAACAAUAAACAUAGACAAAAAUGGGUAGGGAAAAGAGGUUUACCAGAAUACAUUGUAGUGUCAAACACAACCUUAGUUCUAUUCCAUUUUAGAGUUGCACGAUGAAAUUAAUGACCAUCUAUGAGUCCAUCAUGUUGGUGCUGGGUGCACAACGAAAUUAAUGUCAAUAUGUGAAUUCAUCACAUUGGUGUUGGAUGUUGCAGUAGGAGAAGUGAGUUUUGACCGCAAAUACUUGGUCCUCUUCAGCUAUCUAAGCUGCACCGUUUGUCAGCGAACCAAUGCCUCAAGCUGGAUCACGCUCUGACCUAAAAAACAACGGGCGUCGUCACAAUCCACCUUCCUCACCGCCGCCGGCACGCGCCGCCGGGCUCGGCGGCGGCGAGGCCCUUGUCCUUCAACUCCGUGCGGGGUGGCUUCACCGGUAGCUUUGGCGCAGGGCGGGAUGCCCCGACGGCAGUGGGUAUGGCACGGCGAUCAUGGCUUCGCGCUGGUGGGCGUCGGCGGUGGCUGUGGCGGUGCGGGUUGGCGUCGGCGGUGGUUGUGGCGGUGUGGCGAUCCGGCAGUUGCUGGGGUCUUGAGUUUGGUGGUUGACGAUGUUGGUGCCCGCGGGCGUCGUUUCCUUGUUGAGGGGGUCGUCAUUGCAACUCUCCUGCCAUCCUUCUCCCGCCCAGAUGUUCCGGGGAAAACCCUAGAUCUGGGUCUCCCGGAUCGGACAAUGGCGACAUUUUUAGUGUCGUUCUCUCUCUUGGGGACAUCGUUCUUAUUGGAACACGUCCUUGCUGGUGAGAUCUGUCGUCAUUUCCAGGCCUGACAUUUUGUAUUACUGCGUUCCAUGUCCUAAAGAUGAGUUGGUGGUAGACGAUGGCAGCACAUUCUAGAGCGUGAGCAGACAACACACGUCGAGAAUUUGUUUAACGGUUGUGCCUAGUGCGGUCUCCGGAUUUCGAUGUUGGGUGGUGUUAUGCAGUCAGGGCAUGCGGCCCCGAUAAUGGCCACCCCUUUCAUUAGGUUUUGAUGCAAAGGUCGGGGGUUUAACCUCUUUUUCGAAAAAGAAAAAAUUCCUCAAGCCGGAUGACAUGAUGAGACAAACAAAGAGGCAAGAUUGCAGGAAGUUACGUGCUUUCGCGGGCGCAACGAUGGUGUCUACCUUCCUGUGGCGGCGAUCAAUAAUGGGUGGUGGUCGUUUGGUUUGGUUUAGUUUCAACAUUUUUUCACGAGAAGCUAAAACAAACAAAGCCAAUAUGUAGUUUCGGGUAUUCAUCCUCAUGCAACAUGGACAUAUUGCUUAAGAGCAUCUUCAGUAGGCUCCUUAAACAAGGCCCCCUAUCCCAUUUUAGGGGUUAAAGCAAAAAAAACCUCUCUUCAACAGGGUCCCUACUUGGGCCCCUAGAAUAGGAAGGCCCCUAGAAACAUCCCUCCGGCCCUCAUUGCUGGGGGCUCUCAAGGAAGCCCCUACUUCAUGCCACGUCAGCUCUCUCUCUCCCCACGCCUCUUCUUCCUCCCGGUUGGCCUAUUCCCGUCGCCCCACCUCGUCGGCGGCCAAGCACAGAAGCGCCGUCUCCCCCACCACCCCUGUGCGAAGCAGAGAAACGCAGUCGCCCCGCGUCUUCGGCCUUCCUCUCGCCGGUCUUGGUUGAUGCCCCGGUCCGUCGCCGUGACUUCCCUGGUGAGGAGGCCGAGCAGCAGAACGAGGAUAUGGAGGGGAAGGCCGACCGGCGCUACGCCUCGCCGCCGGCCGCCCCCGCCUCCGUCGCCCUUGGGCGUGUCUUGGGCCGUGCGGCGCCUCCGCCGCUCUUGGCCUCCCUGCACCUCCGUUGUCCUUGGUGGCGUUGCGGCUCCGCCACCCUUGGCCACGUCCCACGCUGCGCGUGCCGACCUCUGCGCGCAUGGGAGAAGGGCACGCCCCACCCCCUCCUCCCCGUUGCAAUCCCCCUCUCGUUGGUCUCUCGUGCGAGCUCAGGGAAGAAGACAAGAAAAAGGAAAUGUUUCACUGACAGAUGGGCUUCAUGUGUCAGUGUAACAGAAAAAUUAAGUAGGGGCUGAACUAUAAGGGUUCAUGCUGAAGAUGAAAUUAAAAUAGGAGCUGACAAAUUUAGAGGAAAAUCCCUAAACAACAUCUAGGGGCUCUGUUUUACGGCCUAGUGCUGAAAAUGCUCUAACAAUCUAACGGUACGUGUAAUUUUUUAGUAAGUGUCUCUCCUUUGCCUUAGUUUCAUUUGCCCAGUAGAUACCGGAAUCUUGGAUCCCCAGAUCUAUCGUGUGGAAGUCCAGAAAAAACACUCUCGUUUCAAAUCAGCCGUUCAAUGAAAUACAGUACUCCAACUUUUUUUUGUUGAGACGAGUACACCAGUUUCACUUCACCCGUCUAACCGUCUUGGAGGUCCGCCAAACCCAAACGAACCCUGUGUUCCUGUGGCACCAAAUGGCCGCUCUCCUAAACCCUACGGCCCGGCACCUCGCCCUCGCUGCCUGCCGCCGCCUCUCGACGCCGCCAGCGGCGGAGCCCCUCGUAGCUCACUGGAGCACCCAAGGUUUGCCCUCUUGUUCACCCCCACCUCCUCCUCUCAUCUAAUCACCCCCAGUCCCCCACCCCCCUCCUCUCAUCUAACAAGCUAAUGCAUGCCACUUUCGGUGCUCUGAGGAGUAAUCUGUUUGUUGCGGUAAUGUUGCGAAUAUUAUCUUUUUUAUGCCAAUAAAUUCCUUCUCGCGGGAUAAUAUUCCGUUGCGUCAUAAGGAGUUUCUCAACAGCACCUGGAAUGUGGAAUCUGGAUCGUUGCUGUUUUUUGAGGCAUGAUCAGUUGUGACUGCUUUACUGAAUUCCAGAACUGAUAGCUUUAAACUAGCACUGCUGCUCUACCCUGAAGUAGAAAGGAAACGCUAACCAUGCUAUUUCUGAAUUUUUUGACAGCAAGAUACAGUUCAAGUCUGGUUGAGAUCAAUGGCGGAUUCAAGGAGAUGGUCACCGGCACACAGAGCUACUACGUGGUUGGAGGCAAAGGUGGUGUUGGCAAAACAAGUAUAGCAGCAUCACUUGCAAUGAAGUUGGCCAAACAUGGUCAACCGACGCUUAUAGUGUCCAUGCUCCCAGCACAUUCACUGGGUGAUACAUUUGAACAAGUAUAUGAACUAUUAUGUUGUUUUACAAAGUUCUAGUGGAUCGUUUAUUUAGCAUCUUUGUUGAAUUACUUUCUUGUGUUGUCUAUAGGACCUGAGUGGCAAUAAAAUCGUGCCUGUGAAUGGAGUUGACUCUCUUUUUGCUGCCGAGGUAUGUAGGAGCAGCUACACUAGUAUGGUUGUGAUUUCCCUUUCUAUCGUUUAGUCCUCUUUCCCUUUUUUCAUUUAGUCCUCUUAUCUACUAUAUUUCAUACAUGGUGUGCAUAGCCACUCUGAGCUAUCCAACCAAGAAAAGAAACAUUUUGUAUCACCCUCAGAGGUGUGGAAUGCAAGAAGAAAUUGAUGUUUUCCAUUUCAUAGGUGAAGUUGUGUUUCUUUCAUGACAAUCGAUCCAUUUUAUUGGAUGGCUCCCAAGGGGUGGUCAUGCAUAUACAUUUUGUGAAGUCAUGGAGAGAAUCCAGUUGGUCAUACUGGUUUGGUUUUGAUGAUGGAUAUAACUUGUUCUUUUACAGAUUGGCCAUGUGAAUAUAAAGGAGGAAUCUUCUAAUGCAGGAUCUUUUAUCAGUGAUAUGCUGGGUAAGAUAGGCCUUGGAGUUCUUGCUGAUCCAGUAAGCAUCACCCUAGAAACCUUGUUGAUUCCUUCUCCAUUUUGCAUUUUAAUGAUUUUCUAAUCUUACGAUUCGAUAGAACAUUCAAGCAUCUAACUAAAAAGUUUUACACCAACUUUAUUGUCUGUUUUCAGUCCGUUGGUUUGCCAUUUCCAAUUUCCAACUAACAAAGGCACUGACGGGACACAAAUAGAUAACAUAAAAUGACUGGAUAGCACAGUGCACCUAGCCAAUGGUAAUUUCAGGCAUUCACAUGCUUAAAGCUUAUACUCUGUAGGCUACCUGUAUGGUCGUUUUUGCAUCACCAUUCUCUUCAUUGGCAACACAGAAGAAGUAACCAUUGUUCUUCAAUUUGGACAUAGGUUGUUGGUUUCAUAUGCUUAUGUUACUUUGGCUGUAGCAUAUGACAAAAUUUUCAGCAUCUACUAGCCACUAACUCAAAUCUUUAUAAGAGUUAAGAUAAGAGGUCUUGCACUCUUGCUAGAUUACAUUACUUAUGCCUGCUAUGUCUGGCCUUUUAAGCUUGGAAGCAAUAAGCUGAAUGAGAUGCUGAUGAAAACUCCUGGAUUUGGAGAAGCUCUUGCAAUGUCAAAGGUAUCAAUCAGACUUUACCGAUUGGUAGGCGAAGUAUUAUUCAUUACAUACUUUCUUGAGUUUACUCAUCACCUUAUGUGUAUCCGUUCCAGCUGGCAGAAAUCGUAAAUCUGCAACAGAACAAUAAAUUUAGGCAGAUAGUCUUGGAUACUGCGGCCACUGUAUGCACCCUUCUCACUGCCCUGAAUCCCUCUAUUUCUGCUUCUUUCAUUCCUAAUUGGAUUAUUAUACUUACAUUUCAUAGGGGCAUACCCUUAACCUCCUGUCUGCUACUGAUCUAAUGGAAAAGUUCCUCGGUAUGGCCAAUAAGGUGAGCUCUGAUGUAACUACUAAUCUUAACUCCUUUAGCUUAUCCUGGUUACAUGAACUUCGUUUGAUCAAGCAUGGGUUUGCAAUAGCUUUUUUUUUCUUGCGAUAAUUAGGUAAAACUGACUCUGCAGAUAUUAGAAAUUAUUAAGAAACAAUACAAGAAUCCUAGAAAAAUAUUAUCAAAGCUAACUUGAUGGAAGAUUUUUCUGCAUUGUGAAGGCACUUAACUUGGUUAUAGACAAGGUCAUGAGUUUGAUUGGCAAGGCAUGGUAUCUCCAACCAUUACCAGAAAAAGAAACCAACAAACUCUGUAUUUAGGUUCACUUUGGGAGUCCGGACUUUUUGCACUUGGUGGCAAUCAUGCCUGGAAUCUGAGCCGUCCAAUGGGUUCUUGGGAUGUGUGCCUCUUCAUUUUAUAUUUUAGAAUAUAUUGCCAAUGCUCCCUCCGUUCCAAAUGAUAAGAUGUUCUCGCUUUGUCCUAAGUCAAAUUUUUUUAAUGUGACCAAGGUUAUAGAAAAACGUACCAAUAACUACUCCCUCCGUCCCAUAUUAAGUGACUCAAAUUUGUCCAAAUAUGAAUGUAUCUAUACUCAAAAAGUGUCUAGAUACAUGUAAUAUUUCGUCACUUAAUAUGGGACGGAGGGAGUACAAUAGUAAAUAAGUAUAGUUUGAAGAUAUAUAUCAUGACGAAAUUAAUAAAACUAAUUUAGACUUGUGGAUGUUGGUAGAUGUUUCUAAAUACUCCCUCCAUUCCAAAAUACAUCUCAUAUAGAUUUGUGCACUUGGAUCAAGGCAGUUCUCGUUUCUAGUGCCUGACCACUCAUAUUGGGUUAAUAAUAAAUGGAUGUAAAUAGUUAUUGGCCGGGUGCGGGUACCAAGAGAAAAAUGAGGUAUAUUGUGGAACAAAUGAGAAAAAUCUAUACACGUUGUAUUGUGGAAUAGAGGGAGUACUUGGUCAAUGUUUAACAAAUUUGACUUACGGCAAAGCUAGAACAUCUUAUAAUUUGGAAGAGUAGAUGCUAUGCAGCAUAGCAUGUGCUCAAGGUCUCAAUUCCUCUUGACUAUGUUUUGGUGCAAUGUAACCAAAUUGUAGUAUUGUUUUUGUUGUAAACAUUUGUUACUGGUGUUGAAUUGGAUUGUAAGAAAACAAAAGGUACAACCACGUGUGCAUCCAUAGGUUUGUACUAAGCACAAAACUAUGAGCUAUAGGAAUUAUUUUGGAAACUUUCUCGAAUUUAAAUUUUCUUGAAUCCUGGAUUAUCUUGUGUUUAUGUGAGUGUGCAAGUAUGGAACGCUUGUGUUUAUGCGAAGAGUAACACAUGUAACUGGGCAUGGACAUUUCAGGCUGUGAACUUAGCGUCAUCCAUCCCAGCUCUUAAAUCAGCUUUUGAGAAAGGGAAAAUAGAUGUAAGUGCGCAUUAAUUUCCAGUUCCAUUAGGGCAGUAUUUUAAAGUGCAGCCUGACAUAUUCUUAUUGUACUGUUAAGUUUGCCAGAAUUGAGGAACUAAGAAAGCAGAUUGCAAGAGUACACAAGCUUCUGCAAGACCCACAAUCAACGGAAUUUAUCAUUGUGACAAUUCCUACGGUAAAUAUUUGUUCCAUGUCUUGCAUUAGUGCCAACAGUUAUUUACUGCAAAAACAUGGUGACAAUGAUAAAGAAGUAUUAAACGCAUACAAGGGUUGGCUGCAUUGGCUUGAUCUUACUCAUGGGUUCUUGUUUUCUCAGGCGAUGGCAAUUACUGAGUCAUCAAGAUUUCAUACAUCUUUAAAGAAGGAUGGUGCACCAGCAAAAAGGCUUAUUGUAAAUCAAGUAUUGCCACCAUCUGCAUGUGACUGCAGAUUUUGUGCUGUAAAACGGAAGGUAUGAAGCUCCUACCGUUCACGCAAGUAACUACAUGUCCCGUGCUUACUAUGAUUUAAUUUGGGCAAGGAGUUUCCAAUCUAGGUGCAACAUAUAUUUCUCAAAAAAAAAAAAUUUGCUCAGUUGCAUAAUCAUUACUUAGUAAGCUACACCCUUAGAACUAGCUUUCCACAUUCAGCUCAUUAUCUGAAUAGAGACAUUCACAAUUUCAGGAAGAAACUCGUGCCCUCAACAUGAUAAGUGAGGAUCGUGAACUUAGUGGCUUAGAGCUGAUCCAAGCACCACUUCUCGACGUGGAGGUCAGAGGUGUUCCUGCUCUUAAUUUCUUCAGUGAUGUGGUCUGGAAAUAGCCGCCAGGAUGUCAGGCUUUGACUAGGAAUCUAGGAUUUUCAUUUUUCAUUUGAAGCUGCGAGCAACCGUAAUGCAGAAAUGUGGUGAAAUCUGGAUAUAAGAUGAAACCGUGCAGGAUAUUAGUAUAUUCAGGCUCUAGAGCUAUUAAAGCUUAUACCUGAAGAAGGUUCAGAGGAAGCCCGGAACCCAUUUGCAUACCACAUCUCGGACGCCAAAACUCAAGGGAGAAACUCUUCGUUCCCCGUUUUUGAUAUCCUACGAUUGUCCUGUUCAUGGCCCAGUAGUAACUUGGACGGAGACUGAUCUGGUACUUUUAGCAGGUUAUUAGCCACUGCCCUUGUUUUUCCCAAAGAGUAGUAACAACUACUCUGACGUGUUCAUAUAUUGAUCAUAUGACUUUGUUGUCGGUGUCCGUUGAGUGAAUCCUGGAGACUUGAUGGGAUUGGAGACUUGAUGGGAUCAAAAGUACUUGUUUAUGGUUAUGAUUUGUAUCACAUAAGUCACGGGUUGAUGUAGUAAUCCUUGAUCAAAGGCUCAGUCAAAAAAAACAAUAUAUACGUCAUAAUUUAAGAAACGGAGGGAGUAUUUAUUGUCAAGAUGGUCAAUAUUGGAUUAACCUACGAAGACAUUUAAAAACACGGAAGAAAGAAACUACAUGAAGAUGAGAGAUAGAUGUUUUCAAAAUUACACUCGUCGAACAUCAUCUGAACGAGAGACUAAUGUUCCAAGCCUUAGACUAUUGUCAAGAACGGCUGAACGGCAAUCUCUGCAAAAAGACUUCGGCCGGUAGAGCCUUCUUUUGAGUUGAAAACAAGUAAUAUGUGUCGGAAGAGUAGCAUUCCGCUCUGUGUAUUUAUCCAGUCGAUAAAGUCAGUCCAUGAUAAAAAAGAAAGCACGUCAGCACACGAGCGCACUGCUCAACCGAGGAACUGAAGCAAAAGUUUUAAGAUUCCAUCCAUCUUGACAAUUGGCACGAGACUGGUUAACACAAACGACGAACACCUUUUGACCCGUGCACGGUACGAUAGCACGCACCUCGUUUCAGCUUUUCAAGGUCGCCGUCGAUCGGUCGGGGCGCCUUGAGCGGCUGAAUGAUUAAACAAUGAUCUGGCAUUCUGGCCUCUGGAGAGGCCGGGACACGCGAUGACGAGGACAAAAGAACCUCGGUGCUCUGUGGGGCGAUCACGACGAAACCCCGGCGAUCGGCACAUGAACGGCCGUUCAGCCGCGCACAUGCAUGGCUGCAACCGAACGGCAAGGACGAGUUGGCCACGAUGUGCUAGCAACUGCGCGAGGCUCCUAGUGCUUUGCUCUUUCUGAGAGGGAUGUUCAUGGAGGCGUGAGGUGCCUGUGUACCCCUCGAGGGCCAUUUCCCGUCAUUUAAAAUUGCGCCAGAGAACCGAAUAACUCGUUUUUGGUAGCCACUUGUUUAGCGACAGAUCAUUUAUAUCCGAUUCUUGAGGAGUUUAGUGUAGUGGUUUCUCGAAGAAAAAGAAAAGGAAAAGGAAAAGGAAGAAGUUGGUACUGCGUCACUGUAGAUUACCGAACGCAUGUCAAAGUGCGUCAUUUUGGUUUCAAAGUACAUCAAAUUUAUAUUCGUGGCAUUUUAAAUGUGUUGAAUAUACUCGUAUUUGACCGGGUCUAAACCCAAACAUGGCCAAUCAUAUUUCUUUUAAGAUCAUGGUGGCAGUGACCGAGCACGCAGAGCACCUGGCGUCACGAAGUGCAAGCUUGAAAGAAAACGUUUGAUCUAGGCAAUUAGUAUAUGCAGCCUCGUGAAAUAAUAUAUGUAGCUCGUUAUAGGUUCAUGCAUGUUAGACGGUCUAAUCGUUAUUUAAUACUCGUAGAACCGGCAUGAGUUUUUCUAAGUGUCUACGACACCUAUAGGAGUAUAGGACAAGUUGGAUUCAGAAACUGACACAUUCAUCAUGUGGAUGCCUGGACGAUGUCGAGAGGAAAUAAUUAUGAAAAUCCCAAUAAUUAUCAUCAACAGAUGCAAUAUAUGCCACAAUAAUGCGCUGCCACGACACACGGUUCACGUUUGUAUAUAAAGCCUGGUAGUCUGGUACCAUCGUACUGACUGUCAUGUGUUCUCCACAUCGAGAUGUUGGGUCGAAACGACGGACCAACAAGGGACCGGAUCCCGCACGGAAGAUACGCUCCUUAUCGGCCGUGAGCGCCCUUCGUUUGUUCGUCCAUCAUUUACGUGCAGUGGGCCGAAAAUGACUUGCAUUCGUGACUCAUCACGUGUACACAUUCUGCCUCCUCGACACGGCGACACCUGAUCGAGCCUGCGUGAAAGUCUCGACCACGGAAGAAACAUCUGCGAGAAACCGUGAGUCCGUGACCAUGUGAUGGACGAGAUUUGUGGUGGCUUGGUUGGCUGGCUGCAGGUGCGACGGCAUGACAUUAUCGUUUUCUUUUCUUGAGAGAUGGCAAAAGAUUUGCCACUUUUUCGUACGUGGUUUUAUUGAUGAAGCAGGAUGCGUCUGGAGCACUAAUAACAUGCAUGGAGCGCGUAGAUGAAGAUACCGAGUCUGAACUCUGAAGUGGAAGUGCUAAUGCGGCAAUUCGGCUUAAUUACCACCCCCCUUAUCCAACUUUUGAUUCGAUGACAGAUUCAAGGGGGGUUCUACAUGGCCUUCGCUCGACACCAACGUUGGAUUGGCUCGGCGUGCCGCGUGCGUGCUUGCCACUGCCCUUACCUUCCUCACAAGGGCCAAGGGGGCCACCCUGCAUGCACGCUAGAGGCCUUCGCUCUUUUCGAACUUGUACAUAUUACUGUUUUUGAGCAUAAUAGCUACCGCAUGAGCUUGUACAUAUUGCUGUCUUUGCUGUACUGUACUGAAAAAACGAAGUAUAUAUAUUUGACUUAGCUCUCAGUCCUUUAACUGUUAAGAUCGAUCUUUCAAAAAAGUCAGUUUGUUGGACGAAUAAGUGAUAUUCAAUUUGUUGGGCGCCACCGGGUUUGGAAUGUAAUAGAGUGACGACAACGUUUUUUUUUUCUUUUUUCUUGAUGAAACCCCCGGCCUAAAUACGAAUGCAAACAGUUUGGCAUGCAGACAACGGGUAGGGGAUCCUACUCGUAAGAAGAGACGUGACAUCUCACAACCGUGUACCCAACAACGUUCUCCUUUCGGAGACUCUCUUAAGAACAAAAGGUGAAAGGGAACUCUACUCCGUUCCUAGUACUACGUACGUACGAAAAGCUUUGAACGCACACGGCAGAUCUUAACACCGCGGUUUCCAAUUUCCGUGCAAACUGUUGCUCUCCGAUCAUAAUUCCUCGUCUUCAUCCGCAUGCACGGGCCGCGCGGCACACGGGAGUCGUGGGCCUCCCGUUGGCCGCCGGAAGGAAACAACGUAGCGUUCCCUUUUAUACAGCAGCCAGGCAUAUCGAUCAGCCCGUAGCGGCACACAGCUCGUAUGUUUCUGUUCCUGUCUUCCUGAGCCACCUAGCUGCAACGCGCGCGCGGGCGACGCCAAGGGGAUAAGAUGGCCAUUGGCGGAGGAGCGGCUCCGCACCAUAAUCCUCCCGGCGACGUGGACUCGCCCGCGGGCGCGCUCCCGGACUUCGAGCAGCCCCUCCUCCGCGCGCACGGCGGCCUUCAGGCGGGCAAGCAGGACCCCGCCGCGGCGCACGACCACGAGGCGCAGUGCCCGCCGGACACCGCCGGCGCGACGUCCCUACGGACCUGCUUCAAUGGCCUCAACGCCCUCUCAGGCCAGUACUCCAGAAAACUCGAACCUUUUUUCCUUGCUCCAGUACCGUGCAGUCAGGGCUUUUCUCCUUGACAGAGUCAGACGACCUUGCAACUGACUCGACCGAUCUUAAUCUUGGGGUUCAGGUGUCGGGCUGCUGUCCAUCCCGUACGCGCUGGCGGAGGGCGGGUGGCUAAGCCUGAUCCUCCUUCUCGCCGUGGCCAUGGUCUGCUGCUACACGGGCCAGCUCCUGCAGCGCUGCAUGGGCGCGUCCCCUGCCGUGCGCGGUUACCCGGACAUCGGCGCCCUGGCGUUCGGGCGCAAAGGCCGCUUCGCCGUCUCGGCAUUCAUGUACGCCGAGCUCUACCUCGUGGCCAUCGGCUUCCUCAUCCUCGAGGGCGACAACCUCGACAAGCUGUUCCCCGGCACCAGCCUCAGACUCGGCAACGGGCUCCUCGUCGUCUCCGGGAAGCCCCUCUUCAUCGUGCUCGUGUCCGUCGCCAUCCUGCCUACCACGUGGCUCAGGAACCUCGGCGUGCUCGCCUACGUGUCCGCCAGCGGCGUGCUCGCGUCGGCCGUCCUGGUCCUGUGCGUGCUCUGGGCUGCGGUCGUCGACGGCGUCGGGUUUCAGGGGAAGGGGACCUCCUUGCUCAAUGUCCGUGGCCUGCCCACUGCUCUCGGGCUCUACACCUUCUGCUACUGUGGCCAUGCCAUAUUCCCAACGUUGUGCAACUCCAUGAAGGAAAAGGACAAGUUCUCCAAGGUGAGUACAGUACAUGAUUUUGACUUCAGUUAAAAAAACACGGAGUAUAAAAUUCUACUAGUAGUACGGAGUAUGUCUGUCUUUGCAUUUAGCACUGUGCAAGAAAUCCGGUACUGAAAAUCAGGGGAAGAAAACAUCUGACAGUGACUGGACAGUGUUCUAUACAUACCGACCAAUGUCUUAAUCACUGCCCUGAUUGAUGAUUUUGUCCGUGUUCUACUUGCACAGGUACUGGUCAUAUGCUUCGUGGCAUGCACCCUCAACUACGGAUCCAUGGCCAUACUCGGCUACCUCAUGUACGGGGACGAGGUCGAAUCACAGGUGACCCUGAACCUCCCGGAAGGAAAGCUCAGCUCGAGGCUGGCAAUAUACACGGCCCUCAUCAACCCGUUCUCCAAGUACGCUCUGAUGGUGACCCCUGUGGCGACAGCGAUCGAAGAGAGGCUGCUCGCCGGCAACAACAAGAGGUCCAUGAACAUGCUGAUCAGGACCUUCAUCGUCCUCAGCACGGUCAUCAUAGCCCUGACGGUCCCUUUCUUCGGCCACCUGAUGGCGCUCGUCGGCUCGCUCCUCAGCGUCAUGGCCUCGAUGCUGCUCCCGUGCAUCUGCUACCUCAAGAUCUUUGGCCUGGCGAGGUGCAGCAGGGCAGAGGUUGCGCUCAUCGGCGCCAUCAUCGUUCUUGGCUCCUUGGUUGCCGCAAGCGGGACUUACUCUUCCGUGAAGAAGAUUAUUGACGAGUUCUGAUCGAAGCCAAUUGUUCACGUCUGACAUGGUAACGCCGGUGUCCGGGCUGGUAUUCUGUUGAAAUGUAAUUUCAUUGCUCAACAGCAGCAGAGUAUUGUGGUUCUACCAUAAGAGUUGUAUAUGAGGCAGGCUAGUACAAGACCAGAGAAAUUUUAUGUCAAUACGUUAUGUUUCAGAUACUGGCCAUGUGCUUCUGUUGCUAAAAAAGCAGGUAAAUUACGGAGAAGUACCAACUCUCCCCACGAAAAGUGCAACAAUCCAAACAAACGUACCGUAGCCCGUGGCUGAGCAGACCACUCCGGCCAUCGGAUUCCACUGUGUAAGAAUUCGAGUGCAUAGGAGUGCUGUACUGUAGUUCUGCCUGCAAAUUCCGUUCCCCAACGCGUUCGGAUUUUGCGGAUAAACACUAGUGGAGCAUAUCUUGAAAAAACACCACGUGGGCACAUUAAGUCAACCAUUUUACUCUUGGAUUAGGUGAAAUUAUUCUCUCUUGGAGGUUUCCUUGUUUCUCUAUUUUUGGACCAAGUUGUCUGGUUCAAUCGAAGAAAAACUCUCGCGCAGCAGAAGAUUACUCACUGAAGAGAUGAAUUAACAGCCGGCACACCAACAAAAAUCCAUAUAAUUGCAAACAGGAGCAAAGCAACAUAGCAUAGGAGCAGAGAAGAACAAGCUAGCUGAAGCUAUCAUUCAAGACUGAGAUAGAACUACAUACACAAGACUCCUUACAAGAUAAAUCAACUUUGAUUGGCAACAAAGCACAUGCUGCACACAGAUUACACGUUCCGACCAACCGGAGCUACAGAAACUGGACAAGUAGUGGAAAUGAAGCUGCAGACUGAUAACGAAACAGGAAGAAGCCUUCCAUCAGGACUGACAUGAGGCUCGCGAGGAGCUGGUGGAGGCGGAAAGAGAGGAUAGAAGCCUUCUAUCAGAAGGAGAAGAUGCCUUCCUUGAUGCAGAGGGCGCAGAUGAGGACGACCAGGCCGGCGCCGAUGCACUGCGUGCUGGACACCAACGUCUGCUCGUACGCCAGCAGCGUCAUGGCGGCGCCCACGCACCCGAUCAGGAGCCCGCUCAGGUUCCGGUCCAUGCCGCCGCUCCGCUUGACUUUCCCACCUUGCUAUUCCCCUGCCGCUGCUGCCGCUUCUCUCGAUCUCUUCGAGCUUCUUGCUUUUCUUGGGUGCUGCUGCGGGUCUGCGAUGUGAUGUGGUGGAAGUUGGGGAAUUAAAACCGCGAAGUCAACGGCUUCGUUGCUGGUGAGAGGGUCAGAGGGCGGGGAGUUUAGCUCGUGGAGGGUUUGGAAGGCCGGGGAUGUGGUUUUCGGAGCCCGGAAGCGCCAUUCGCGGCUCACUGCCGCCCAGGCGCCACACACGUUCCGACGUUCGCGUGUGAUUUGUAAAUUGCACACAGUUUUUUUUAUAAGAAACGCAGCAUUCAUGUUACUCGGAAUGCAUUUAAGGGAAGAGGGAGAAGUUAUUUGAUUUGUUGGCAUCAGCAAAAUUAAACAAGAGAAAAUCACAUGUUUUUUGUUGGCUAAACUGAAAAUCCAAAAUUCCUAAUUACCGCACGCAGAAUAGGAGAUUUUUGUGUUGGUUUUAGCGUUAAAUUAUUCAACUGAGCCUAACUAUGCUCGUUAGCCUGUCAGGCUUGUCUACCAUUUCACCUGGCCCAAAUAUUCUAAAGGAAAAACAAUUCUUCUGGCCCAAUUACAUGUGCCGUUCAGCGGUCCAACCGUCCAGGGCCCUGACUCGCGCAGGCACUGAAGCCCCGACGGUGGCAAGAAGGUGCGCCGAUAGCAGGGGCGAAGAGCUUUUGCCGGCAUCCACAGGUUGCAGCCACGUGCGGGCACCGUGCGUGCAGCCAGGGGCUCUCUCUUUGCGGCGAGGGGAUUUCCGGGUCGCAUACCGACAUCGCGUCGAUGAACUUGUGACCUCGCAACGGACGUGAGGGCGGGAGGACGUGUGCCGCGGCGGCUGGCGAAGGCAACACCGCAGUCCCACGAGAGACCUGCUGUGCAUGAGACAGUGAGGAGUUUGGAUCCUGGAAGCAGUGGCAACCUCCACUUCCAUUGUAAGUUCAAUGAAUUUGGAUCCCCUUAUAACUUUUUUUUCUCAGUUUCCAAACUAUCAACCCGUAUGUUAUAUGCCCCGGUGUAGAUUAGUUGUUGACUGAUGUAAUAGGCAGUUGUAACUUAUAAGACGAAGAUCGAUGCUGAUUUGAAAACUUGGAAAGAACUUCAAAGACAUUGAAGAUUGUUUUUUAUUUUGUGUAAUACCCAGAAAAUUGUAAAGAUUGAUUUUGAUAUAAGUUGGAAGAGUUGACUGAAAGUUGACAUUUUGAAUCAUAAGUCAUUUCGGGAAUCUGAGACCAUGAUUCAGUUCGUCUUGUAGAGCUGACCGUCUAGUCGAAAGCAUACAUGUGACCAUGGACGAACACAAAAAAUUGUUUAGGUACGACGUUCGUAGAACAGACUUAUAACAUUUAAUAUUUAUAUUUUAUAAUUGCAAACUGUAUUUUAAUAUGUUUGUUUGUAUUUUUUUAUUAAUUCUUAUAACAUUUUGUUUUUAACAUUUAAUAUUUCAAUAGAUUUAAUGCAAAAACAAUAUCGCAUCGUAUACAGGUAUAAACUAUCAAGUGUGUAAUAAUAUUAAUGCAAUGUAUUUUUAUAAUAAUCCAAUGUUUUAAGUAAGCAUAAAUACAUGGAGGUGAAUUAUGAAGUUUAGGUCUUUACAAGAGUAAAUAUAUAGUAAUAUUUGUCUCCAGAAACAUCUACAUACUUAUAUACUUAACAAAAUAGAUAUUCGGGUUUGUUUUAUACCCAAGUUGCAUGAUUUUUAGUUAGAGAUAAGUUGAUUGUUCAGUCGUUGGAUCUAGAUUGUGUUUUAAAAUUCGCAACGAAAAGGAAAUGAGUGAGUUUGAUACUAUCUACCAAGAAUUAAAUGUUUUACUUAAAAAUUCAGGUGCCUGAGAUAUGGACACACCCAUAGAUAUUUGGCAAAAUAACCGGGUAAAUUUCAAGAAACCACGGGUUUUGGGGCCCGUCUCACUAGCUCCAGUUUUUGCUAAUUUGCCAACAGAACCACAUAUUUUUGGUCAGACUGUAUCAACUGGCCACACAUUUUUUACAUCACAUGAAUUAUUAAACUACCUUUUCUCAGUUAGGCGUACGGUGGGAGCUCUCAGCUCAUUUAUCUCCCACGUUUUCUUUUUUUGUUUUUGUUUUUUAGAACAACGAUCUGACUUUGUUUAUUCAACGAACAAAAUAAAACUGAUCGAAAAAUUAAGACGACAACAAAGAUUUCGGAUAAACCAAAAAUUAUAACAAAAAUCUUUGAAGCCAAGUUCUCUAGCCGCGCCGAUCGUAUUUUGAUAUUUCUCCAAAUCUCUGGUGACGAAAAAUGUAGAAAAUCAAACCUUCAUAAGUGUUACUAACGUUCUAGGUUUUACUGAGACGCACACUCCAGCGGGUGAGAACUUAAGAUCGUUGAACGCGCGGUGGCCUGGUCACACCCCUCGCAAGACAGGUUGUUGAACCAUUGAAUCAUAGCCGAACCGACAAGGAAGAUGAUCAAAAUCAUGAAAUUACGAGCCGUGGAUGCCACACCAGAACGGGAAUGGAGCCGAGAGAUAGUUAAUCCAAGCGUCGUUGCAUCCACCAACAGUAGGAAUAAAAUGUGUUGGCCUUGGCACUCGAACCUGAGACCUCCCAGUGAUUCCUUCCCUGGUGCUAACCACUAGUCUAGUCUUGCUUGUUAUGCGAAGUUACAGAAAAGGCCUAUUUUUACCCAUUUUUAGUUGCUGGCGCACACACAAAAGGUUGUCGAGUGCUUUCAAGGGGCCUCUUUAAGGCCCGUCGGGCUUAUCGGGCCGUGUCGGGUUUACCGGGCCGGGCCGGGCCGAACCGGGCCUAGAGCCGCGCUUGGGUCGAGAUAUUGCCUUAAGGUGCCGACCAGCCCGGCACAUUUCAUACCGGGCUUCGUCGGGCUUUGCCCGGGCCAGACCCGAUUACGUGCCGGGCCAAGCCGGGCCGGCCCGAUAGCCACCUAUAGUUUCACGCUGAGGAAAAGAGUGCACUAUCAUUUUUCCUUUGCUUGGUAAUUUUUCCCAUCUCGCUGCCGAGCGCGCCGACGGCCCAACCACGUAGCUCCUUGUCUUCCUCCUCGAGCGAGCGCCGCCACCGCUGCCGAGCGCCCCAGCCCCCUCGCUCCGUCGCUCGUCUUCCUCCUCGUGCGAGCGCCUCCACCGCAGAUAUCUAUCUCCCCUGCAAUUCUUGUUCCCGACCGUUUCUCCUCCAAUCACCCCACGAACAGAUCCCGCCCUUUAGCUUCCCGUCGCAUCUCCUUAAUCUUCCCCAAAUCUUCCUUGCCCUACCGGGUCCUCCGCCCUUGCAUGUGACCAAAUCAGAGUCUCGAUGAAUUAUGCAGAGACCAUAUAAUUCAGCCUUUCAAUGAAUUAUAGAAUCUCUGUGCAAGUCAAUUUCGGAUUAAAGAGAGAAGAAAGAUAAAUCCCCAUGGGCUGUCCCUUCACUGCCCUCACAAUCGAAUGGCCAAACCCAAUAUCAGACGCCCGUACGCCUAGGGUUCUUCAGAGGUCUAGUAGCCGCCUACGAGGUCAACUGACCUGAAGCUUGCUACCACCAGCUGCCGCUUCGUCGCGAAGCCCCGCCACCGUGCCGUUUGCUGUUCCACACCCACGCUACGCCACCAUCAACUGGCGCAUCGAUUUCUGGUUUGCUCUCAUCCCAGUCUCCGUCUUGGUAAUCUGCUGAUCGGAAGCAGUAGGUUUGCGUGGUCUUAGUGCUUGCAGAUGCAAUGUCCAAUUAAUUGUGCGGUAACAUGCUAGCAGGUGGCAGCCUAGUUCAAUCUAGAGUUUGUGUAACCGGUAGUUCUUAACAUCUCAAGGAACCAUAAAUUUUGUGUAAAUGUUCUGGAUUUGCUUGCCAUCAUAAUUGUGCAGCUCCCUUGCUAAUAUUAUAAUUCUAGUACUUGUACUGAUGCAGACGCAGAAGUUUUUUUUUGGGUUGAGAUAAAGCAAAACAAAUACGUCCCUUUAUUAGUCAAUCAGCUAGAUUAGAUAAGGGUAGGCUGAUUAUGAAUUGGUUAUUGUUUUAGUCUGUACCCUGUAGCACUGCAUGAUGUGCAACAGGGUUUACUCUGUUCUUAUUUGUUGGAAUGGAUGGUUCAAUACUAUGAGGAAGCACUUCAAAUUUAGGGGAAAAAACGACGAGUGUAUUGACACCUGCAUGUUUCGGCACAAGUAAUUUGUAUUGGUGCAGUAUACAGGAGCUAUUGAGCUUACAAUCUAGAGAGAAAACAGUAUGGGUUCAGCUCUAGAGCACCUGUUUACAAGAUCUCUGCCUAUUCUAAGAUAGGGUUGGGCAUAGUUAUGAAUUUGAAGCGUUUUUAUUUUUAGAAUAAUUUUAAGCACAGUUUAAGAAAUCGUCCUGAUGACUAUACAGCUAGUUAUGGUCUUUAGUUGGUCCGCGAGAAGUCUUCUGAGUUUUGUCCCUAUUUCUGAGUCGUAUUGGUGUUAUAAGCUGCAUUGUUGUUAUGCCUUGUGCUAUAUAUAUUAUUAAGUGCAUGUCGUGGGUGGCGAUGUGUACAAAAGAAUCACUAUCAAAAUUUCUAAUAAUUUUCAGACUUAGUUUUGUGUGUAGUAUGGUAGCAAUUGGGAUGAUGUACUAUGAUGGACAAUUGGUGAACCUUUAUGUUAAAUGGACUAUUAGUGGGACUCUAUGUUUUAAAUUAAACAAUUCAUGUACUUUUGUAUUUUGCAUUGAAAAAGUUGUUCCAUGUUUUGCAUUGGAUUUUUAUUUUGACUUUUAAUACCCGUUGUCAAAACCCUGUGCAUGCUGCUCAAAUAAGCAGGCUCCCGUGAUGCAUUCCCGUUAUUGGUAAGGUAGAGCAUAUCUAUGUGCUACAAUUUCUCCAUGUUUUUUAAUUUUUGCUUAUUCCUUGCAGAAUUGUUAAGUGUACGGCAACUGCUUAGCUUGCUUACUAUGUCCAUCUUCCGUUUCAUCCUCCCGACAAUAAUGAGGAGUAGAAGCUGGAAAUGCUUUGCUACUGGGAUUCCUUCUGAUGCUAUAGCGGAGCUUAAUAAGGUUACACAUCCAAAACUUCUCUUUUGAUAAUUUGUUGUUUGUAGUCUAUUAUUCUCCAAUACUGUUAUCUAGUACUACCUUCGUUCCAUAAUUCUUGUCAAAAUCUUACAUGUAUCUACACACUUUUUAGGAAUAGAUACAUCCAUUUUUGGGCAAAUUUGAGACAAGAAUUAUGGAACGGAGGGAGUAUUAAUCUUACUGAAACUAGACAUGUCUAGACUGUCUGGCAUAUUUGUUGUCUGAUUCUUUGGAUAAUGGAUACCAUGGAAUUGUUGUGUACUUGGCAUGUGGCAUUUUCAAUAUCUUCAGGUUGGUGUCCAACAUGACCAUGAUAGCCCGUUUUUCCUCUAUUCCUGAGCCGUAAGCUGGUCUUGUACUUCUAAAAUCACGCCCUGUUGUAGCGCUGUUGAGUUUGGUCUAUUCUUGUCCGCUGUGUGCCAUUUUCUUUUUCCAAGUUUUCCUGAAUUAGAAUUUACUAUCUGAAUCUGUUUCCUUUGGUUCUGAAUUAUAGUAUGCAUAAUUUCUUUACUCCUAUACGGAUGUCAAUUGGUGGCGGCGGUACGACCGCCUUUCACUGCACCACAUGUUAUAGGUUUCUGACUUGGCCUUGUGCAAUGUCCUCACAAAAAUGUUUGUAACAUGAUUAUUUUGUCAUUCGGUACUUAAAUGAAUGAUAAUUGCAGUAAUAGCUAAUAAGAAUCUUGAACUUUGUUAUUACAGGAAAUGGAAUCAAUAUUUGGUGAAUCUCCUUCACCCAGUCCUUUGGGUGGUUCAAGUCCUCCCCAGCAGCCAGCCCAGCCAACUUCUGAAGCCUGGGAGGUACAACCAGCGCUUACCCAUGUUGAUAGCAGUGGCCAGGCAAAGAUGGUUGAUGUCUCACCAAAACAAGACAGUGAGAGAGUCGCUAUAGCCAGCUGCAGGGUCUUGCUAGGACAAAAGGCGUUUAACUUGGUGGCAUCAAACCAGAUUGCCAAAGGCGACGUACUAACUGUUGCAAAGAUAGCUGCAAUAACUGGUGCGAAGCAAACUAGCAACCUCAUACCCCUGUGCCACAACAUCAAUCUCUCCCAUGUUCGUGUUGAUCUCACUCUCAAUGAAGAGGACUCUAGUGUCAUCAUAGAAGGGGAAGUGGCAACUAGCGGGAAAACAGGGGUUGAGAUGGAAGCAAUGACUGCCGUGGCCAUUGCCGGACUGACGGUUUAUGACAUGUGCAAAGCCGCUUCAAAGGACAUUUGUGUAACGGAUAUCUGCCUCCAGCACAAAUCUGGGGGAAAGAGUGGAAACUGGUCAAGGAGUUAGAGGCUUCAGUUAUUAUUCUUGGGAUAUAUGAAGUGAAAGUUUGAUAUGGCAUAGUGAAAUUUUACAAUUCUGACACCAGAAGGUUUUUAUUUUCUUUAUAUGCGUGCUUGCUAGAUAUUUGAACUCUGAGCCAGUAGCUAAAGUUAUUUUGAACUCUCUGCCUGUUGUAAAGGCAUUUCUCAAUGUUUUCAGAAUGACUAGUUAUAUUACACUAUGUUGGCAACUAAAGAUUCUCCUUCAGUACUGCUGCAUCUUAUGUAGACUGUUGUGCACAAGUCAACAUAAGAUGGAGUAGAUGUAAUAUGUUGAUAUUUUUGUGGCUGGAUUGGAAGAGUGCAUAAACAGACAGUCUAGUUGUACAAUGGAGAGACCUCUAAUGCUCACGAGAUCAAAAUACUCCAGAAUUGCACUUCAAACUUUAUCAUCUGGGUCCUUUAUCUGAUUAGAUUCUGACUUGUGUAAUCUGUAGUUGGUGUGGUGAUAUCAACAAUAUUGAUCUUACUGUGUAUGUGUUUAUUCAUGUGUUUUGAACAAUCUAUUCAUGUUUGAUUACAAGGUGGAACAAUGCAUCCUCGCAUAACCAUGGGGAUUAGAAGUGAACCAUAGAAUAGGAGUCAUUGGCUGCAUUUCGUCUUGUACCCAGAUUGACUUAGUAUGCGCAUAAAUACUUUAGGUGCCCGAUGAUACAGAAGAAGACACAUCAGUUUCAAUUAUCGUAAGCCAUUUAUUUAUAAAUUAUUGCAUCUUCAUUAAUAGUCAGUGUUAUAUAAUGUCAUUAUCUUUUGGCAGACAUCUUAAUUAUAUCUUGAUGGAGCAGGUAUAUGUUUGCCUUCAUUCUACUUUCUGAUGCUGAUGAAUGAAAACAUCCAAAUUCCUUGUCCUGGGUUCCUAUCGGCAUGGCAAAGUUAUUCGCAGGUAAUGACAAAAUCGUAACCCCAACAUUGCCCAACUGCUGUUGCUUGGUUCAUAACCAACUACAGAUACAAGUUUCUUUCUAUAUGUGCUAGUAUCAUCUUUUCUUUCUGUUAUCCUGAUGAUGUGGUUACUUUCUGAUGAUGCAGGGUAAACACACAUUCAUCUCUAUGUUCUGAAACAUGACAAUUUUUUACUUAAUUCAUCUCGAUGAUGCUGGAAGUGGGACAGUGACACGGAAAAGGAACAGCAAAAGUAUCGCACAUCCAAAUCAUUUUAGGUGGUGUUUGGUCCCCCAUUUAGUUAGUUUGUGCUGACAUAAUGCGUGUAACAUUUGUUCUGCAUGUUAUGGAGAAUAGGUCCGAAUGUCUUAGUGUGGAAACUGGAAUAGUUUAGGCUAUAGGCCAAACAUGCAGGAGGUGAGACAGUGACUGUAGAACACGACAAUGCAAAUACUCCACAAAAAUAAUCUUUUCGGUGCCUUCUUACUUCAUUGAUCAUGUUUGCUUUGGUUUAAGUUGCUUGCUGCUGAUAUGACCUAUACUUCAGUUCUCGCACAGGCACCACAAAACAGCAGUAAUUUUCAGGAGACACGGUCCUUGACAUGACAUUAUCACAUUACUGAUGAUCCCUGCAAAUCUGAAGUAGUUGGGAUUCUUCUAUGUCCAUGUGGUUUUUAAUUCAGACAAAUGAACACCUGUACUGAAUAUUCGAACAUAUGCGAAGCCACAAUUUAAUACUCUGAGCUGACAUAUUGGCAUGCAGGUUUUUGCAGUGCUUUGCUGUAAUCUGGACACAUCCAUCGGCAACCUGAAACCGACGGAUGCACAAUUGUCUGGCAUUCUAGUUUGUUCUUGCCUUCCCUAAAAAAAAGGUUAGUUCUUGCCUUUGAAUACUGAUUGGCUAUUGAAAUGUAUUUAUUCUCUCUGAUGAUGGCAUCUGAAGAAGUCAAUUUGUGCAAGGCCCAGUCCCAACCACUCAGAAUUAGUUGUCCCGGUCAGUUGAAAGGGGAGAAUAUGCAGCUACCCCUAUGUUACAGCAAAUGCAGAUUUGGGUCAAUGAUCCCCGGUGUCUCUAUCCCCAACAGAUCUUGCAGAUUGCUGUUUGACCGACAUUUGAUUAGGAAACUGUAAGUACAUUUUGCUCUCUUAUAUCUAUAUGUAUUGCCUUACGGUAAACAUGUAUGGGCCACAUGUACUGAAUUCUUCUUAAGCAUCCCCUGUGCUGUUUGUUGGAUAAACCUUGAUUAGUAUCCCCCCAAGCCCCAAACAAUGACCUCUGAAAUCGAGCAAAGAUCACACGUGGUUGUCUGGAGAGAUCCAAGCAGGCAAAGUUUUUUUUUUCUGGUUUAUGUUACUAGUAUCCCCCCAAGCCAACAACCUAACACUGGCAUCUCUGUCAUUUCUCUUAAUUGAUACCCUGGUUCCUUCAGCCUGAAUCUUCUUUGAUGCGUUUUCCUGUAUAAAAAUAUUGUCCUCCAAGAAACUGGCUUAAUAUGAUCUUUUUGAAACAAAGGUUGCAGUAGUGGUGUGAAAAGAAGCUGCCACGUGAAACAGGAUAUGAUAAUAAACUCUGAACAUUUGGUCAGAAUUUUCGACUAGAAGGGUUGGUCCUUUUGGAUUAGCCGAACCAACGAAUGCAUUUCCGUGUUCGUGGCAGGACGAGAAACGUGAGGAUUUGAAAGACGAAACUGGGUAGUACUACAAAUUACCGGCUGUGAGCGCAUAAAAAGAUGCUUCAGUUCUCGAUAACAAGAUCCGUACCUUUUGAGAUUGGCCUGUGAUAUGCUUAUAUGACAGUCGUCUUGUGUUGGCCAUUGCUAACAAAAUCCGUACCCUUGACAUUAGCCUGGGAUGUACUUAUGGCAGUUUUGUUGCUGUGGUGGCAUACCUAACCAGCCUUCUUAUCCGAUGCGUUGGCCUGCAAAUCCGGCCGGACCUGAGUGGAUCCGGGCCGCGUGUGACGGAUCAAAGCGGUCUACGGUUGAUGCCACUUUGUUCGUCUCUCCACGAACGGAAAGCUUGAAACUACUGCAGAGUCCACCUUAGGCCCUCGAUCCUCUCUGACGUUAAUAAACCUAACAUCUCGAGAAAUACAAGCAACGAAAGCAUUAGCGUAACUCGACCCACCGGACAGAAAGAAAAAGGCAACGAAACAGGCAGGGAUAAGAUAACAUUAUCCCUUUCUCCUAUUCUUUAACGAUACGAUCUCUCUCAAAACAAGCACGCAGUAUAGAAUAAUGUUUCAACGAGGCGAAAUGGAAUGAAACCUGGCCUCCCCAUCCCUAAAGUCGCGUCGACGCUUUACAAUCAUAAUAUCAUCGGCUCUCGAUCGGUUGCCGUUAUCCGGACAUUUCCUGCCGAUCCGGCAACUUUGAACCGUUCCACCAGCGGUACAUUCCCGAAAGAGAAACCCGGCCGUGCCGACUCGCGCGGGGGAAGAGACCGACGUCGACACGGACGUGCGCGCGCGCUCUCUGCUCACGCCGCGGCCGGCGCGACACGCGUCUGGGCCGUCGCCGUCGCGAUCCCCACCGCCCGGCCCGGCAGCAGCCUGCCUCCCGCUUUGACUUGCCUGUGUUUCUGUGUGCCCGUAAACUAUCAUCAGUCAUUCAAGACCUACUAUGUACGGGCUAGAGGAUCCAGGAUUUAGCUAGACUAGAGUCGUACAGUGUAAAUUGGUUGGGAACUGACUGGCGGUGAAAGGAUUGAUUCAUCAACGGAAUAUAUAUGCGUUGCUUAAGAUGCAAGAUUAUAUACACUGACACGCGCAGAGGCACCUUUCUAUCGAAGAAUAAUCACGUACUACUAAAUCAUGCUAGGGGGUGUGUCUAAAUUUCACGGGCCGAGUGAUCGCAUCGGCGGCCAUGCAAUGAUUACGGUUAACAAAGCAUUGUCCACUGUUGCAGAGGCACACAUCGUGCACAUGAGCGUGAAAGGAGCCUGUAUUUUGUCAUCGACUGAUCGAUCUCGUCAUACUAAAAAAAAGAACACCAAGGCCGUCUGGCCAUGCCAGCAUGGGAGGGGGCAAAGCUAGCUAAGCUAGCUCUGGAUAUUAGCUAGGGAGGGGAUCAAACGUCCCAGUUAAUCAAUCAUGUCUUGUAGCGUCUACAAAAAGAAAAAGAAACCAUGUCGUGUAUAGUUGGAUUCCACUUGGCACGUAUAGUACAAAUAGCGCCCUAUACGUACUCUCGAUCAUGGUCACAAAGUUCUUUCUGCAGGCUGCAGUAGAUGCCAUACGCAUGGUUCCAAGUCGCCCUUCCCAUUACUAGAUAGAUUCGGCUCUAACUUUCUACAUAUCUUCUGUGGUAAUAUCCGGCCUUUUCUACGUUUCCGCAAAGUGUUUGUUAGGCGAAACGCAGCUGAUGUCGAGUUAAAUCUGUCUCUCCUUGAAAUUUCUGAUAGCAACAGGGCGCAAUUGCUUGUAGCUCCUAGCUCAAUUAAUCAGGCCAGCAUCAUAUCAGUGACUUUGUAAAAUCAAUACAGGGUAACCAUAGAUUGACGUGCGAUUAGAUGCGGCAGAUCGACCCCCCUGCCAAGAAUAUGUUCUGUGUGUACCUGAGUCUAACCCAGCACCAUAAUUACACAUCACUAUGCAUGAAUCAUUGCCGAAUCUACAUUAUUUUGUUUUUCAAAAAACCCGGAGGAAAUAAUUAAUCUGGAUAACCUACACUUGAUUUCUUCAGUCGCUAUAUGUGUACCCCGUACAAAUAAUACAUUCCCAGCAUACCUGUCGUCUGUCGACCAGUUCUGCAGUGGGCGGGCACCCACACGGAAUAAUGUACAGUAUACAUCCCUGCUCGCUCAUACAACAUUAACACAUAUAUGUUCCGUUUUAAGCCCCACAGCCUCAAGUGGAUCCUCUGCGCAUGCACUGGCACCCAGCCGCAGAGAUCGAUCGGCCGGCGACAGGUCUUUGAGAAAUGGACGAUAUGAAUAUAAUUGAUCACCUCUCGUUGGAUCCAUGUAGAUCCGUCGUGAUCGCCUACUAUUCGGUUUAUCAUCUUGUGACCAAUGUGCUGUCUCUGAGCUAAUGGUUCAUAUAUCAUGUGCGAUCGAUUUGGCCCUUGCCCUCUUGGGGAGAUCAGGUUGGACUGCAUCUUUCUUUGGGCGUGUGUGUGUGUUGGUAGGCCACCAUGAUCAUCAAUUGUACUCAUCGAUCAUAGGAUGAUCAUGUCAUUAUUAGCAUCGAGAUAAUAAAUUCACAUGCCGUUUUGCAGUACUCGAACGGGAUGCUAGCUUGGGUAUGUUGCUCUGUGGAGGUGCAGAAAGAAUUUUAUUUAAUUUGGUCGCUCUCCUUGGUGUUGCUGGCUUGAUUUAUUGAAGUACUUAGGGUGGGCACGUCAUUUUCUUUGGGAGUCGAUCAUCAAGUAGUAGUACUCAAAGCGCUCAAAAUAACAUUCACUUGGGUCACUUAUCUGGUUCAAGUGACGUACUUAAUGGUAUAAAUCAUGCUUAAUUUGCGGCCAAAUCCUGGCCACUUGCGUCGUGCAACUCUCGCAAAGCACACGCAAAAUGCGGACCUGGCUAACUAAGUCCACGUAACCCGAAUCCAGCUAGCAAAGCAUGAAUGUUUUUUUUCCAGUUAAUUAAGUACCCAUAGGUACGGUUUGAAAGCAGAGUGAUAAUUUUGAAUGUGCCGCUGGAGUUCAGGAGAUCGAGUAGGAGACAUCUAAUAGAUUUUGGAACACCUUGAUCUGGUUUAUUAUGUCGGUUUUCUUUUUUCUAAUUCUCAGAUGCUUUGAAUAUUUAAAUCUCCGUUGGGCAUCUGAAAUUGUACUCUGAAGGUGUGCAGCUUCAGUUCAGUUUUAAGUUUGUAGGUUAUUAUACUCCAUAUGGAUUGGUUUAAAGGUGAUGAUAACUGUCUGUUGAUCCAAAGACUUAACUAGAUCGAAAUGUGAUUGAAAGUUUGAAACUAGAGAAAAUUUCAAACAACCGGGGAAGAAAUAACACUGUGUUUAAUUUGGUCAGCUCAACCACGCCCGAUAUAUGUAGAACCAUCUCCGUUGAGUUCCUUCACCCACCACGUCUCUUUCUACUAAAAGGAUCCCUCCUCUGGCGUCAAGACUAGAAAUUCUAGUAUUUAAGGCGGCAUCACCUCCAUCUCGCUUUAUAUUUUCUCUCAGCAACUCCCCUUGGAUCUGUUUCCAAUUGACUCCAAUAUCAGUUCCAAAAGGUAAUUUAAUUGCCUUAUUAUCACAUUUCCUAUCUCUCUCUCUUUCCAUCUUCCCUCGGUGCUCUGUCUAAUGGAUUCUAGCUUCGUGCAUGCCUUCCUUGUACUUCUCUUUCAUGAUUGUUAUUCAAGCUUAUCUGAUUUGUUUCUCGCUAAUAGAUCAAGUGUGUUACGCAUACUGGCGUUGCUGAUUAAUUUGUUUCCAUGCCUAAAUCCCCAAUAUUGAUCUCUAUGUACUACCAAUGUUCGUUUCAGGGGAAUUCAUAAGGAGUUGAUUUGCAGAACCAAUCCAUAUGGAGCACGAGGAGCAGCAGGCCAUGGACCUCCCGCCGGGCUUCCGCUUCCACCCGACGGACGAGGAGCUCAUCACGCACUACCUGGCCAAGAAGGUCGCCGACGCCCGCUUCACGGCGUUCGCCGUCUCCGAGGCCGACCUCAACAAGUGCGAGCCAUGGGACCUGCCAUGUAAGCUAGCACCUGUAUCGAUCUCCUUUUAGCUUCUGCACAUGCACGCACAAACCAUAACUAUAUGUAUGAGCUGAAGAAGGUUCGUGUGCCAUGCAUAUAUAUGCAGCGCUGGCUAGGAUGGGGGAGAAGGAAUGGUACUUCUUCUGCCUCAAGGACCGCAAGUACCCGACGGGCCUGAGGACGAACCGGGCGACGGAGUCCGGGUACUGGAAGGCCACGGGCAAGGACAAGGACAUCUUCAGGGGCAAGGGAACCCUCGUCGGCAUGAAGAAGACGCUCGUCUUCUACACGGGGCGUGCGCCCAAGGGCGAGAAGUCCGGCUGGGUCAUGCACGAGUACCGCCUCCACGGCAAGUCCACCGCAUCGUCCAAGGUAAAGAUCGCAUCAUAAUACAUAUGGAUGUCUAGUUUCCUGAUCCUUACUUACUUUCGUGCAUGAUUCAUCGGUAUUAACCGCCUUAAUUAUGCCUACGUUUUCUUUGUAGAACGAGUGGGUGUUGUGCAGGGUGUUCAAGAAGAGCCUGGUGGGCGUAGUAGCGUCGUCGGCGUCGGCGUCGGCGGCAGUGAAGAAAGGCGCCAUGGGGAUGGAAGACACGAUAGGGACGUCCUCCAUGGCCGCCGUCGGUACUACACAGCUCCCUCCGCUCUUGGACAUGUCCGGCUCCGGCUUCGUCGACCCGGCCGCUGCACACGUGACCUGCUUCUCCAACAACGCGCUGGAGGCGGCGGGCGGCCACGGCCACGGCCACGGCCACUUCUUCAACAGCGCAACAGCCGACGAUCACCAUCACGGCGGCCUAGGCGCCGCGUCCUCCUCUUCCACGCCGUUCUUGGCGAACUACGCGCAGUACGGGCUGGUGCAGCUCCUCGAGAGCAGCAGCGGGUACCGCGGCCUCGACAUGGCAGCGCCGUGCAAGCAGCAGCAGCAGCCGGCCGCUGCCGCGUGCAAGGAGAUGCUGAUGAGCGCGUCGCAGGACACCGGGCUCACCUCCGACGUGCACCCCGAGAUCUCUUCUUCCUCCGGCGGCGCCCAAAAGUUCGACCAUGAGCCCGCGCUCUGGGGCUACUAGUUAAUUAAGGGAAUAUUGAUUGAUUGAAUUAUAUCGUUAGUGCAUUUGCCGGUGCCUUAUUACUUACUGUAAAUAAACCCUGCGAGAUAUAUGAUGGAGAGGCAUAUGCAUGCACCGGAUCGGAGCUAUGAAUGAUAUAGCUUCACUGUCUGUACAUAUAGUUUGUAGAUUCCUUCGUGUGGUGAUUUGGGAGUGUAAUUAGCAUUAUUGUAUUGAUCCAUCCAUAUAGUCCAUCAUCAUUUUACCAGGUUAAUCCAAUUCCAUCUUGGCGAGAUCAGGUUCCUUGAAUUAAGCGGUACUCCUAGCUAAUUAAGUUCUUUAUAGCAAGUCCUAUCGUUAGCAAAGUCAGUUAGACUUAAUUGGUUCUCUGUAAGUAGCUUUGUUUGCCACAAUAGUGUUUGCGAUGAUCUCAUCCCUUGAACCUAACAGUUUGACUCGGUGUGACAGCGGGGGCUAGUUCUAGUAGCUAAUCUAGCAAUUAGGCCUUAAUGAUUCGGUGGUGCUGGAGCUAUGCAGCAUUACUAUCUUGCUGCCUUUGGCCCAUGACUAGCAUAUCUCAACCAUCACACGCAAAUCUAAUCCCAAUUAGUGUACGUCCUUGAGGCGAUCACAUUCAACAUCAACGUACGUCGCCACCCUUCGUACAGUGCGCAUGACAUGAUGGGUGGGAGGGGAGCUGCUGAGGUUGGCAAGCCACAAGAGAACACACCUCACUUGUGUCACAUAUUUGGUUCCCCAUGCCCUUGUCUCAAUGCCCUUGUGGAGCCCCCGAAUGAUAUGAUCAGGUCCUUGGCAUCUGACGGGGUAUAGCCUUCGUUGGUUUUCAAUCAAAAUCCUUGUGGAUCCGGCUCAUGAGAAUUAUAUUACAGGAAGCAGCGGGGGGGGGGGGGGGCGCGGUUAGGUCAGCUAACUAGUAAUCAGGGGUUCCCUGACAUAGCAAAUUGAGCUAGCAAAUGGGGCAACGACGAGUGUGCAGUUUCUAGAUCCUAUUGUGCCGUCUGGGUAGGGCACCUCUCCCAUAAAUUUAUGAUAUCUCCUCUCUGUCUAGAGUGUCUCGUAUCUCUGGACAUCAUCUCCAUCUGGAAUUAUACUCCCCUCCUGUCUGAUUAAAUAUUUCGGAAGGGGUACAAGUGUCGAUUUGACGGGGCUUCGUACUUUCCUAGUGUGUUAUCCGCAGCCUACUCCUAACUCUGCAGAUAUUAAGUUUGCUUGCAUCCGCUUUUUUCUUUCCUGCUACUCCGUAGUUCAAUUAUUCUAGAAAAAAAAUCAUUCUAGGCCGGAAAUGGGAUGCUUUUAGUCCACAAAUUUAGAAAAUGCACACUUUGAUCCGUAAAAUCAUUCAGCUCGACUAUUUUGGUCCAAAAUCACACAAGACAGACAAGAGCUGCUGUGGUGGCAUGUUGACGUGGCGUUUUUGGAUGGCAACAUGUAGAAGGGAGUCUUGUUGGGUUCUAUUUUUUCUUUACAGAUUUUUGCACUACCCGAAUGAUCCAAGCGGUGUGAGGGCAUGCCACUAAAACGUGUUGGAGUCGUCAGUUGGACACUGUAAGAAGGAGUACAUGCCGGCAAAGUGCCAGAGGCCGUUGAACACUGAUAUGCAUCCUAUGUGUGGCAAGUCCUACCGAGAGGUACAUGCUCCACGUCGGAUGCAUCAUCAGGAGGCAAAGCAGCCACCAUUGGCGGGUCGUCCUAGGGAGUUCAAGAAAUUGCCAAAAGUCCUCUCAUGCUUCUUGGCGGUCAAAAACCGCCACAUUAACAUGAUGGCAGACCUCGUCCACAUUAGGGGAUUCUGAACCAAAUUGUUCUUUUAAAUGAACUUAUGGACUAAGAGUGUGUUCGGCAACGGCCUGGCGUCCCGAAAAUCCUCAGAUCCUGCUUCCUGUUCCCACUUCUGCUUCCGAUCUGGAGCACAAAAUGUUCGGCACAACUCAUUCCUUUGUACCGGGCUGGAAGCCCAUUAACGGCCAGCCACCGCCAAGCCCUCUUCAUCCCGUUUGCUGGAAUUAGCAGCAGAGCAUCACAGGCCAGCCAGGAGAGAAAAUCGAGUCCUGGAGCAUCGAUGAGGAGGCCGGGUCGAGGCAGCUCGCGACGAGCGGACGAGAGUAGGCCACCGGAGAACUUAGGAGGAGGAGGAGGAGGAGGCCGCGAGCAGCCGGCUCAUGCUUCGAUAUGGAUGCGGCGGCGGAGGUGGCCGGACAGGGUGGAGGCAGGGGGUGGAUGUGGCCGGGUCAACGCAGCUUGCGGCGGAGCGGACGAGGUCGUGGUCAGGGAGGGGCGUGCCAGGGGAGGAGGAGGAGGUCGCCGCCGGACCGCCAGCUCGCGAUGAAGUCGAGGUGGCCUCGUCGGUGUGUGGGUCGGUCGUCCCGGAUGCUGCUUCAGUGCGAAGGAGAACGGGGAGGAGGAGGAGAAGGGGAGGCGUUGGGGUGGCUACCAGAUGCGGGGACAGACGCGAGGAAGGCCCAUCCGGCGGCGGCUAGGGCUCCCGCAUCGGGACUAGGUGAGCUUUUGUUUUGGCACUGGGCGAGUUGGGGGUUGGGAAGGAGAAGGGUAUCGGGAAAGAGACGAUGGGGAGAGAAAUAGAUGCGCGUCAAACCGGUUUUCAUUUGGCGGUGGCACAUCUUCCGUAAUUUCGGUCUGCUCCGUGUUUUUUAGUUCUGGGAAUCUCCAAAAGAUGUGCUCCGUGUUUUGUGAAAGGAAUUGGGCUAGCUUCUUCGAUCUAGCUUCUUGGAGUUUUUGUGUUCGGUGCUGCUCCGAGUUGAAUUUACAAGAAGCCAGAAGUUGGAGGGUUACCGAACAUGCCCUUAAAGAUUUGUAUUCCGUGAGUUCAUGGAUUGCCCUCUUUUUUGUUUUCCAGACAAGUAAGGCAAGCAUGUUAGAAUGAGGACCAGAUGUUAAAUCUAGUUGAAACUCGAAUUUUGGUGUUUAAAUUUGAUCCGGUCUAUCACAAAUAUUUAAGAAAUAGUUCAACAUAUCUAAAAUCACUAUUUCGUGAGGUACCGUGUGGUGCGGUCGAUACUAAAUGCGUCCACACGGCCCUACCACCCUUCUCUCUUUCUUCCAUUCUCUCACUUCCUUAUAUCGUCCUCUCUCCCUCUCCCGCUCUAAACGCUGCCGCUGCUUGCCCUCGAGGGUUUUUCUAUCACCACAUGACGUCAGGCAUGCGUUGCUGCCGCCAGGAGAGCCUCUACCGCAGGAAGGCGUCACAAAUCUCAGCAUGGGUCUCAUCAUUGUUCCACAAACUUUUGAAAUUGUAUGAAUUUUGAAAACCGAAAAAUCAGAAACCAAAAGUUGAAAAGGUAAAUAGUUGAGGACCAAAACUCACGAAAAUCAAAAGUUGAGAAGAGUGAAAGUGGAGAGGACGGGAAAAAUAGAGAAAAAAGCAAAAACUAAUUAGAAAAAUCUAACAUCCCUGCGCAACAACUGCAACAACUGCACAUGGUGAAUCGUCGUUUUACCGUGCCCUUGUCAAGUUCUGAUAAAAGUCUGACACGUCUUCCAGUCUUUUCACCGUCCUGCCCCCGUGUGUCGCCCUGGGAAAAAUUUACAGCCCUGCUCUGCUCGUCAAGUUUGCCAUGCCUUUCACCGUCCUGCCCCUUCCGUCCGUCCGUCCGUGUGUCUCCGUGCUUUCGGAAGUCGUGAUGUGUGCACAACAGAACGGAAAAGGACAAUUCCGUCUCUUCCUCUCCACCGCAGAGACGAGAGGGAGACCACUUCUGAAAACGGAAAGCCGUGGACGCGGGGUUUCUCUAUCCGUCCCUAUCUCUUGCUAGCAGCGUGAUAGCCUGUCAUCGACCCUUCACUAAUUAAUCACGACCGCUAGCUAGUCUCGUUGAGAAAUUAAUUACGUUGUGAGGUCAGGUCUCACCCGCUACACAAAUGCUCUUGAUCUGUUCCAUCUAGUCUAGAGAAUAAUGCUUUCGAUAAGUUUUAAUUGCGAUGUUUAGUUGUCGCGUGAUUUGAUUUGGCGAACUCAACGGUCAAUUAAGUUCCUUUCGGGAUCCUUUAAAAAAAAAAAGUUCCUUUCGGGGAGGAAGGAAAAAAAAAGAACCUAGAUCAUGCUAUGGAACCCCACACGCACCAAAAUUAUAAUUAAUUAAAGAGAGCAAAUCCAUGCAAAAGAAUUGAACAAGGAAACAGACCCCAAGUGGGCAUUAGAUUCCAACCCUGAUGUGUCAUGGGAACUGUCACCACGGGAAAUUAUUCCCAUGUCCUCUCUCUCAGCGUUUUGUAACCUUCUUUCCGGUUUGCUGUGCAGGACGUGUCAUGGCUCAUGGGAACUUCGUCCCGUACGUUAAAUAGCCGUGCACACAAGCAACGUGACUUUAGUUACUAGCCGGCCGACGGCCGUAGUUACUCGGCCUCCAUCUGGGUUUGCUGUGCAGGACGUCGGCACUUUGGCUUGUACCGACGCGAUUGAUCGAUCUGACAUGCAUGCGUCCAGUGAAUCAAUCGAGCGUCAAGAGAUGCGUGUCGACGUUGACGGGAUCGAAACGUGUAUAAAUUUCUCCGUCGAUUGGAUGCAUAUAUAUUGUUGCCUCGGAUCAGAAAAUUCAGUAUAACUCGAGGGCGUUUAUGCCAAGACAUUUCUGCAUGCUGAACUCCGAUUAUGCACUGGAUUUGUAGUACUAACAAGGAUAUACGGCAAUAACAACGUCCCUCUCAGUGAUUGAAAGGCCCAAAGGCAAUUUAACUAGUACGCACUUCACAACACAUUUUGGCCUCAAGGAACGAAAGGCCCACUACUACCUGGGAACUAAAAGCCUAAUGCGGCCCAAAAUUACAGAAAUGGCGAUUACAAAAGGGAAUCCGGAUUAAGUUCGGGGUAUUGAACCCGACGUGAAUCGAACACGCAACCUUCUGAUCUGGAGUCAGACGCGCUACCAUUGCGCCACGGAUCCGGUGAUAUUGUUGGAACAUAUAAAACGUAUUUUACAAAACUGAACUGAGGAGAUUCCAAACCUUUCUAACUGCUUGUGCGUACACGAUAGAAUUUUUUUGACGGGAUAAAUCUUGUAGUUGUAUCAAGAAUACAAUUGUAUUUUAGAUCAUAAAUUCUAAAAUAUAAUGCAUAAGUUUUUUUUAUGCUCAAUUUUUCUAAACUUUGACCAACUUUACAACAACAUUUACGGUGCGAAAUGAAUAUCUUUAGAUCCAUUGUGAAAUAUAUUUACAUGGUAUCUUGGUAUGUUGAUGCAUUUUGCUAUAAUUUUUUUAAUCAAAGUUCAUGGCUAACGAAAGUUAUACCCGGUACAUUUUGCAGCCAAGGGAGUACUAAAUUAAAAGAAGUGUUCUAAAUAUGUUAUCCUGAUCAAUGCAAAGCCAAUAUAUAGACUCCUAAAACUGAAGCAUAAUUUCAAACAACUGCGGUGUACAUAGUUGCAUGGACAAUCCACAUGAGCCCGCCCAGCGCUUUUGCUUUUCUUACUUUCUGAGGCUGAUUGACAACUGGACUAAAAUAGAAAGAGACGAAACCAGGCGCACACCCACUUCCACACAUCCCUUUGAUCCUUUUUCUACUACAGUACGUUCUGUUCUAACCUUGUACCCACACAUGGCCACAGGCAAACUCUGACCGCUGCAUGAACUCUGUGAAUCAGGGGCCGUCCGUAUGCAGCUGGACCACAAGUCCAGAACCACGACUUGCCGCUCGAUCCGACCCCGAAGCAUCCUAUGCAGCUGCCGGAAUCACCCCACCAGGGCGCCACCGCAGACCAAUAGCGGCGGUGAGGAGCCGAGGAGGCCUGGUUGGCCAUUAACUUGGUGUGGCCGAAAUAGCCGGUCCUUCCUCCCGCGAGCCUCGCAGUAACCACCGAUCACGUGGUGCUGUCUUUCCGAUCGGUCCACCCGAUCCCGUCCCGUCCCGUCUGAUUCAUUCUUUCGGAGACGGGAUCGAGAUCGACCGUCGACUGGUUGGCGUGGUCUCCUUUUUUUAAUUCCGUGCACGUACGCAACGGGUACGUGUCCAGCGCGCGGUAGCUAGCCGGGGUACACGUUUUACGUACGCCUACUGUAGCCCCAUUCACCGAUCUGAAGAGUCCGGACGCACGGCCUGGCGUGGCCGAGUUCGUACCACUGCAGUUCCGGCGUGCAGUACCGGAGAGAGCGAAAAGAAACAAAAUAUGGAUUUGACUGAAGGUACUGAUGCCGUACGUGGUCUCUAAACGGGAUCCAAGAAAGUUGCAUUCGUUUCAUCCCUCCAUUUCUCUCUAAGUAUAACCUUCCUACGAGACACGAAUGUACAGUACAAUGGAUUGGAAUUUAUACUACUCCCUCCGAUACUAAAUUAUUGUCUCAAAUUUAUCCAAAUAUGAAUAUAUUUAUUCUUAAGAAACGUUUAUAUACAUGUAAUUUAGAAUCAGACUAUUCAUCAUCUAACUUUCUUUGCACCGUUAUCAGCGUAUUGCUUAGCUGCACCUACGUGAUCUGCAAACACGUAUGGCGAUAACUGAUCCCGUACGCCUACAAAGAAACAUCAGAAUACAGCAGUACGGUAAUACAGUACCCUGCCAUAAAGCUGGAAGACCAGACCUGUCGCUGGCUACCAUAUUGGCCAAAGCAUCUCUAGGCACUACGUACUCGUACGUACGUACAGUAGUAGUAGACCAGUAGCCCAGUUGGUACGCCGUCGUCGUACUCAACUGACGGAUCCAUUGGAGGUUGGAACCAGUACGGUGGCCGGUACGACUACUUUUAAUUCCUCUGAUCCGCGAAAAACAAACAAAAAGUAGGCAGGCAGGUAAUAUUACUGCUCUGCCUCAAGGUAAUCACGCAUGCGACACCGUAACUUGCAUUUGGCGGACGUUAGUACACACUAGUGAACGUAAAUACCACCGGUAAUUACUCUUUUCCUUUCUUUUUCCUGAAAAUUAAUUGUAUAUCAUGCAACCUUAAUUGCAGUCGCACUGUCGCAGUGCGAUCGACCUACUAUACCAUGGCAGUACUGUAUGGGACGAAUUUGUUUCUGUAUAAAAUAUCGGAAAUAAAGUUAAGAUGGACGCUCACUCAAGUCCUGUGAAAUUGCGAAAACCUUUGCCAAGGCUUACGGCCACUGUAGAUUUCUUGUAUCAGCAUUAGUACCAUGAUACAGACUCGAGUAACUACUAAAACAACCAUUUAAAAGGGGCAUAAAUGUGAUGUCGGCCUUGUGAUCACCUCUUAUCUAGGUGCUUACAUAUUUCACGUCUGUUCCGUAGAUGCAUGACAUAUGUUCUGAAGAUGCACGACCUCUGUUCUGAAAGCUUAGAUAUCUCGCCUGCGCCUACCUUCAAAAAAUAUGCUAGCGCAAUAGUUGCACUUUACAACAGGCUAAGUGUUGAAGUAAAUUGUUUACCCUCUUUUUAUCAGUUCGGACUUUUGGUUCAGAUGGCUAGCACAUGCAAUUCAAUAUGGUAUAAGAGCGGAGGUUUUUGGUUCAGAUGGCUAGCACAUGCAAUUCAAUACUAAGAAAGUACAUGUUAUUUUUUUCUGCUAUUAUUUGAUUAUUUGUUAUCUUAUAUGACAUAAUUCAUAUUCAUUCUCAUUUCAAUGUGCUAGAUCAACAAGUCAAAAAAACGAAUAAGUGAUGUGAUUCGAAGGCGACGACUGCUGCCACCAAUUGAGGGCCUGUUUGGUUGGUGCCCUAACCAACCUGCCUAAGAAAAAGUAACGCUUGGAGGUAGCCUGAGAUUUUAAUACACUUGGCUGGCCAGGCAAGUGUAGGGAUUUGUUGUUUGGUUGGAAGCAUGUGUUCUACAAAAGCCUGAGGCUUAAAAAACAUGUUUUCUUGCUCUAUGUGUUAGCCAGAGUCAGGCCUCCUCUUUCCCAGGCCUGAGCGUGGGAGGAAACAAUGCCUGUGUCAUGGAGCUUCUUAGGACUUUAACCAAACAGGUAACAUGGCAGCUCUCAGCCACAGCUUCCGGCCAGGCAUAUGUUCUCAGGCCUUCAUCCAAACAGCCCCCGAGUCUUUUAUAGGAGUAAAGAUGUACAUUGAGGCAUCAAAUUUAAGAGAGUAGCCAGUAGCAAGACAAAAGCAACCUCCACCGAUGAAGGUGAAUAAUUUCUCGUUUAACCUUUGUGUAUGCUAUAAUGACAACAACCGCUCAAUUCAAGAAAAACUUAGUCAAAUUAACAUAUUUAAGAACAUUAGUGCUUCGUUGAUUCAAAGGAAUUUCAAAUUUUUUUUGGAAGAUUUGAGAUUUGUAAAAAUAUAUCUAAUUUAUAAUACAAAUUUUUGACUUUAAAAAAGGUUCCUGAAUUUGAAUUUGAAUUUAGUUAUGGUAACAUAAAAAGGUAAUUAUAAAUUUAAUUCCAAUUUUCUUACCCCUUAAUUUCAACUCAAAUGAAUAAUUGAAUAUACUCUACAUUUUGCUGCACAGAUUUGAAUUGCUUGUGACGCUCUUUGGAUUAAUUGGACAAAAGAUCGUGAGUGCGUUUUAUUUUAUCAUAGUGAUGAUAAACAAUUUUCUAUCUUGCAUUUAGUAUACGCUCCAGUGAAUGAUUGUAAAACCCUAGCACAUCUUGGUUGCCCGUUUGAAGCAAACCAAAUGCUCCACACUCUGUAUAGCUGACCUGAGAGCAGAAAAUUGAAUGCUGAGUACAAUAUGAGAUCAUUUUCUUGGAAAAGUGGACAAAUGAAAAGGAGAAGAUCAGAGAAAGGAGAGUGGUACACACUUUAAAUACUUGCCUGCUCGGCCCAGGGUGCUGCUGCCAAAAGCCAGGGAAACCCAUGUAGCCGGAAAAUAUACAGAAAUAUAUCCAAAUAAAGGUUUAUGAGGACCACGUUUUUGCACAAUAAUAAAGCGAACGCAGGCGCAUUUAAGUGGUGCGCCCUUGCAUGUUCCUCGACGUAUGGGUCCAUGUACACUAUUACACACACUCAUGCAUGAAAGCAUGAGAUCGCAAGUUCGCAACAAUCCGAAGUUUUCAUUUCUCACAAACACAUUCAGAAUUUUUCAUGUAUUUUCAAAGGAACUUCCCUCUCUGCAUUGCAAAUCCGCGGAGAGCUAUAAAUACGAGAUUCCUCUCGUGAUAUCGAUCCGCUUGCUGGUCCAUCCAACAUGAACAUUGACCAUGUCAGACUGUCAGUACGUACAUCCCCCCCAGUUGAAUUAACUUGCACUUCACUUUGUACUGUCGGUUUACUGUUCGGUCUCUGGCUAAAACCCCUCCCACGUUUUCGCGGUCCAUCAGUGAAAAACCUCCGGGUGUUGAUCUCCCCGCAAAGAAGAAGAAAAAUGGAGCGUACAUACAAUUAAAGCGUACCCAAACAAUCACUAGAUGACACAGGACGAUAGGCUGUAUCCCAGGCCCAUUCGAGGCAAAUAUUCGUAUGCUUUUUAGUGGCAAAUAAUUCUGGCUUAAUCGUCAUCUUUCAUUAAUACCGUGCACAUCUCUCGUCACACACAUUGCUUUCAGUUCCUAGGACGGAGCAAUUCCGGAACCUGGCUUCGCAAAUCCGUGAACAUAUAUCCGAGAAGACGUCGCCUUCUGAUGAUCUGGUGGCAUGGCCACAUCAGGAUUUCCGGAAUGGUACGAGGGCAGUGGAUCACGCCAUGGACGCAUCGGGCUCUCCUUUCCGUUACAGGCUAGACACCGGGUUAGCGCAUGCGUACGUACGUACUAAUGGCGGCGAUCUACUUCAGUAGGCAAUUCAAGUUUAUUUUGCCUUGCUGCAAAGCGCUAAUUAAACACCGGCUGGAACAACGCAGUGAAAUUCUCUUCUGCAGUCUUUAGCGUUUUGACUACAGAACCAAGUUUUCGUUGAUACUCGUUGAUCGGACAAGUCGUCGGUCUAAGAUAUGUUUGUCAGUACGUUCGAUCUCCUUGUCUGCUUGAUAACAGAAAUGGUUAUGUGGUCACCGAAGCAAAGUGAUUGUAGCACAUCCGAAGAAAAGGGCAAGAGGUGUUCCUGGAAGCAAAAUUGGAUCUGUGCCGUGAUGUGAAAUUUGAGUGAACGCGAGCGGAUAACGUAGAGAGAGACAGAGAGUCUGCUGAUGCUGGUAAGUGCGCUAAUUGCAUCGAUCUGGCAGUUAUUUCGCUCUUGGACGAAACAUCGGUCGGACACAAAAUUUUGACUUUUAGCCGCUACCAUGGUCCUCUCGGGUCGUACCGGGUACAGAACCCAGAAUGCUGGAUUGCUGGAUAGUAACAAGCACAAACAACGGUAUCUGACUCUCUGUGUUUACAGGCUUGGGAAAAAAAAAGCGAGAUCAAACGUGGUUAGUUCUUUGAUAAGACGCACAUGCACUUGUGCUGUGUGGACGCCGAAUGAUUCCAUCCCUGCUUGCAGCUGCGCAUGCACCGUACGUGGUCCUGUGGCGAUUGGCCAUUGGAACAACGGAAUAAAUAGCAAAAGCCAUUCUGCGUGUCGCCGAGCCCAGGCCGGCCUUGCAAUUGCAGGGUGGCAGGAUUUUACAGAGUGUUCCGCUAGCCCCCCCUAGACCCGUACACCACCGUUCACCACUAGUCACUGCUACAGUAUAUACUUUGGGUUCCUCCGUAGUCUCCGCUGCAUGCAUGUUUGGACCAGACAGUUGGCCUCACGAGUUUGAUGGUAUGACCAUAGUGCUACACGAGAUUAUUAAGGAUGGCAAGAAGGAAAAAAAGAAGAAGGGGAUGGAGUCUUUCUUCUCUCCUUGUUUUGGAAUAAUUAAUCGACCGAAUUCUCAUAGGACAAGCUUACUGAAAAUGCGAAGGGAGUGAAUGGAGCACUUACCCGAAACGAAGAACCUUCUAGUUUCAGAAACCACUCAAGCUAGGACGCAUAGGGCCCAACAGAGCAAAUUUAAUCCUCGGUCACCUGCACAAUCGGGGACGCGAGAGACGCGCAAAUGCGCCGUGAGAUCGAUCCCCCUAUCGAGCCAUGGCCUAGGCCCUGGAAACGGCAAAGGGAAAGAACCCCAUGUAAACCAGGAGCAGAGGAGACGCGGGCGCAUCUCGCUCAUCAAAACUUUAACCCCCAGCCCGGGGAAAGGGAACUGAAACUGACACGCACCACUUAUGGGCGCGGCAUCGAAUUGAAUGAGUAGAACAAAAUGGUUUCCGGAAAUCGCCCGCCGCGGUUGCCAUCAAGUCAAUCGUCCAAACGGACGGGGAAAGUCCCGAUCACCCGUUCCGGAACCGGGCCAUGUUGCACAUAUCAAAUUAUCGAUCGAUAAUAAGUAACGCAUCUCUCAGCAGCAACGCACAGGACCGGCCAGCGGUGCAAUUCAGCAGCCCGCCCAGCCGGCGCCGGCACACGUUGCAGCCCUGUUCUUGUGGUUCCUCCGGACAAAAUCACCGCGAGAUCCGAUCGAUCGAGUGUAAAAAUUUGUAUGGCAACGGAACCGUUCGCUUGAUUGAUAGUACCCAGUGUCGAUGUCAAAGUUUACAAAGGAGAAAUUAAAUUCUGUUGGCAUCCAUCCAUGCGUGCAUGUGCAGGAGCUAGUAAUAAGCUAGCAACAGUGACUCGCGGCGAGCUAGGCGGAGAGGGUCCGUGCCAUGAAGAGGCGUGCGGGGGCCUGGGGGUCGGGUCGGCGAUGGGCACGGAGAAGACGACACGCCGUACGCCGUCCAACUCACAGCGCGCGAUAGAGAGGCCGCAAGCAAAGCAAAGCAAGCAAAGAGGAAGGCGCAGGACCAUCUGAUCAGAGAGACCCCAGAUUAAAUGCACGCCCUCUGAUCGGGUGGAUCGCGAUUUCUGGGGGGGUGCGGAAAUGCCCGUUCUGCCCUCCCGCACGGUCACGCUGGCUGCUGGGCCCGCCCUGGGUCGCAGCGCCCGAAGAAGAUAUCGCGUCUCGCGCCGCCCGGACCCCAGUCCACUGCAGGGGCAAAGCAAAAGCUUCCUCUAUAUUUAUGCCUCUACACCGACUCACAAGUCACAACACACAAGCUAAGCCAGCCAGCCACACUGCAGUAUACACCGAGGCCUUUCCUCCCUCUGUCACUCUGCUCACUGGCAUACAUUGCUACUGCACGCGUAGUCACAUUCGCAGUUCACUGCCAAGAAGAUCUCUCGUAGUCAAUUGCCCUGAUCAGGCUAUAGUUAUACCCUUGUGGGAGCGCAAGGAAUUGGGAAGGGGAGAAACUUGCAAGGAAGGGAAAACAAAGGGCAAGAGAGAGAGAGAGACAGAGACAGGGAGUCUCUGCCGUGAUCGCGCGAUGGGGCGAUCGCCGUGCUGCGAGAAGGAGGGGCUGAAGAAGGGGCCGUGGACGCCGGAGGAGGACCAGAAGCUGCUGGCCUACAUUGAGCAGCAGGGCCACGGCUGCUGGCGCUCGCUGCCCGCCAAGGCCGGUGAGUGAGCACCUUCUUCUUGCAUGGCCUUCGAAUUCCCCUCGUUGAUUCCCGGCUGGUUCUGCAUUCUGCGGGGCUGAAUAAUUGAAUUGUUUCUGAUAUGGAAAUGGUGCGUGUGAUCUUUGAUUUGCAGGGCUGCAGCGGUGCGGCAAGAGCUGCCGGCUCCGGUGGACGAACUACCUCCGGCCGGACAUCAAGAGGGGCAAGUUCAGCUUGCAGGAGGAGCAGACCAUCAUCCAGCUCCACGCUCUUCUCGGGAACAGGUGACACACCGAUCAUCGUCCAGUCCUAUACCACUUUGGCACUUUGCACUGCACUCAAGAAAAUAAAUUAAUUGCGUAAUCAUGACGCGAAUUUGAUCGCUCUGGGUUGGGGGUUCGCGAGAAUUUUGACCGCCGGUACUACUCCAACUUGUUGCUGGCUGACCGGGAAAGUCAAGAACACGCUAGUAAUUAAUCGUGCUGCGCCGUAGUCUUCACACAUUUAUGCGGGGUUAUGCAGUAGCGGAGUUGUACUUAGACUGGGAGAGCAGCGAGAUGGUAAAAUGGUUGCAUGUAGUACUCUGUCUUCUCAGAAUUGCAGCAACGGAGCCGUACACAUGUUUUCGCAACAUUGUGCGGAAUUAACCUCGGCAUGAAUUAAGACAUUUUAGCUGGAAUUGCGAUCUCAGUACAAGGGCAAACCAUCGCAUUCUGUGUUCUACACUGUUUAUCUUGCCGUGCUGCAGAGAGUGACUAGUAUUGUUCUUCAUCCUUUGGCCUGUGUAGAACAGCUAUGCAUGAGUAGCAAGAACUGGUUAAUGAAUGCACGCAUCAAAUUGUGGGAAAAAGUGUGAAAAAGUUGGGCCAUGUGUGGCUCUCCCCCGAAUUUUCCUUUCUUUUUUCGCAUGAUUCGGCAUUCAAGCUUGUCAUUUAUGGAGAGCUAGUGAGUGUGAUGAGCCCCCCCCCCAUCGUCGUGGACCAAGGCCGGGCUUCGGUCCACUGUAGCCACCUGCUCUCUUGCCAUUUGACUCGCACGCUUGCUUCCCCCUAUCGUCUCUGCCGUCUGUCUGUAGUCUCUGUGCUACGCCAUGCACCUCUUAAAUCUCGCCCAUUUGCGGCCACGCACCUCUCCGGUUACUCUCGUUUCGACAUGAUCAUUUCUUGAUGCUGAUGUACUACUAGUAGUAGUAGAAUUCUUUUGUGAAUCCUGAGUUAACUUGGGCGCGCGUCGAUCGGGAUCGGCGUGUGUAUGUAUAUAUGCAGGUGGUCGGCGAUCGCGACGCACCUGCCGAAGCGCACGGACAACGAGAUCAAGAACUACUGGAACACGCACCUGAAGAAGCGGCUGGCCAAGAUGGGCAUCGACCCGGUGACGCACAAGCCGCGCUCCGACGCGUCCGGCGCCGGCGGGGCGGGCACUGGAGAUGGCGCUGGCGCGCAGCACGCCAAGGCCGCGGCGCACCUCAGCCACACGGCGCAGUGGGAGAGCGCGCGGCUCGAGGCCGAGGCGCGCCUGGCGCGCGAGGCCAAGCUGCGCGCGCUCGCCGCGUCGGCAUCAUCCGCCUCGGCGCACCAGCAGCAGCAGCACUACCUGAACGCGGCGCCCGCGCCCGGCCUCGACUCGCCCACGUCCACGCUCAGCUUCUCCUCUGACAGCGCGGCGGCGGUGGCGCUCGCGUCCGCCGUCCUCGAGGCCGCCGCCGCGCGCGCCGCCAUGCAACCCAUGCAGCAGGCGUACGAGGACGCGUGCAAGGAGCAGCAGCAGCACUGGGGUGAUCAUCACGUCGACGCCGCGGGCUUCCCGGGGUCCGGGUUCACCGGGAUGCUUCUGGACGGUUCUCUGAACCAGAACCCGAGGGCGGGGGACGACGACGCUCGUGAUCAGGCGGAUGUCGUUGUCGAGGUGCACGAUACGGAGGAGGAGAAGAACUACUGGAACAGCAUACUGAGCCUGGUGAACUCGUCGGCGUCGUCCGUGGUCGUGCCCGCCGGCCACGAGGCGUAUUCGCCGGCGCCGGAGUUCUGAGUUGUGGGGACUCUAGACAUGGAUGCUUGCUUGCCUCCCUGCCUGCCUGCAUGCAGCCAGCGGGCGCACAUGAUGACACAGUAAAUAGUUAGUGGUGAACACUGGUGAUCGUGGAAUAAGAUGGGGACUAAUUAAUUAAUGCUGGUAGCUGUUAAUCAUGUUCUUGGGUUUUUAUCUGACAGGUGCUCUGAUUAAACUGUGAGCUAGAAGGACGGUCGUUGCAUUGAUGUUGGAAACUUGGAAUUUGUUGCGCUAUUUCGUUCCGCCAAGUUUCUUACAUGUUGUGCAAAACUAUACGACUAUAAUCUCUAGUCUUCUACUAUUUGGAAUUGUUGUAGUUUUACAGCCAGUUUCAUCGGCCUAUAUAGUGGGUGCUAAUCAAACUUGUUACGGAAUCGAUCGUCCUACCCUGCAUUUAUAAAUCCUGUGACUUUUUUUACAACAUUUCUUAUGACAUCUUAUUCUUAGCGUUUCAUGUGUUUUUACUUUUUUCUCAGCGAAACACGCUUCCUCUAUUAAUUAAUUGAAAGAGUUUCAUCGGAAUCUCUCCAAGGCUAGAGAAGCCAAGUGUAUCGGCCGUGCAACAGAUCGCUUUUAACUAGAUUAUGAGCAUCUCUAUUAGAUGAUCUAUUCUCAUAAACAAAAACGACAUUAAGAAAAUCUUUACUAUUAGAUGCAAUCUCUCGAAGAAUAGCACCCUAAAUGCAUCGGUUACCUUUUGGUAAACCAUUGAUCACUUUUCAAUUUUCAAUGGUUGGGUUCCAAUGGGUCGAGAGUAUAGGUGGCCAACGACCCGGCCCAGCUCGAGUUAAAUGGACCUGGCCCGGGCGCGGC
This 96283-nucleotide long non-coding RNA is filed under the name Brachypodium distachyon (stiff brome). Its description in RNAcentral is "long non-coding RNA (BDIS_LNC005827)". The stretch from base 59279 to 59403 matches the Rfam family "MIR1120/MIR1122 microRNA precursor family". Lineage: Eukaryota; Viridiplantae; Streptophyta; Magnoliopsida; Poales; Poaceae. The record is from RNAcentral.